This 95308-nucleotide long non-coding RNA is filed under the name Lynx pardinus (Iberian lynx). The stretch from base 83547 to 83619 matches the Rfam family "tRNA". The record is from RNAcentral. Lineage: Eukaryota; Metazoa; Chordata; Mammalia; Carnivora; Felidae.
AAAAGAGCCUGACCACUACAGAACGGCCAGAUUGGCUUGGGUCACUUCGAUACAUCCUUCCCAAACUCACCAAUCAGGUAAGUGAUUCCUCCCCGACCCCGGUGGUGGAGAGAGCAGGAGUGUUACACUAAUAGAAGUCCCUUCACAUGAAAAGGAAACUCAGUAGUAGAGAAUGAGAGCUCUCCACUGACAGCGGACAAAGCAAUGUUCUAGGCUAUAGAGAUAGCAUGUAUUAAAACGUGGAGGCCUGAUUUGCACAUUCAGAAAAUUAUAUAAAUCAUUCAAUAUUCCUGGGGUAUAAAGGGCAACAGGAGGAAUGGUGGGGGGUGAAAGCAGACAUCAGGGCAGGGAUCUCUCACAAGUCCAUAGAAAAACUUAAGAACCAUCUAGCAAUUCGAAGUAGGGCAAAAACAGGAUAGGAUUUGACUACUAGAAAAAUGGCUUUUUUGGCAGUGUGGGGCAUAGAGUGUAAGGGGAAGACAGCAAGACUAGAAGCAGGGAUACCAAAAAAGUAAGGAAAUCCUGAUGAUGAAAUGGUCUGAUUUAAGACAGUGGAAGAGAGAAGGCAAAGGAGGAAAGAAUGUGAAUGACGUUUAGAAAGGAAAAUUUGGAAAGACCUAGCGAUUGAGGGGAUACAUGAGGCAAGGGAGCAUCUUGAUCCGUUCAGGCUGCUAUAACAGAAUACUAUGGACAGGGUGGUUUAUAAGCCACAGGAAUUUAUUUCUCAUAGUUCUGGAGGCUGGAAAGUCUGAGACCAAGGUGCCAGCAGAUUCAGUGUCUGGUGAGAGCCCACUUCCUGGUUCAUAGAUGGCUGUCUUCUCGCUGUGCCCUCACGCGGCAGGAGAGGUAAGGUAAGAGGCUCUGAGCUCUCUUUUAUAAGGGCACUAAUCCCAUCCAUGAGGGCUCCACCUUCAUGACCUAAUCACCUCCCAUGGCCCCACCUCCUAAUACCAUCACCUUGGGGGUAAGAUUUCAAUACAUGAUUGGGGGUGGGGGCACAAACAUUCAGUCCAAAGCAGGGACAGAGACUUCUAGCGUCAUCUCCAUUUUCAAAGUACACAAGUGGGCACACUUUACAUAGAAGCAUUCAAUCUACAAAUAUUUAUUGAGCAAAUUUAUAGUAGUAACUAUAGGUGGUCGGUUAAAUUUCCAAAGCUGACUACCACAAACACAAAUUUCCCAGGGUAAAAUCCUUCUCUGUAUACUCUGUAUAUAGCGCCCAGAAACCAGGAGCGCCUUAACAUAGGUUUCUUAUGUUCGGUAGAUCAUUAACCUCUGCUUAGGCAGUGCCUGGCAUGUGGUAGUUUCUCAAUAAAUAACCCGCUGAAUAAACAACGGGAGAAAUCUAGAAGAAGCAGAAUACCCCCGUGUGUUAGUUAUCCAUUGCUGUGUAGCAAAUUACCCCACAAGUCAGCAUCUUCAAACAACGAGCAUGUGUUACCUAUCUCAUAGUUCCCGUGAGUAAAGAAUCAGGAAACGGGUUGGCUGGAUGGAUCUGGCCCAAGGGUUCUCACAAGGCUAGAACGGAGGUGUCAGCUGGGACAACAGGAAAACGGGCAUCUGAGACUCGAUGAGGCCAGAGGAUCCCCUUCCAAAAAUACUCACAAGGCAGAAGGGCCCGAGGUCUCAGUUCCUUGUCACGCAGGCUUCUUCACGGGGCUGCUUAUAUGUGGCAACAGCUUCGCCCCGGAGUGGAUGACGGUGAUGGUGAUGGUGAUGAUGGUGAGUGAGAGAGGGACAGAGAAAGGCCUCAUUGCCUCUUACGACCAAGUCUCAAGUCGUCAUCGCUUGUGCAUCAUCCUAUUCAUUAAAAGCAAGUCACUGUUAAGUCCAGCCACCACGCCAGGGGAAAGGAGUGCACAACAUCAGGGGAUCUCACUGGGGACCGUCCUGGAGGCAACCUAUCGUCCCUUGUGAAUUGUUCGCUGACUGCAAAGAGCAGCCUCCAAAUACUCUGACAAAUGUGUUCUUCGCUGUGAAGGUGGUGAUAAAUUAUGUAUCGGCCUUUCUCUCAUACUUUUGCAAACAUGGUAACACUAUCACUUCUUCGCUCUUCAAAGGCAAAGGGCAGUGAUAACCAGCACCUUGGCACCACAAAGGUUCCAGGUAGGCGCCAAUGAAUUGCUCCGAGGCAGUUUUUAUUUCUGUAUUCCAGGCGCAAGAUUGUUCCUUGACUAGAAUGAAAGUCAGGUACGUGUUUCUCAAGCCUGUCUCCAUCACCCCAGCAAAACUAGGUACCGGUUUCAGCAGUAAAAAAAAAAAAAAAAAAAGUAUUGACUAGGAUUGUCCAUUUUAUUUAAACCCUUGUUCUAAGAUAACCUGUGAAGACAAGCAAAGCAUCAGUACAGUCCGGAAUUUUUAAGUGAAAGCACUCAGUGUUUUCCAAAGAACAAAACGUGGACUUGCUUCAGGGGAGGACGUUUCUCCUCUGGGUUUUAAAAAAUUAAAGGAAGAAAAACUAAAUGCUUUGCUUGCUAGUGAAUUUGCUAAGCAGAGAUGUGGGCUGAGUUUGCCAGAGGCAAAAGUGGUCCCCUGUGAAGCUUUUCUAGCUGGUAAGCCCGUAUGGUCAUCCGACGGGCUAGAGAUACGGCCCUUCUGUCUAUUUUUAGCCCAUUAUUCCUGCAGCCUCAGCCCUUCGUUCUGCGGGAUGAGCCUCUUCAUGCCAAUUCCAGAUAAAGCCUCGGAAUAAGCAAUUAAAUGUUCGUGGGAGCACACAUGGAAAAGUGGAAAAAGCGAUUUUCCCUUACAGGACAGUUGAAUCAAACUAUCCCAAUAGAGAACUCAAAUAUGUCCACUUUGUAUCAAGCAAACCAAGACGACUGAAAAGAAUUUUUCCCAAUUAUGCCGUGGGUGUGAGCGUUUUCACACAGCCUUUCCCCGAAAACAGCUCAGUGCAGUGGCCGCCCAGAUGUUUCACAUCAGUCUUCCGAGAUAGCAUCUUUGCCUGGGCUUCCAGAAACUCGCUGUUUACUCGAGCCGACUUUCCCCAAACUCUGUACCUCCGAGACCAAAUGCAUCUUAGACCUCAGAGUUUUGUACCGCCUUGGCAAGCUCUGUGUGGCUGGUAACCUUAGCCAUUGAAAAUGCUUUUGAAUCAUUUCUGUGUCAUAAUGAGAUUAAGAUUCGUCCUUUGAAGUCUGCCUCUAGUUGGCACUUUGGAUAUCGCUUAACAAACUCAGACUCGGCUUUUGUGCUCAUAGGUUGGGCCACGUGGCCAUAGGGCCUAUCGAGUUUUUACUUCAAGGCUGGAUUAGCGGACGGGAGCAAGGCUCUCAACACCAAUACGUCUUGGGAGAGCGGCGCUUUUAUCAGGUAGCACACUCUCCUUUUCUUAGCCAGCUUUCUUUUCUAUCACACGUUUCAAUAGCCAUUCGUGUUGGCCUCACGAGUGCUUCUCAAACGCUAAUAUGGGGAUGAAUCAUGGAACAUCUUGUUAAAAUGCAGAUUCUGAUCCGGUUAGGUCUGGGGUGGGGCCUGAGAGUCUACAUUUCUACUGUGCGUCCAGAUUAUGCCGAUCUUGCUAAUUCCAGACCUACUUUGAGCCUCAGGAACCUAAAACCACACUAAUCGUGACUAGAGGCAAAAAUUGCUUUGCUUUAGUCAAGUGCCAGUUAUUCCUCUUAGGUGAGCUGUCCUUAGGGCUGAGAAACAGCACCUUCUCCCCUAAAGAAUCUCUGUCUCUCCCUCUCUUUCUGUCUUGCAAGGCCAACUCUUGAAUUUCCCUCCAGCUAAACCCCAUCCGAGUAAAGAAAAUACUGUUUGAGCAACUUUAGAUCAAUAAACACAUUCCUUGUUUCUGAUGACUGGAGUAAGUAAUGGAAAUUGGAUGGACAUUUUUAGCAAUUGUUUUUUCUCUUUAAAAUGUCAGCACAUUAGCUGUGGUUUAUUUACUUUGUUUGAAGUGACCUCCGAUGCUGCUCAGGAAACACUCUACAAGCUGCUUUAAGAAAAUUAAUCAUAUUGAAUUAGUGAUUGGUUUUUAAAAGCCUUUCUAACGGCAAUACAUUCUCAAGGACUGUCAGGGUCAUUUCAUAUCUUCUUUCUACCUCUGUCUUUCUGUCAGUCUCCCAGGUUCUACAGACUCUAGAAACCUUCCCAAACUUGUUGAUUAAUAUUAAUAAUCAGAAGUGGUGAGAUAAAGGAACUUCAUUUCUUUAAGUAUGCUCCAUCCAGCUCCAAGAAGCCAACUGGCUAAGAGCCUAGGGGUAGGGCAUCAGCUGUCGGAGGACCAACAGGCUAGAGAACAAUUUCCUUUGCUACUCACUGGAGAGUUUCAGGCAAUUCCAGAGGACUGGCCACACUCGGUUUGACACACACUAUUUAAUUCCAUCCAACACUCUCCCUUUUAGAUCUUUCUUGUCACUUCAAGAAUGUGGGGUCUGCAGAGAGAGAAAGGCAAACGAUUGCCACUGACUCUCUCUCUUGGAUUAUUUUUAUCUGCCAGGAUCUUGUAGACCAAAUACCCAAGACAGAAAUAACGCAAUUUCACAAUUUUUGUCUAAGUUGCUCCGAUGUCUUGGCAGGUUUAGAGCAUUUAGUUUUUUCUUUACUCUAAUAAGGGAGAUGUGUUGGUGACUUUCUUUGAAUUGUAAUUUCAUAGUUCACCACUUCCCUUACUAUUAUUUAAAAAAAAAAAAAAGGUAGCAACUCCCUUCCUGCUAUAGUACCCUAGAUAGAGGAACCCUAGGAACUACACCACCUGGGUUCAGACCCUAGCAACGCUCCGUCUGUAACUACUACUUAACAUAAGAUGACUUAACUCACUUAAUCUCAGUUUCCUCAGCUGAAAAAUGGAGAUAAGUAAAAGUACCUUCUUUAUAAGGAAUCUGUAGGAAUACUACCUGGUACAAUAAAAGUGCUCAGUACAAGUUACCUAUUGUUUUAGUCCCGUUCGGGUCAAGUAACUGCAAAAUGUCCAACAGGGAUCAUUGCAACAUAACCUACUACUAGGUUCUGUCCAAGUGAUUCUAAAACCAACGAAUCGAUUAAGUCAGUCGAGUGGUGUGGUGGUGCGACAGGACGAUCACGCAUGCCCACAACAUCGGAGGACAGCAAAUGUGUUUCUACCCACCCUCCUGACCCACAAGGGCUUGAAUGAGAACGUAAGUGAUGAACACGCUUUGCAAAAUUGAAUGCCCCACACUGAACAAACACACGCGAUAGUAAUAAUUGCUGCAAACUACACUAAUACACUACGACCUGGAUUUUAUUUUUAGCUUCUGCUUUCUAAAACCCUACGUGGUACAGGUCAACUAAUAGUCAAGUGUGUACAAGACCACUGCCCUGAAUUAGGUGCUGGGAAAACUUAAAAGAUGACGUAAGACGAAGUCUCUGCCCUCAAACGUUUGACUACCUCAGAGAUCAAGCGUCUGCAAUUCACCACAAGGAUGGAGAAAGAGAGGUGCUCCAGUAGAUUCAGAGAGCCACGGGGGUUUUCAAAAUGCCGUCAUAAUAAUUAAAUAUCAACGGAGGCACCCCUAUUUAGAACUUGGCUUUACAUCUUUAGAUAAUUCCGCUUCUGGGGGCGCCCGGCGGCUCAGGCGGCUAAGCGUCCGCCUCUUACGUGUGUUAGGAAUUGUGCCCUAUUUAUUCUAGUCACAACUGUAUACACAAGUCCAGAGUCCUUGGGGCAGUAGCUUUACAACAAUGAAUACCGUAAUAAAUUACGGUAAAAAUCUUUCACUCUUCAGUUAAGUAAAAUAUCCGCGUAGGCCAAUUUCAAGGUGCAGGAUUUGUUUUAGAAACAGACGCUGGUAGAGAAAUCUGAAGUCUAGUUAUGCAGAGAUGUCUGCCAAAACCAGAAAUGAUUCUCAAUAUCUUUGAACAUAAAAGCAGAGUUUGUUGCCUGUCUGAAAGUUCCAGCGUCGCUUUGUUGAUACUCAGUCUAUUUUCAGAGUAUUAAUAGCUACCAAAAGAAAGGAGAAUCAGGUUACAAUCAGAUCCUUGCUUCGGGGGCACUGUAAUACUAUCUCACUUUGCUGGGUGCUGCAGGUAAGGUCACCGGGUAGCCGAACAGAUGGGGCCGGUUUAUGUUCACCUAUAUAGCACGCUCGACCUUUGACAUGAGAUCUGUUUCUGAACCAAGAAAUGUUAGCUUAAACCCCAGGGCCUCUUACACGCUUGACCUCUCCGAACAAUGCUGGAGGAUAGAUUGAGGCAAAUAGUUUAGGAAAGUUCAAAAUAGAAAUAAAUGCUUGAUGAACAUAUUUGACCCCUUGACAUUUCAGCCCCGUUGGUCAGGGAAGAUCGCUUUUUCCCUUGAAAUCACUUCGGAGGUGACAUUUUAUUUUUCCCUUGCUGCUCAGAAAAUAUCUUUACUUGUCAUAAAAUGAAGUGAAAAACCUCCAGGCCCAAGUACAUAAAAGGCUUAGAUGCAUGAGCCUUAUUAUUGCCUUUCCUCCUGUAGUUCUGUUAGUCCUGAAAUUUCACCGAAGGUGCUGAAAACGUUCCUUUUGCAUUUCUUUUGUAGAUUGUUCUCUCUCUGAGCAAUGGUUACCAGAGUCUUAAGAAUGACUUAUAUUUGCUAAUUGGAUUAAUGAUGAGAUAAUGGAAGAGAUUUUUUUUUUCAAUAUCCCAGUAACUUUCUUAAUCUGGGAAACAGAUGUUCCCACACCUUUUUUGCAUCUUUGUGUUCAGUGAUUACAAUAAGAAGCUUUCGGAAUCUUCCAAAUGGUUCAAAUUCAUCUUCCACACAGUUGGAAGUGGGAAGUUAUCAAGAUGGAGGCCUUGAACUUUAAAUGUAAUAAGCAGGAGAUGGAAGAAGGUACAAAAGGGAGAAAGGAGCCCAUCGACUUGUUCUUAGUUGUGGUUUCUACAUUUCUCUCAGCACUCAAAGUCAUUCAUUUACUGGCACAAGUUAAUGCUUUCUAUGCUCUCGUGCACGCAGAUAAAAAUAUUAAAACGCAUUUACCAAGCAGAAAACGAAAUAUAAUUCGGACGUAGGUGGUCGUACUACCUUCAUUGUAGAUAGUUCUUGUACCUAAAACAAUAUGAAAAAGCAGUUUAUCAUCCAUCCCUUAGAAAGAAAAAGUGCUAAAUUUAACGCACAGAUUAAACCUUCUCCUGUCCUUCACAAUAAUUUUGUCUUGCUUUUCUUUAUCUAACAACAUUCGUGUAAGUUUUGUAGGCCGUCGGUAUUUGAGAAAAUGGGAAGAAAAUGAUUCAUUAUCAAAAGAGAGGUCGUAAUGAAAAAAUAUGGUUUCUAAUGUUCAGGUUGUAUUUUUUUUCAGCCACAAAAAACUUAUUACAGCAGCACCCUGGUUGAAAGUUCGAACAAAUUUACUUUCUGAAAACGUUUAGUAUUAUUAAUAAUAGGAAAAAUCCUUUGGCUGUGUUUAUCUGUGAGAGUGAUUAAUCUGGCGUUGUAAAAACCUCACAUUUUCCACAACUGAUACUUGGAAUUAAAGAUGUGCAGGGUGUUUGCCUACAUUUGAUCUUACCCUGGGAUCGUGACGGUGCAGCUCAGCCCUGCCCGCCACCCCCUGCUCGCACAGCUGUUACUAAAUAGCCUUCGACAACGUCGGGGGGACGACUGUCACACGGUUUUGAUAUCUUGAAAUCCAUUCUGAAUCAUCCUCAAUUACGACAGUUAUUUUUGGUUAAACACCUUUGAGUUCUUCACUAAAAUCCUCCUGCAGUUAGGGAAAACACAAGGGUCUAUCUGGUUAACUCCACAACUGCACUCCACGUUUGGCCGGAGCCUCUGGUCAGAUAAGAGAGGUGGGGCUGCCUAUUCACCCAGUUUGGAAAGCCGAAUGAAAUGUUAGAAUUCAAAUAAAGGCCUCUUAGCCUACCCCCAGGGGGCUUUUCCAUACUGGAAAAGUGAUUAUGUCAUUUAGAGCAAACACUCCGAGACGGUGCCUAUACCUUAAAGAUACGGCAAAAGGGUAAAGAGGAGGGGCUGAAUUAAGACACAGACCCGGGUAUUUUGACCAUUGGCAUAUGGUAUAGUCUGUUUGGCCGACUUUCCUCAGAUAGUCCUUCUGUUUAUCUUCCUAAAUCAAUUCAGAUGUGUUGCCUCAAGCUCUAUUUGAAAAGGCAUCUGGUGAGUUCUAGACUGCCUCUGAAUAGUUUAUCCGUCAGCACAAACACCUGGAGGAAGGAAACUGCUGCACCGGAGAACGGCUUUUCUGCCCCUGGGUGAAGGCUGGGCCGUCUCGGCAAAGGAGGCCAGACAAGCUCUCGCAAAUCAGGUAUGAGACAGAGUUCCCCCGGGAACCCACUGUUUCCUUCCUUCCCCCUCUUUUGUCCUCUGUUGGCAUCUUGCAGAAAAGAAAGGAAGUGUGGUAGAAUGUAUUAUUUGCUCGCAAUUCUUCCUUUUAUUCCCUUCACCGUGCUAGGUUUCGCUAGAUAGCUUCUGCUUCUCUAGCCCAUUGAUUCUGAGUUUGGCCAUGUGAUUCGCUCUGGCCAAGGGCAAGCGGACAGAGGUGAUCAUGCGUGAGUUCUGAGCCAAGCUGCUAAAAGGCACUGCAAAUUUCUGCCAGGCGUUUCUUGUACUUCUGUUAUCUACCCUCAGAAGAGCGUGCACCGGGAAGCCGCUGAUUCCAGAAUGAGACACACAUGGAACAGGCCUCAGUCUGAUUCGUAGCCUUAAGCAGAGCUGCCAUAACUGACCCGUAGAUGCGGGAGUGGGAACAAUAAGUGCUGUUUUUUAUUAAGCCACUAAGAUUGGGGGGGGGGGGGGGGGAGAGGCUGUCCGUCACGCAGCAGCAUCAUAGCAUUAGCUGACUAAUACAGGGGGGUACCUGCCAUUUACUCAGGACUCAUUCCUUGCCGAACACCAUUUACGUUAACUCCUUUAAUCUACGACGUUUCUUUCUGAGGUCCACUCAUGCUCCAAUCUUUCAUGAAACAUCUGCUCAGAGAGCACAAGGCCCCACAGCUAAAAAGUGGCUGGGCCAGAAAUGCAAAUUCACAUGUUCCCCGGUCCAAAUAUGGAGAUUAUUCCAUUGGUUUUUCCUACCUUCCUGCAGUUGCCACCACAGGUGGUAGCAACAACAGCAACAUAAGAAACAACUUUGCUCUUUUACGAAGGGCCUUACCCUUCAAUACGUUUUCACGUACCUUUUUUCAUCAAUAAGAAAAUGUACAAUUGCAAAUUGGGGUAGCUCUGUUUAGCUCCGCUCUAGAUUCAAUCAUAGCCCAUGAGAUUUGAAAUGGUAAGUCUUCAGUUUGGAAAGUGUUGUGCUUUAGAAACCACAGGAAGGCUUAAAAUAGACUGGAAUAUUCUGAAGUUAUAGGUAUGAGAGAAAAUGUACCAGAUAAAAGCCAACUGAGCCAGUGUUUGGAGCUUUUCUUGACCAAAGCAGACAGACUCCAUAGAAACUACUCGGGACCUUUCCCCUGACCGCACCAGGGGAGACAACCACUCGGAAGGCAUCACCCGUCUUUUCACUAUUGACACUCAGAAGGAACAAUAUUUUCCAACCCUGGCUGCACAUUAGAAUCACUCGGGGAGCUUAAGAAAAACAAAUAUCUGGGUCCUGCUGCCAAGCAGACUCGAUCAGAAUCUCUGUAUUCUAUCUGCAUGUUUUUAAAGUUCCCCAGAUGAUUCUAAUAUACGGCCAGCGUUGCGUCCCACCAAACCAGAAGAUGGGACACAGAAAAUAGAUUUGCCGACAUUUAGCAUUAAAAACCGAUUCUACUCAACGGCCCACACCUGGAAAUUGGGGCGAGCUUCAGCUUUGCGUCUUUGAACUUCCUACACAGUGAUUCCUCUAUUAACGUUCCUUAUCAUCUCUCCUUCCUCUGCUGAAUAUUUUUUGAAUCCAUACUUAUUUGCUGACAUCUGUAUUUAUGUCUGUUUCUAAAACAGUGUUUGCCAAGGGCUAGACUGUAAAAAUUUUGUAAGGAUUUCUAAGAGUUGUAAGGACUUGACUAAAGCUGAGAUGAGCUAACUUAAUAGGAGAGAUGUCACUACCUCCACUAGCCAAAUCAAUAAAUGAAUAAAAGCAAAGGCUGUCAUUUAUAUUGAUUCUGUUACAUGGUUGACACUCUUCUAUAAAUAUUUCAGAGCAGCGACAUUCUGGUUGAAUUUGCACAUUCAAGUUCCCAAGAAUGAGCUUUGAUCUGCGUAGCUAGAGAUUGAGAUCCCGUAUGCUAACUGCUAACGCACUCCUACAUACACACCCUCUUGCGGCACUUAUCUGAUUGCGUCUCCAGGUUAGCUGGAAGACUUUCUAUUUUUUUUCCCUAAGAUUUUAUUAAAAAAAAAUUUUAAUGGUUCCUUUUGAGAGAGAGACAGACAGACAGAGUGUGAGAGGGGGAGGUGCAGAGACAGAGGGAGACACGAUUCCGAAGCAAGCUCCAGGCUCUGAGCUGUCUGCACAGAGCCCGACACGGGGCUCGAACUCAAGAAUUGUGGUAUCAUGACGUGAGCCGAAGUCGGACAUUUAACCGACUGAGCCACCCAGGCGCACCCUAAGAUUUUAUUUUUAAGAAAUCUCUACACUCAACAUGGGGCUCAAACUCACAAACCCAAGAUCGAGAGUCACAUGCUUUCCCAACUGAGCCAGCCAGGUGCCCCGAAACUUUCUAUUCCUUUUCCAGUAAGACACACAACUCUCUUAUGGCACUAGUGGUAAUUAAUUUCAAUACAUUUGAAUGAACAUACUACCUAACAUUUACAGAGUGUGUUCUAUGUGCCAGGCACUAUUUGUAGUGUUCUACAGGCAUUAGCUCAUUUAAUCCCUAACCCUAUGAGGUAGAUAGAUGAUUUAUUUCCCCAUUUUACAGAUGGCACAGAAAAGUUAAGUAAGGUGCCCAAGGUAACAGACUUAUGAAAUGAUAAAGCUGGAAUUUGAACUCGGAAAGUUUACUUCCAGAAUCUAAACUCUGCCGCUAGAAUAUACCGCAUCCCGCAGUAAGUAGAAGGCCACUGUAAGUACGUUUUAGGAGAGGAUACAGACCCACUGGUGCUCUCGUCACUGCUAGUGGAGGUGCAAAUUGGUGCAACUAUGAACAAAUUGUUUGGCAGUAUCUGUGAAAGCCAAACAUACGCAUACCCUGUACCCUCGUAAUUCCUGGGUAUAUACCCCACAAAAAUAUAUACUUAUGUUGAUGAAAAGACCUGAAUUUGGAUGUUUACUACAGCACUACUUGUAAACGUUGAACUGAAAACUACCCAAAUAUCCAUCAACAGGAAAAUGGAGAGAUAAAUUCGGCUGUAUUUGUGCUGCUAUGCGGAAAUGAGAAUAAGCACUCUACAACUACACGGAGUAAGAAAGACGGAUCUCACAAAUGUAAGUAAUGCCUGAAAGAGGUCAGGAAAAAGAGCACAUGCUGUGCGAUCCUCUUAUGUAAAGUUCAAAGGCAGGCAAAAAGAAUCUCCGCUCUUAGGGGUCAGGCUAUCGGUUACCCUUAGGGGUAAGAGUUAUAACUGGAAGGAGUAUAUGGGGAGGGGGCUUCUGGGGGGCAAGUAAAACCCUCUUUCUUGAUCUGAGUACUGGUCACAGCAUGUGUUUAAGUCUCGAGAAUUCAGUGAGCCGUACCUUUAGGUCAUGUGCUCUUUUCUGUAUGUAUACUACAUAUCUAUCACCAGUUUGAAGGGGCACUAUGGGUGAUCAAAUAGUAUCUAGAAUCAGGAGAUUUGGGUAAAUGUUUUCAAACAAACAGGGCAUAUUUAAGGCAAAACAGUCAUUCCAGGCAAUCAAAGAGUAACUUGUUGAUGUCUCUAGUUCUUCGGUGUUUUUCCACUUCUUAUCACAAACGCCAACAUGAUGAGUUAAUAACAGUAAGAGAAAAGGAUCGACUCACUCAGGCGUUUGAGAUGGGCUCAGUGUGCUCAUUCUCCCCUCCAGACAGGAGUUCAAAGGCAGAGUGACUAAUGAGUGUUGCAUGAAGGUACAGUUGGUAGGAGGCAUCAGAACAAAGUGUCCUUGGCUCUCUCGCCUCUGCAUCUUCUGGAGCACCCACUUAAUGGGGUGUGGAGAGCAAGUGAAAGCAGGGGAUGAACUUCUUCUGCAGAAACCUUCAAGAAUGAGGAAAUUGAGGUCUAGGGUGAGAAGCACAUGACAUUCUGCCAAAGGGCAAUCCCUUCUAGGAAGGAUUCAAUGGAAAUGGCUUACCCUAAGAGUUGUCACUGUUCGGGCACACCUGUGGACUCAACCAAUCAGCACACCCCCACUACAUAUCUGAGAGGGACAGCCCAGACCACAAUGCCCCGUUUAUUCCACUUCUGCCUUUGAGAGAGAAAGACCUCAUCCACUGUCACAAAGGCGAUGCUUUGCCAGGGAAAGCACUAACUUUUGUUUGCUUAAGAAGCACGCCUAUAAAAAACUUUCAUCACUCCAGAUGUCUUCAGCCAAGUUCUUUCAAGUAAGUCCCAUAGGGAAGGACUUUUGAAACUGGAUCAAAAAUUAUAAUCAAAACAGCCACAAAAUUCACCUCUCUAUCAGGCAAGACAAUGGUUCCCCUCCUUGUCCCAGGCCGUGAACUCGGCCACCUCACUGGAUAAAUAGAAGCCACGAAGUCAAAACCUCUGUUUUCUCUCUCUUCCUCUGUGCAUGGCACAGAAUUAGAGAUAAUUAAAUAUGAGAUAACUUUUGGCAGACACUUUCUCUAGAGUUCGGUUGAUUAUUCUUUGGGGAAAAUCAUAUUAAAAGUAACUAGGUUGAUUUAAUUACCAAAUUCACUCAUCAGUGAUUUAGUGAAUUUGCUUCCAGAUCUAAUUUCCAGUUGCAUUUUAAAUCUCAAGCUAUUUUCAGAAUCAGAUUUACUCCCCAUCAGAUUUGCCCUUCUGUGUCCCUCUCUCUCUGUCACAUAGACUCACCACUAACCACCUGAAGUCUUUCUUUCCCACAAGGAUUUAGUGGGACUGAGGCUCAGAAUUCCAACAUGGCUUCUGUGGUGGGAAGAAUUUCAAAGAUUUCCCUGUAGAUGGGUCUGGAUAUUUAUUCAAAUAUUGUAAAAAGUUCUUGGCUCCCUUCUGAGCCUGGGAACAUUAUUCACCACCUCAGCCUAAUGGUUUGGUACCCUCAAGUUGGAUAUGAGAACAAUCACCAAUGUUCAAUGCCCUUCUGACAAUAGGGUUAUGUCUUCCAACUCCCAUCAUUACCGUGCACUGGAUUUACUGAGGAGCAUCAGAAAGGGCAUGAAGGGUCCUCUCAAGCAAGGUGUCCCUGCUGAGUCCCAAACCAGGAGUCAGUGUCAGCAGAUUCACUUGGACUGAGGAUUCCUAUCAUCCUGGUCUUCCUUGAGUUGAUUUGAGGUGCUUUUCAUUUGGGGGCAAAAAGAAGAGGAAAGUCUCCUGGAAAGAGGGGCAAAGGGAUACAAAUCCUUGGCCUUGUAUCGGCCUUGUUCCUGAUUGGAUGAGGGUUCUGAGACCAUAGAAAUAAAGGGGUCAGCGUCUAAAGCAUAAGGGACUCCAUUCAUCAGAGACUCUCUGAUAUGCUGGGCCCAAGAAGGAGUCAUGCUCCUCCAGCCCUACUCUGCCACAGAUGACCAUAUAACACUGGCACUGAAAGGCCUGGAGUGGCCACUAAUGGAGAAUGACACCUCGCAGAAGGCAAACAGCUGCCUACUUGGCAACUGUCAGGAACUAGGUACUUGACAACAAGGAUGGCUCAGAAGAAUGUGGGCAAAUACUUUCUUGAAUACCUGUAAGACACUUGUCCUGUGAAGUCCCAGGGAUACUAGAGGGAUUUGGGGUGGGGGGGGGUAGUGAUGUGCUGGGAGUCUAUCAUUUGGGCAUAAAUUCAAUGUGACAUCAUUCGUACCCAAAAUUGUUCAAAGCUAGGACUAUUUUAAUUAUUCUGGAAAAUAGUGUGCUUCCCAGUCUCCCUGAAUAAGAUAAUACAGAUUGUGUUUUGUUGAACCAUUUCCAUAAUAUUCAGGUGUACUGUGAAAAGAAGACUCAGUAGUCAAAAUAGUUUGAGAAAUACUGGAUUUAAUCAUGUUGAACAGAUUUCUGUACUGGAAAACUUCUCAUAUCCUUGAAUGUGCUAAUGGGGUACAUUAAUUGUACCUUGAAUGUGCUAAUGGGGUACAUUAAUUGUACCUUGAAUGUGCUAAUGGGGUACAUUGAUGCAGGGGUAGUGAAUCCCUGCGUCAGUCAAGACGGGCUAGGUUAUACUGCAAUAAAAACAGACUCCAGGGGCACCUGGGCGGCUCAGUCGAUUAAGCGUCCAACUCUUGAUAUUGGUCAUGAUCUUGCAGCCGUGGGAUCUAGCCCCAUGCGGGGCUCUGUGCUGAGUGUGGAGCCUGGUCAGGAUUCUCUCUUUCGUACCGUCUCCGCACCUCCCUCUCAAAAUAAAUAAAUAAACAUUAAAAAAANNNNNNNNNNNNNNCCAAACCUGACUCCAAAAUCUCGGUGGCUUAGAUCAACAAAAGUUUAUUCCUCACUCGCUCUGCUGUACAUCAUCUUCAUUUGGGGACCCAGACUGAAGACACAAACUCUAUUUUUGUUUCUGUUUGUUUGUAGUAAAUGCUAUUUAUUUAUUUAUUUUUAAUGUUUAUUAUUUUUUUGAGAGAGAGAGAGAGAAAGAGAGCAUGAGCUGGGGAGGGGCAGAAUCCGAAGCAGGCUCCGGGNNNNNNCUGUCAGCACAGAGCCCUGCGUGGGGCUCGAACUCACUAACCAUGAGAUCGUGACCUGAGCUGGAGUCGGACACUUAACUGACUGAGCCACUCAGGCGCCCCAAAUGCUCUUUAUUACAUAUCAUAAAAUGCACUGAUUUUAUAUGUAGAAACACAGGGAGGUUAAUGCCUGUGGGGCAAACUUUGACCAAUGGCGAGGUGGAAAGGGGCCAAGAGCCGGCAGAUGACUUCCCCGUCCGCGUCCCCUCUGAUGGACUGUAAUGAGACACAGUUCUUCCAUUUAGCCAUGGGGCCGAAGGGGUGCAUGAGAGAGUCCACUGUGUCUCUCGCAUAGUUUGUUGGGAAGCCGGUGCCACAAGGUAUCAUCUUAUGUUUGAAUCUCACUCUUCUCUGUCCUCACUUCAGCUGCCCUGGGUUAUCCCUCCCAUGAAAGUAGUAGCAUUUAAGCCUCGCCUCAGGCUCUGUUUUCCUGGGCACCCAGAAUAAGCAAUGUGGGUAAAUAUCGGAGAUUUCUGGUCUCCUAGGCAGACCUGCGGAGUUGCUCUCUUAGGCCCCUUAGCCAGCUAUUCUUCCAUCCCACGUAGUACACUCUCAGCUUUUGGCCACGCUAUUUGUCUGCAUGGAACAUUCUUCCCACAGACACAUGCGUGGCCGACUCCCUCGCCUCCUUCAGGUCAUUGCCCAGAUAUUACCUACUCACUGAGGCCUUCCCUGCUCUCCUAUUUAAAAUUGCACAUGCACCCCACUAUAUUCCUCCACCCCCACUUAUUUUCCUUCAUAUCUCCAUAUUAUAUCUUCAUUUAUCUCUCUCUAAGAUUGAUAUGCUUACUUCAUAAGGUCCACGAGAGCAGGAACACGCGGUAAGUAUUUGUGUGUCAGAUGGAUGAACGAAUGGCUGGCUGGACGAUGGAUGAAUGGAUGGACAGACAAUGGAUAAACAGAAGCAUAGCUUGAGCAGUGGGUGAUGAGGAACCGUCCCUCUUCGUGGCUCGGGAUCUCGGUAAACAUGCUCUUCCUAUCUGAUCUAGUUUGAUGUAAGCACCCUGUGUGACCUUGGGCAAGGAGAAUCCUUUACAUCGAACUGGGUUUUAGAGUCUGCAGUGUGCUUUAACUGCCUUGUUUUCUUAGACCUUGAAAAUAACCGUGGGAUGGGUCUUAGCUUUGGUUUACAGAUGAGGACACUGAGGUUCAGAAAAGUUAGGUGGCUGCACCUGAGUGACCCACACAAUGACAGAGAAACAUCAUAUGAGGGAAUAGCUCCCAGAAGCUUUAUGACCCUUUCUGGCUCAUAAAUUAUGAGUGGAUACGUAAGGGAAGGAGGGCACCCUAUACCAGGAGAGCAUUUUAGGGAAACAACUUCCACGGUAAUUUCACAAAACAGUAUCAAGCAUUUCAUGACCACAUUGAUGUUAAUUAAACAAAUUCCCAGAAAAUAUGUAUAACGUUGCUAAAUUCAAAUGAUUUUUACCAGGCAGGAAAUGAAUGUAUUUUGUCUUAACGGUAUUCCAAAUGCGCUCUGUGCAAAGUGAUGUCAUAUUUCAAAUGAUACAGGUUCUCUUUCUGUCAAGUUCAUUGUCUUUGAAAGCUAGAACAAUGGGCUCUCAAAUGCAGAGAGAAGGGCCAGGCAAUCGGGAAACAACAUGGGGUGUAUUUUAUUCCAUAAUUUACUUAUCACAGGAUCCGAUCAAUACUUUUAAAAUGCCUUAGAUGAUGACUGAGAGAAUGGUGGUGUUUGAGGAAGUGUGAGGGGCUCUGCCCCGAGACUGAGUACGGUAUGGGGGAGAUUUAUAGACACUUGACACAGGGGUGGACAGAAAUAAAAGCAGCAGCUACCAGGGUCCUAGCGCCGCCCCUGCCUUGGAACACUGGGCUUGGAAAUCAGCAGAUGUGCUGGAGGUUUGGGGUUGUCAAAACUUUCCAUGAAUCAAUGCGAUCAAAACCCAAAGCUCCCCAUUUCAAAGGCCUAUGAAGAGGGUUAAUUAUGGUCUAGAAAAUUCUGCAUGAAGAGUACUCAAAACAUUCGGGAGGUUUGUUAAUGGAUGAUUUCUUCCCUUCACUCUUGCCACGUGAAGUUUUGGACCCAAAGUAUGAAUUUGGGAUGCGCAGACUUUUAAAAUUCUGCUGUGAAAGAUAAAGUCCAUACCUGCUGGGAAUGGAUUCUCCAUUAAGCAAGCAAGAAACCCACUUAUGUAGAAAGUCAAAAGCGGAUGAAACAUAUAAAUAAGUAUGAGGAAAAUGGCGCUAUGCUGAGACCCAGUAUUUUCAGCUCUGAAUUUCAGCACUGGCUGCUAGCUGACUCGCCAGGGGAUUUAAAAGAAUUUGAUUAGUGUCACUGCUGGAGGACUUCCUUUGGGGACACGUUUGGAGACUACAGCCCACGGGGCUCCAUAGGUGUCUGAUUAGUGCCACCAUACCAGGCCCUGUGCUCAGAAGGGCCCUGACUGUGACUUAAUGUUCUACUGUUGGCACACUGACGUUCUUAAUCGUUUCAUCUUUGGAUUUGUGUUUUGUAAGUGAAGUCCACGCUUUAAGUCUACUUCCUGCCUCAUCCCACCUCCCCCAGUGGGUCCUUGACCACCCUUCUCCUCCACCCACUGGAGCCCCAGCCCUUCUGGCCCCCCCUCUCUGCCCUUUGACCACGGCCACCCUCUACCCCGGUAGAGGUAGCAUUGUGGGGAAGAGGUGGAAUGUAUGGGUAGAGUAGGGUAAGGGACCGGGGGAGGGAGGGAGGCCCACGUUCUACAUGGCACAGGUGCCGGAAUGUUGNNNNNNNNNNNNNNNNNNNNNNNNNNNNNNNNNNNNNNNNNNNNNNNNNNNNNNNNNNNNNNNNNNNNNNNNNNNNNNNNNNNNNNNNNNNNNNNNNNNNNNNNNNNNNNNNNNNNNNNNNNNNNNNNNNNNNNNNNNNNNNNNNNNNNNNNNNNNNNNNNNNNNNNNNNNNNNNNNNNNNNNNNNNNNNNNNNNNNNNNNNNNNNNNNNNNNNNNNNNNNNNNNNNNNNNNNNNNNNNNNNNNNNNNNNNNNNNNNNNNNNNNNNNNNNNNNNNNNNNNNNNNNNNNNNNNNNNNNNNNNNNNNNNNNNNNNNNNNNNNNNNNNNNNNNNNNNNNNNNNNNNNNNNNNNNNNNNNNNNNNNNNNNNNNNNNNNNNNNNNNNNNNNNNNNNNNNNNNNNNNNNNNNNNNNNNNNNNNNNNNNNNNNNNNNNNNNNNNNNNNNNNNNNNNNNNNNNNNNNNNNNNNNNNNNNNNNNNNNNNNNNNNNNNNNNNNNNNNNNNNNNNNNNNNNNNNNNNNNNNNNNNNNNNNNNNNNNNNNNNNNNNNNNNNNNNNNNNNNNNNNNNNNNNNNNNNNNNNNNNNNNNNNNNNNNNNNNNNNNNNNNNNNNNNNNNNNNNNNNNNNNNNNNNNNNNNNNNNNNNNNNNNNNNNNNNNNNNNNNNNNNNNNNNNNNNNNNNNNNNNNNNNNNNNNNNNNNNNNNNNNNNNNNNNNNNNNNNNNNNNNNNNNNNNNNNNNNNNNNNNNNNNNNNNNNNNNNNNNNNNNNNNNNNNNNNNNNNNNNNNNNNNNNNNNNNNNNNNNNNNNNNNNNNNNNNNNNNNNNNNNNNNNNNNNNNNNNNNNNNNNNNNNNNNNNNNNNNNNNNNNNNNNNNNNNNNNNNNNNNNNNNNNNNNNNNNNNNNNNNNNNNNNNNNNNNNNNNNNNNNNNNNNNNNNNNNNNNNNNNNNNNNNNNNNNNNNNNNNNNNNNNNNNNNNNNNNNNNNNNNNNNNNNNNNNNNNNNNNNNNNNNNNNNNNNNNNNNNNNNNNNNNNNNNNNNNNNNNNNNNNNNNNNNNNNNNNNNNNNNNNNNNNNNNNNNNNNNNNNNNNNNNNNNNNNNNNNNNNNNNNNNNNNNNNNNNNNNNNNNNNNNNNNNNNNNNNNNNNNNNNNNNNNNNNNNNNNNNNNNNNNNNNNNNNNNNNNNNNNNNNNNNNNNNNNNNNNNNNNNNNNNNNNNNNNNNNNNNNNNNNNNNNNNNNNNNNNNNNNNNNNNNNNNNNNNNNNNNNNNNNNNNNNNNNNNNNNNNNNNNNNNNNNNNNAAAAAAAAAAAAAAUUACUUUCUGCUUUGAGAGAGAAGCAUUUCCCACUCCAAAUCAAAGGAACAAAACAAAACAAAACAAAACAAAACAAAAAACUCCGAAUGAACUUCAGUUUCAGAAUUCAUGAGUAGCUCGGGAAAGAACAGUUGGGUUAUCUCAGCUGUGCUGAACAUUUUCUUCGGUUACUCCCAUCAACGAUUGAGCUCAUCGAUUUUGGAAGGCAUCCUACUAUGUCUCAUUAGGCUGUUUGAAACUAGUGAUGUCAGAAUAUAGCACUCUUAUUUUUCAUUGCUAAUUAAUGGAUUAAAAGUCCACUAUCUCAGUGUUAGAAUCUAUAGCCCGGGAAGAAGGUGGUCCUGGAUCGGUGCCUAGUUGCACCUGACACCAUCCAGUGCUCUCAGUGCCUGGCCAUCAGUGUGCAUUAUGAGGGAGACGACAAAAACCCACCGAUAAUACAUCUGGAGUGGUUGCUAAAUUUAGAGGCAUCCAUUAGUGAACUCUUGUUUUCAACGAAAUGGAAGUUUGUUAUUUAGAAAAUUUGUUUUGAAUUAUUAAUUUAUGUAGAAAUAAGAAAUGCUUGGGUUUUUAAGCCAGAUCAGCUUGGGUCCACAAAGUCGUUCUGCCCAUUUUAAGAUGAGGAAAGGCCCUCUGUUUGUCCGGAAGAGAAUUGACAAGCCCUUGAGUACCUGGUAAAGUAGCAAACGAUGGACCAUUCUAAGUGGGCCGGUUUAGUUAAGUCUACAGCCUGCUCAAUAUUUUGACUCUCUAUUUAUAGACUUUGCCCAUAAUGUAAAACGAGCAUAAACUGUAGUUCUGGUGAUGUCUGGCUGUGCAUAGCCCUUGCUCAGUACUUUUAAUUCUAACACUAAUAGCUUCCACUUACUCAGGGCUUACUAUAACCCAGGAAUCACACUAAGUGCUUUCAAUGUGCUAUUUUUAUCUUCACAACCAUUUUAUGAGCUAAAUAUCACCAUCCCCGUUCUACAGACCAGGAAACUACCGUUUCACGGAGUUAAGUUACCUGCCUAGGAUCUCACCACCAUUAAGGAACAGAGACAUGACUUUAUCAUGUUUGCAGACUCCUAAAUCCAGGCUCUGCAAGCAGGAUAGGGGAGAGAGAGAGGGAGAGAGAAAAUCCCAAGCAGGCUCUGUGCUGGCAGAGUGGAACCAGGCAGCGCAGAGCCUGAUGCAGGGCUCAAACUCACAGAACUGUGAGAUCAUGACCUGAGCCGAAAUCAAGAGUCAGAAACUUAACCACCCAGUGGAUGACUGAGCCACCCAGGCGCCCCUAGAGUUCUAAACUCUUAAGUGGUAAAACUUAGAUGAUCCUCAUAAGACCAAUCGUUCUGCUGUAUUUCCAUACCUGGGAGAAUCCACCUUGUACAAGAGGAGGGACACACACACACAUACACACACACUUUUUUUUUAGAGAGAGAGAGUGCACAGGAGCAGGGUAGAGGGGCAGGUGGAGAGAGAGAGAGAGAGAGAGAGAGAGAGAGAGAGGGAGAGAAUCCUAAGCAGCUUCCACACUGAGCACAGAGCCUGAUGUGGGGCUCAAACCCACGACCUUGGGAUCAUGACCUGAGCUGAAAUCAACAGUCAGAUGCUCAACCAACUGAGCCUCCCAGGUGUCCCCACAGAUACAUUUUUAUGCAUACACACACACACACACACACACACACACACACACACACAAUGGCCCUCGGCCUGUCACACCGGGGCAAUCAGCAGACACCUGUAUUCUGGGGUCCUUUGUGCUCAGAGCCAAGUAAAAAGGUAAGCCAACUGGAUAAGUGCUCUGAGCACCAAUCUAUAAGGACAAUACUAUUCCUAAUGGAAAUCAGAAAUAUGGUACCACUUAACUCAGAUCUGCAUGUGUGACUACUUCCAUAACCAUCAGAAUAUACUUUGGUCCCAUUCCAGCCCAGUAGACAAUGGAAAUGAAAACAUUAUCUUGGUGCCAGCUCUGCUCCCUGACUAAAUAAUUGUUGCAUUAAUAUUGGAGGUGUAUCAUUUGAGGUACACCAAAUUCUUGGUCUUCCUGGAGCUCCAGCAUGUCUUGGUGCAGACCUGUUUGUGCUAUGGAUGGCAGACCCCACUGCUUAAACCAAGUACCAGAGCCUCAAGCACUGUGUCUAGUCUUCCAUCCCGACUCCGCUGUCCUCUUGCUCUCAUGUGACGGCCAGUGCACGAAGUCCAGUGCUUGUCUCUGCCCUUGAGCUUUCCCUCUGAUCCAGUGUGGAAUUUGGGGGCAGAUCUUGAUUGCCUUGCUGGUCUUUGAGCUCUCCCAAGUUUAACUUUCUUUCUUUCUUUCUUCCUUUCUUUCUUUUUAAUGUUUAUUUUCGAGAGAGAGAGAGAGAGACAGAGAGACAGAGAGAGAGACAGAGAGCAAGCGGGGGAGGGGCAGAGAACAAGGGAGACCCAGAAUCUGAAGCAGGCUCCGGACUCUGAGCCGUCAGCACAGGGCCCAACACAGGGCUUGAACCCACGAACCACGAGAUCAUGACCUGAGCCACAGUUGGACUCUCAACCAACUGAGCCACCCAGGCGCCCCCCAAGUUUAACUUUAUACAUUAGAUUUUCAUUGUGGCUUGGGGUAAAUGCUGCUGAUUGCAUCUAGCCUGGGCCUGGCCUGGCCUGGCCUGGCCUUUGGUCACCUGGAGCCAGCAGCCUUCUCUUGCUUUCUGGGCAUUUCAGGAAUACUCCCAGAAUGUCUCUGCUUGCUGCUUGUUCCAUAUCUGUCCUCUUCUCUGAAUAUGAACUCUGCUUACCACUCUAUCCCCAGAAUCUUGCACCAUACCUGCCAUGAAGAAGGUGAUCAAUAAAUAUGUAUUGAUCAAGUAUAAUUUUAAAAAACACAUCAUAAAUUAUUUGCUUCAACCAGUGAUACGGAGAAAAUAUUAAAAGUAAAAAAAUUUAAGCAUUCACCUCCAUGAUUUCAUUGAGAAACCUCUUGCAAUAAACCUCAUAAUGUCAAUUCCAAAAUAGGUAGAGAGAUAGAUACAUAUCAGUUGAAUAAACAAAUGAAUGGAUAUUUAUUUACUUAUUUAACAGGUACAUGAUACUAUGUGUCUGGCAAUGUCAUAAAGAGUUUAUACAUAUUAAACUCAGUUAAUUUUUUUUUUUACUUGCUGUUCCCCAUCCCCCCAGACUAUACGUUUCUUUCUUUUUCUUUUUUUAUUUAUUUAAAUGAUCUCUACACCCAACAUGGGGCUCAAACUCAUGACCCUGAGAUCAAGAGUCACACGUUCUAACAAUUGAGCCAGCCAGGCACCCCAUAGACUGUUAGGUUUCUUGAGGACAGAAUUUGUGCUGGUCUCUAGCAUAAUAUCUGACAAGAAAUACAUAUUGAUUACAUUAAUAUUUAUAUUAAUAUUUAAUUAGGGUAGCAUCUAGUUCCCAUAUUUGUAAAUUCUCACAUGUAAAUGGGCUGCAUCGUGGCUAUAUUAUUUCUGUUUGAUUCUCUUGCAUGAAAAUUUCUGCUGCGUAGUUUCAUGUUCUGUUCUUUUCUUUCAUUGAACUCUAUUUUGUCAAUAUCCUUUGUUUUGGGUCACUUGCUUUGAAAAAAUGUAAAAUAAAGAAUAUUUUUGGAAGGAACUUCAGCAGCGAGUUGUAAGUAUUGGAACUUCAAAAGAUGUUAUGUUUUCUCCCAUUUUUUUCCUUGUUUGAUAUAUAUACAAGUUCUAGGCCCCAUCAGUCUAGAAAAUUCUUAAGAAAAAUUGCUCUUCUGGCAAGAUACACUGUGCUUCAUCACAGGUCAGUUAUGUUCAAAAUGUGUCAAAAAAGAAAAAAGUAACACCUUAGGUGGGUCGCUCAGUGAAAAACUGAUUAGCUUCUCUUGAAACAUGUUUUUUAGGACAUUGAAACACUGUUUUAUUCAGUUGAAGUUAAGGGUUCCUUUCCUACCCCCAAAGUACCACUGCUGAGAAAACAAGAAGGUAUUGAGUGAGUUCAUGGUCACUACUUUGAGAUAUUGGAAGGAAGGUAACAACUUGAAAUCAAGAACUGUGUUUUUGGAAAAUCAACUGGAACCUGCCUCUUUUUCUUGAGGAAGAAAGUUUUGAAAGGGUAUUAACAUCUUCUGGGGCCAGGAGCCUUUUAGCUUUUGCUAGAAACAAAACUUCUGAGACUUUUUAGAAGGCAGGAUUAUAAAAGAAAAGUGAACAUGACAAAUAAUCCAGCUAUCAAUUGCUGUGUAACAAAUUACUUGCAGAUUUAGGGGCUUAACACAUCCUUUUUCUUUUUGCUCAUCACUUUGUGGGUCAGAAAUUCAGGGAAUCAGCAGAAUGGUUCUCACUGAGGUCUCUCACGCGACUGUGUCCAGAUGUCUGGGUGUCCCUCAACAGGGCUAGACAUCCACCGUGGCUCGUUCACAAGUCUGGCAGGAGAUCCUGGCUGUCAGCUGGGAGUGCAACUGGGGCUCCACGAACUACCUACAUCUGGCCUUUCCAUGUGGCCUGGGCUUCUCACAGCGUGGUGGCUGGGUCCCAACAGGAAGAGUCUGCAGAGCAUGUAUUCAGAGAGAACUAGCGAGAGGCUUCAAGGUCUCUUCUGACAAGGACUUGGAAGUCAUAACACCGCUUCUGUAUGGCUUCCAAGUAAGGCCAGCCCAGAAUCAAGAUGGUAGAAGGGGAGAAUUAGACCCUACCAGUUUAUGGGAGCAGAGUCAAAGAAUUUGUGGCUAUCUUUUCAAACUUCUACAACAAAUCAGCACUGGACACAUACAUGAAUGAAUGAAUGAAUGAAUGAUACCCACCUAAGCAUACCUGGGAGAAAUGCUCUCUAAAAUCCUUACCUCUAUAAAAAAUUUGUGCAUUUAUUCUGAAAUAUUCUUAAGUCCAAUAUUUAAGACAGUGAUUUUAUUAUGAGAAAAGGUCUACUUAUACCAACUUCUCUGCACAGGGUAAAAGGAAGGAAAGAAGAGGAAUAGAAUGAGAGGUAGAGCUGUCAUCUACCCACAUGGAUAGUGUUGUGUUAAGCCCCUAAACCCGCAGCUAUCCACCUUCCCAAAUAUCUCCCUUGUCAUCUAUUUUCAUUCCUGAAACCCCUCCAAUAGAGACUUUUCUUUCUAUUGAGUCUUGAGAGCGUCUCUCUAUAGAAAUCAUGCAUCAUGGUACAGGUACCACUUAGAGAAGAAUAAUACCUUAGUUUCUUUUUUUUUUUUUUAACAUAUCUCACCCUUUGGGGGGUUAUAGCAGGAGUGCAGAGGAAGACGAAAUAUUGGGUAGGUGAGAUAGUAAAGGCAUCAGAGCUUUUCCAACUGUGAUGACUGAUAGUAAGAGCCUCCAGGAAGGGGGAUCGAGAACAGGCUAGAAGUAAGAGGAGACAAAUAAAUGGCAAGGUGAAACGAUUCUAACGAUUAACUUCACAUUUCAAAAUGCCCAGAACUGGCCCAGCAUGGCGAGUUGACAGGUUAUCAAUAGAGUUGUCUUGACCUACCAGGAACCCCUAACAAGGGGAAGGGGGAAGGAAAUCUAGAAGAGCUCCUGUGUACUCAAGCAUGCAUUCACCUAUCAACCAUUCCAACAGCCUUUACAAGAAUAGUAUCACUAUAUCCACCUCACAAAUGAGGGCAGAGCCACAGCGUGGCAGGAGUCUGGGUCCCUGAAGAGUCACAUAGGAGGCUGUUCAAGCAGAGCACUCCUAGUAGAUUGUGAUACGUGUGAGAAAACCACUGCUACCUUUAACUGAUACAGCCUUGGUUGAUUCUGCCUGUCCACUAACCACAUACUCUUAUCGGUAACAAUUCUUCAGGGCUGGAGGGAGACACAGAGAGGAGGACAGGUGCAGAAUGUCUCAGGGAAGGUGUAUGUAUUGUUUUAAGUCCCCCACAGUCGAAUCUUUUCCCACACCAUGCCCCUGCUUUCCAGGUAACGUGUCAUUACAAGCCAUCGCACUUAAGGUUUCAAAGUAGGAACGCCACGUGAUCGGAGGUGUGCAGUGAGGAAAACGAGCCUGGCAGUGAUAUGUUGGAUGUGUUAGGUGGCACGGAAGCAGAGUGGUGGCGCGGUGGGAGGAACAAAGUGACAAGUAAGGAUUAUCCGGGAACCAUUCCAGGGCCAGACGUGCAGGAGACUCUGAGGUGCCCGAUGGGGGAAGCCUAGAGAGAGAACAGGAGCAGGAAAGAUCAGGCAGAUAGAAACACACAGGGGGACUCGGCCAGACUGACUGGAUCUGGGGCCUGAGGAGAUUACAAGAGUCAGUCUUGCUCAAUGUAGUGGUUAUAUUGUGCACGUAAAUGAUUUUGGACCAAGAUUUUACAAAUCAUUUGGCUAAAAGGCAACAGUCAGCCUCUGCAACAGCCGAAGGGAUUUCUUUAAAUCCUUCCCAUGAAAGAGCUGCAAAAUUGCUCUCUUCCCUCUAGGGGGUCCCAAUGGACAGGACCCAGGAUGAGCUACAAGGUCCUCAUCAGAUCCCAGAGAGACACUCCUGUAUCCCUUGACCUGGCAAAGUCUGGAUUUCAAGCUCGUCCAACAUACUAGCCCCUCCAUACCCAGUAGGCCAGCCCUUCUCUGGUGCUCUGGGUGUCCCGGGCCCCAGCGCUCCACGUCAGCUUUCUUACGUGUGAUGUAGGCCCCAUUUCUCCCUAUGUCCACAGGAAAACAAUUCCAAAGCUCCCAAGCGGCCCUCCAGAAGUCUCUCACGAACCAGGUUAAAAGUGAAGGAGGGUGUGAGUCUUUCACCCCCCCCACGCACAGCAAGAGUUGUUCUUUUUCACCAAUCCCCUCCCCCUCCACACCCUGACCUCUUCUGAUAACCUUGUUCUGGUUGAGGGUCCCAGAGCCGCAGAAACAGAACCCGAACACCUCUCCUGUAGUUUCUGCCCGUAGCGGGUUUUGCCUCCCGCUCACGUUCAUACCUGACGACUGCACUGUUGACCUUAGCUGAAACUGAAGAGGAAAAGUUCCAUUCUAACCAACUUCUAGCUAGACAAUAAUUAAUUUUUAAAAAUCAUACUUCCCGCAUUCAAAAAAAAAAAAAAAUCCCGGCCAACAUUUUACCAAGUCAAAUGUUAUUUAAGAUCCUUGCUUCUUCAACUCCAUCCUGUGGAUAUGCUGACAGUCAGUGUAAUUUUUCUCUGAUCCUUGGCAAUUUUUUAGCCAGAGAUCACUUUUCAUUAUGUAACUGAUACAGUCAUUUCCAAGCCAUCUCCGAGAUGUGUAAGGCCAAGUACAAUGAAUUACACUUUUGCAUUUCUUACUCCAACCAAAUUAAUGUAAAUGGAGGAGAAUUCCAUUGGGAAACAAUUUCUGAGGAACAAAAGCAAUUUCUAGUGGCCUAUCUUAACCAGCUCCAGUGCUGACACUACUUUGUAUAAACUCAUUUACCAGUGGAAUGUUUAAUAUAAAUUGUGGUUGUGUCCAUAAAAGUCAUGCUUAAACAGACAUUGUAAUUAUAGAGGGAAGAAUGUUUAUCUCUGGGGAUUCCUCUCUUAGUGGUUUUUACAUAUUCCACUUUUUAAUUUUUUGUUUUAGAGAGAGAAAGAGAGAGAGUGAAAAUGAGCAAAGAAGAAGGGCAGAAGGAGAGAGAGAGAGGAUCUCAAGCAGGCUCCAUGCCCAGCACGGAGCCCGAUGUGGGGCUCGAUCCCACGACCCUGGGAUCAUGACCUGAGCUGAAAUCAAGAGUUGGAUGCUCAAUUGACUGAGCCACACAGAUACCCCCAUAUUCCACUUUUUAAAAGAGAACAUACAUUACUUUGAUAAUCAGAAUAUAUUAUUUACACAUGUAUAGGUUUACAUGCAACACACAGACCCAUUUAAGGAGAGAAUGGCCUGGGGCGGGGGGUGGCACCUGGGUGAAACAGAUGCUUAAGCGCCGACCUGAGCUCAGGUCAUGAUCUUGUGGUCAGUGAGUUCGAGCCCCGUGUCGGGCUCUGUGCUGACAGCUCAGAGCCUGGAGCCCGCUUCGGAUUCUGUGUCUCCCUCUCUCUCUGUCCUUCCCCCACUCACAGUCUGUCUCUCUAAAAACUAAAACCCAUUAAAAACAAUUUUUUGAAGAGAGAAUGGGAUCAAAAAUGCAAAUAGUCUUUAUAGCAAUGUCCACUAGAAAUAUGAUGUUAAACACAUAAUGUAAUUUUAAGUUUUUUAGUAGCCACACUAAAAGAGUGAAUGGAAAGGUGAAAUUGAAACUUAAUUCAACAGUAUAUUUAUUUAACCCAAUGUAUCCAAAACAUGGUCAUUUUGACAUGUAAUCAAUACAAAAAUUAUUAAUGGAAUAUUGUAUGUUCUUUUUUUUUAUAUUAAAUCUUUGAAAUCCAAUGAUUAUAUUAUACUUAUGGCACAUCUCAAUUCAGACUAGCCUCAUUUCAUGUGCUCAAGAGCCCUGUGUUUAUAGCGGCUACCGAGUGGGUCAGCACAGCUCUGUACUCUCAACAAUGAUCUUAUAAGAGACAAAUAUUAAAGAUCUUAUUAGACCUUGUUGAUUGGCCAUGAAUUUGUUCUUGUGUGCUUGAUAAAAAUUCUGGGAAAAUGCAAAAGUUUGCAAAAAAAAAAAAAAGAACUCAGUUAUUUAAGCAGAGCAUUCUUGUAUUUGUCCCCCUAUGAAAGUUAUAUUUAUGAACUGAACCUUUUCCUUCCCUUUAAUGAUUUGUUCAGUCCCAAAGCUGUGUCUAGAUAGCCGAUAAAUUGCAUCUCAAAAGCAUGAGUAAACCCUAAGGAACAUACAUUAGUUCACAUCAUCAUCUGAAAUAUGGUGACCACUGCUCUCCGAUAUUUAUUGGUACUUAUCUCUUGAGGUAACACCUUCGAAUCAAUAGUUCUUGUCUAUUUUUAAUGUCCUGCCAUUAAUCUGUUCUUCUGUCCAUUUUUCUUGCUCAACAAAGAAUGUGCAGAGGCCUGAGUGUUUUUCUAGUUUUUUUUUUUUUCCUCCAUGGGAGCAGAUCGUAUUUCAUCGGGAGUCUGUGUCAGGAUUUAAAGAUUGGCAGUGUACCUCCAUUUUAGACAAAAGGGAAGUAAUUCUAAGGUCUGUUGCAUGAAAAAUAAAACUUAGGUCUUAGGUGUCUUUUAGUAUCCUGCUAAAAAGUACACAACAUUAAGUUUACCAUCUUAACUAUUGUUUAAGUACAUGUUUCAGUAGUGUUAAGUAUAUUCGUAUUACUGUCCAACCUUAUGAAUCUUUGUGUACUUCGUUUGGUGCAUCUGAGAGGAACAAGUAGGCUCUCACCUGUGUAGACAGGUCGAUUUGUGGUCUCAGAUCUCAGAGAUGGUUGGGUGGGGGAUUUAGAGUUAGGUCAUGGACCCGUAAGGAACCAGGGAAGCAUUAACUCCAUCCGACCUGCCGUGAAAUGGAGGCAGACGAGCCCUCCUCUCUCAUCAUUAUGAAGUUACAGGAUGGGGUGACGUUGUGAGAUUACAGGAUGCUCUUUUCUUCAUUACUGCUUGAGUCUCAGAACACUCUGCAAGGGUCAGGACGGUUACCUGUGCCCCUAAUGUUUCUCCUAAUGACACUCUCGGCCAGCUUGCACUCUUGCUUUUAGCUAUCAGUAGAUGUGUCAGCCUCAUCUGACGGUGACAAAGCCAGAAUACACACACCUAGUUCCAAAAGCUCAUGUCUUUCAGUUAAUAGCACCUGUUCAGAGGAACCCAAUAAACUUUUCUUAGGCACUGAUGUUCAGAAAUUUGAAUCUUAAUAGGCUCCCACGUUAAACACUGUUGGCUUGUGACUCUCCUAAAAAGUAAUUUUCACUGCUGGGAACCUUACUGGCCAACGAGGAAAUAGUUGUUACUAUUUUUCACAGGCCAGUGAUCAAACAAUAGCCAAUUUCAGAUUGCUGCCGUUGGCCUCAAUUUAGCAAUCUCAUGAAAUUAUUUCUUAGUUUCCCAAAGAUACUUUAUUGUUAUCAACCUCUUACUUUGAAAAAUCUUAAACCUAACAGAAAAGUUGCUAGAAUAGUACAAGGAACUCCUGAUGGCCUGCACCUAGAUCCAUCGAUUGUUAACAUUUUGCCACAUUUGCUUUUUCCCUCCUGCUAGAGAUCUCUUGUCAUAUUGAGGUGAAAUUUAAUGACAUAAAGUUAACCAUUGUAAAGUGAACAACUCAGUGGCAUUUAGUACAUUCACAAUGUAGUAUAAUCACCACCUCUAUCUAGUUCCAGAACAUUUUCAUUCCCUGAAAAUAAAACCCCGUAUCCAGUAAGCAGUCACCCCCAUUCACCUUCUCCCUAGCCCCUGGCAACCUCCAGUCUGCCUUCUGUCUCCAUGGAUUUGCCUAUUGCGGACAUUUCAUAGAAAUCGAAUCAGACUGUAUGUGACCUUUGGGUGCCUGGCUUCUUUGCAUACUGUGCUCGAGGUUCGUCUGCAAUGUGGCGUGCAUCAACACUUUCAUCACAGAUACUGUUCGUUGAGGUUGUAAAUUGAGUAUGGGGGAGCAUUCCGUCACCUAUGCUCUUUUGCUCCUGCUUCACCCCGCAAACGGGCUGCCUCGGGUCUCCAUAGUGCCUCACGUCCCAUAGUUCCUUUCAAAUCAAGUGCCUCUUUGGGAAAAGGGUGGAUGUUUAUUCACGUAAAUGUGCGUUCACAUCUCAUGAGCUUACUUCAUAGCUUGAAAUGGGCCCAAACAAGAAAAUACCCAAAGAUAACCACAUUAACUAGCUAAAUCACUCUGGAGAUGUCGUGUAAUCUCUCUUGCCCUCAGUUUCUUCAUCUACAGAACGACCAGAUUGGACCCAAGCCCUAAGAGUCAUUGUAAUGAAAAUUGUAUGAUUCUAUUCCCCAGACCAACCAGCUUACACUUUUCCUAGAUCCAUCAUUCCAGAGAGCUACUUUUCCUCUGUGGUAUAUUAGAGCAAAAUUGAUAUUGAUGAACCACUGGAUAUGGGACCCUGGAGUUUACAAACUAUAGCUUGGAUGAGUUUACAAUUCAGUUGGAGCUAAGAGAUAGAUGAACAUGUGACAAGAAGGAUAUUCAUAACCAGAGGACAAAGCUUGUUAAGAGAGAUGAAAUAUUCAACACUGAACCACACAUAUUCCCCGUAGGGAAACUGGUAAGAAGGCCAACAAAAAAUAGCAGCCUGCCCUCACUCGUCUUGUGUCACUGCCCUCCUUGAUUUGACCAGUCAUCUGUGGGUCAAAUGGCUACAGAAUGCUUCUGGAAAGCGAGUGGCACUUUCACAUCAAAGUUCACCUAGCCGCUACACUAGACAGAAUGUUCUUUCUUAAAUUUAUUUUUAGUGCCGGAUUAAAAAAAAUUGUUGCAAUAUUUCAUUACAAAACUUUUCAAGUACAUAGCAAAACUGACAGAAUUUUGCAGCGAAGCCCUGUUCAUUUACCUCCUGGAGUCUACCAUCAACGUUUGACCCUACUUGUUUUAUCACGUAUUUAUCCAUCCUUCUACCCAUUCAUUGAUCCAUCUUAUUUUUGGAAGGAUUUCAAAGUAAAUUACAGACAUCAGCAUGCAUGUUGUUAAUUCGAAUUCAGUAUUUACCAAUAUUUUCUUUUGAUGUAAAAUGUAUAUACAUUGAAAUAUAUACAUUUCAAAGUAUACAUUCACUGAGUUUUAACAAAUGCAUACACACCUGGGUAAUCCAAAAUCCUGUCAAGAUAGCUAACAUAGAAUUUACUUUUUCUUUUAAAUGUUUAUUUAUUCCUGAGAGAGAGAGUGCGCACAUGAGUGGGGAAGGGGGAGAGAGAGAGAGAGAGAGAGAGAGAAUCCCGAGCAGGCUCUGUGCUAUCAGCACAGAGCCCGAUGCAGGGCUCGAUCCCACCAACUGGGAGAUCAUCACCUGAGCCAAUCAAGAGCUGGACGCUUAACCAACUGAGCCACAUAGGCACCCUUAGCAUUUGCUUGUUAAUUUAAAUUUUUGUAUAAGUACAUUGUUUUGAAAAACACAAUAGCAUAAUUGGUCUUAAACUGAAAGACUAUAGUCACGUGUCCUUUCCUCCCAAUCGUGUUUCCUGCUUCUCAAAGGCAACUCCUUUCAAAUCUUUUUACAUGUUUCCUCUGAUAAUUCUUUAUAUAUACUUGUAUAGAAUGUUAUUAUUUUUAUUUCUUAAGUUUUCCAUUUUAGAAUUAUCUAUUGGUUAGCUACUAUGGAGAAUGAUGUUAUGGUUUACACAGAAAACUCCAAAAAAUCUAGAAUUAAUAAGAGAAUUUGGCAGGUUUGUUGUAUUAAAAAAAACAACCUACAGAAAGCAAUUGUAUUUUUUUUAAUUUUUUUAAUGUUUAUUUAUUUUUGAGAGACAGAGAGAGACAGAGUAGGAAUGGGAGAGGGGCAGAGAGUGAGGGAGACACAGAACCUGAAGCAGGUUCCAGGCUCUGAGCCAUCAGCACAGAGCCCGACGUGGGGCUCGAACCCACAAACCACGAGAUCAUGACCUGAGCCGAAGUCGGACGCUCAACCGACUGAGCCACCCAGGCGCCCCAAAAACAAUUGUAUUUAUAUACAAUAGCAAUCAAUGGAAAUUAUAAAAAUAAAAUUGUAGUUCCUAAAAGUGUAACACAUCAGAAAAUAGACAUGACAAAGAAUACAUCUUUAAUGAGAAAGUAAAAAUUCUGCGUCAUAAGUAAGCGAGGGAAGUGCAAAUCAUUGAGGAGCACUACCAUGUUUACGGAGCAGCAAACUCACUCUUGUACAGAUGUUGAUAUACAGGCUGAUGGAGUUCCAAUGAAAAUCCGAAAAGGUGUGUUUGUGGAACCCUACAAGUUAAAAUAUUUGUUGGUGAUCAGAGAAGCAAGAACAGUCAAAACACUGCUAAAAAAAGGAGAACUAAGAGGAGGAACUCAUCUUACCAUUAUCAAGAACUCUUUGAAACUAUUUGAAUUAGGCCAGUGUGAUAUGAACCAAUGGAAAAGAAUGGACAGCCCGGAAAACCGAUCUCUGUGGAGGAAGAACCACUCCAAGGACUUCCUUUGGCCUGCCUAGUAUUGUCACAUAAGCAAGAAGUACAUUUCUAUUGUGUUUUGGCCAUUUUAUGAUUUUGGACCUAUUUUGUAAAGCAGUUAGCCUAUUCUAAUACCACUUCUCUUGCAUUAGUGUGAAUCUUGAUAUGCAAAAAUCACAUCAAUAUUGACCUUCAUAUCUUUGCCUUCUUGUUUAAAAACACAAGAACAUUAGUGUACUUUGGCUUCUUAAUCUAGUGUACUUUAGUGCUUAAUUUACACGCGACUGUUAUUGGAUGUUAUGGUUCUUUUUUUGAACCUUAUAAGGCAUGAUUGCUUCUGUGCUCAGUGACGUUUUAGAUUACCCACCUUUCUACUACUUAAUUUGCUCAUUUUCUCUUCUUAUAUCUCCAACCUUCCAUCUGAGAUUGCUUUCUUUCUGUCCACAGUACAUGCUAGAAAAAGUCUUGGUGGGGACCUCUGUUGGUGUCAAAUUGCCAAUACUUGGAUAUUUCUUUAUUUGGCUUACAGUCUUUUUAUUUGGUGUUGGGGGGUCCGAUUACUCACUGUCCCCGUAAGCGGAGUGAAGUCGAGGCUCGUCAGAGUGCUCUUGUGCCUCAGCACGAGGAAGGCCGCGGGAGAGGAGACGUGGCCUUACCCCUCGGACCCCUCCUUGACAAUCAGGAGCCUAGUGUAGCCGAAAGCAAGAUGGCACGUGCCGAAUCAGGUUACCCAGUCGUCCAGCAGUGAGGAAGAGCUUGCCCUGGGUGGACGCAGACCCCCUUUCGCUUUACCCGGGAGGGAGGGCUCCAGUAUUGCAUGACUUCCGUUUCUCCAACUCACCUGCUCAGGGGCCAGCCCGGAGCCAUGGCUGACAAGAGCUAGUAAAGUUGAGAGACACGAGACAGCAUUUUCAUAAUCUCUCUGAUGGGCUUCUUGCCUUGGCCCAAAGAGAGCUCCUCACAGCACCAAGGAGCAGUAAAACCAUAGAACAAGGCAGAAGGGCUCCUUUUACUAACCCCUUCAGUGUGACUUUCCUCCAUUCUCAGGAACUGUGCAUAGUAAUUUCCAUGUCAAGACCAGGGCGCUAGCGGAGUUCUUAAAAGCCAAGUGGAAAAAUGUGAGGCCUGCCCAGAUUGAUCCUGUUCCAAGAUAAUUUCUUCAUCCAUCUAAUGCCUAUGAGUUCUUAAAGCUGGGAGGUUUGCCUAAAGCUGUGAGGUCUGUUUUGAUUCCUUAAAAGAGUGUUGCCCAAAUAGUGAUGUACCCAAGUAUCACCUGGGUCAGAUGUUAAAAUUAUAGAUUAUGUCAACUUUAGUAGACGUUCUGAAUUCUUACCUCUAGGACAGGGCUAUCCAAUAGAUAUAUUAUGCCAGCCACAUAUAUGAUUUUACAUUUUCUAGUCAUCAUGUUUUAAAAAAUAAAAGAGGAGUGCCUGGGUGGCUCAGUCCGUUGAGCGUCUGACUCUUGAUUUUGGCUUAGGUCAUGAUCUCACAGCCAUGGGAUUGAGCCCCGAGUCAGACUCCAAGCCUGCUUUAGAUUCUCUCUCUCUCCCUUUGCCGUUCUCCCUCUCACGCUCACUCUCUCUCUCUCUAAAAUAAAAAAAAUUUUUGAAUAAUAAAAAGAGAAAACAAAAAAUAAAGAGAAACAGGUAAAAAUAAUUUUAAGAAUAAAUUUUAUACUAUUUAAAUAAUACUGUAUUUAAUUUUAAUAAUAUCUUUUAUUUAAAUAUAUUUGAAAUAAACCUUACUUUACUUAAAUAUAUUUUAUUAAUUUUAAUGAUAUUUUUAUUAUUUUUAUUGUUUAAAAUAGGAGUAUUUUACUUAUAUAGUCAAAAUAUUGUCAUUUCAACGUGUGAGCCGUAAAAAAUUCUUGAAAUGUUUUAUAUUCUUUUUUCAUACCAAAUCUUAAGUUGCUCUGUGUAUUUUAUGCUCAUGGCACAUCUCAAUUUAGACCAACCACAUUUAAAGUGCUAAGUAGGCACAUGUGGCUAGUACGGUGCUAGGGAAAGACCCUAGAAAUUGGCAUGUUUGAAAGCAUGGCAGGGGCACCUGGGUGGCUCAGUCGGUUACACGUCCAACUUCAGCUUAGGUCAUGAUCUCAUAGCUCGUGGAUUCAAGCCCUACAUCGGGCUUCUUGCUGUCAGCACAGAGCCUGCUUUGGAUCCUCUGUCUCCUUCUCUGCUCCUCCCCAGCUCAUUCUCUCUCUCUCUCUCUCUCUCUCUAAAUAAAUAAAUGAACUUAAAAAAAAAAAAGAAAAAGAAAACAUCCCAGGUGUUCUUAUCAAGUGAGUUUGGAAAUGCCACUUUAAGGAAUUGGUGGUCACUAAACAAUGGGCUUUUGAGCCACUUUGAUGACUUCAUAGAUACAUAUGUAAUGUUGGAGGAGAAGGGGCCUUGGAAGGCAUCGGCUACAACUUCCCCUCUUACGGAUGAGAAAACAAAAGUUACUGAUUUGCCAAGGUCACAUGAUCUGCUGAAGUCUGAGCUGGAACUAUAAUCCAAGUCUCUAGAUGUUCUGUUUUAAUUUCUCUCCAGUGGAUUUAUGUGUGUUCUUCACACUGUCUGAAUUAUGAGGGGAAAACACUGUCAAGUGAUAUCUUACCAAUCUGGUGUAUCUCCAACUUCAAUCCACACUUGAUUUUGACGCAAUGAAAACUACCACUUAUUGAGUGCCUACCAUGUGCCAGGCACUGUGUUGUGCGCUAUAUACACAUUACAUUUAAACCCUCACAGCGAACCUAUCAAUAUCAGGCCCAUUUUAAGGAUGAGAAGAGUGGGAACAUGUCCAAGUUCACAAAUGGUAAGUGGCAGGGAGGGAGUUUGAACUAGGGUCUGGCUCCUAGGCCGUGUCCUUUCUGGCCUGCUGUCCACAUAAACAGAAUAUCCCACCUGUACAUGCUGCUGAGGCAAGGGCUGGAGGCUCUGACACAGGACCAACACGGCGUAAAGAUCUUCCACUGGCACGUGACCCAGUCAACACUUCAUGUAUCGGGCCUUUUGUGAUGCUUGGGAGCAUUUCUCUCCCAUGGCCCAUCUCUUCACAAGGGCUGUCCAUCUCCCUCAACUCCCAGCUAUGGACAUGAUCUUCUUCUCCCAGCCAUCAUAACAAGGAUGGAAAAAGUCAGCCUGUCCUUUGCCUUUGCCUUUGCCUUUGCCUUAGCCACAUCUCCACCCAUAACUCUGGUGUCUAAAGCUCUGGAAGUUGGAUUCACAGAUUCUCAGUUCAAAUUGCAGCUGGGGAAGAUUCCUCACAUACAAAUUUGCCAUUACUUGGACUUGGAAAGUACAUCCACUGGAGGAACGUGAUGUGGUUGCCAUGCUUUUGUAUUUGGUUUGGCAAACAUCUAAGAGACCUUUCAAGUAUUUGGGAGUUGGUAUAAUCUAGAACCUAGUCAUUAAUUUGGAAUUGAGUGGGUAUUUCAGGGAAAUGAAAUUGUCAUAUAUACAGAACUCAGGAAAAUGUGUGUGUGUGUGUGUGUGUGUGUGUGUGUGUAUGAGGUUGGUCAAAGUCUUUACAUUGAUAUACUGUGUUCAGAAUAAGCGAGGUCAUUCUCCUUCCACUCCGCAGAAGAAUGAGGAGCUUAGAGCAAAUACAAUUUCUCCUCUUCAUCCAGACCCCAGUGUUAAAAUCAGGCAACAAAUCUGAAACAAAUGAUUAUUAAAAGUAGGCUUUCAAGAGAAAGAAAUUCAAGAACAGUGUACAGAGGGAUGGGUACUGAAAGUGGGGACAACCACAGGCCUUUGCCCUUGAGAAUGAGUGAGCUGACCAUGUGCAUAGCCUUAAGGACAGACCAGCAGUAUCAGCAGCACUGGGGAGCUUGUUAGGAAUGCAAAUUCUUGGACCUCAGACUGCUUCAGGAGCCCUGGGGGGUGGGGUCUGGUGAUCUUUGAUUUAACCAGUCCUCCAGGUGAUUCUAUUACUGCUUUUGGACAGUAGUUCUCAACUCCUAGUAUAUUAGGCUUGUACCAUGGAGACUUUGGGGGGGAAAAAGUCAAUGCCUGGGCCCUACCUCUGAGACUUUCUGGUUUAACUGGUCUGGAGUGGGGCCUGGGUGUGCAUACAUUUAAAAGCUCCUCGGGGGGCGCCUGGGUGGCGCAGUCGGUUAAGCGUCCGACUUCAGCCAGGUCACGAUCUCGCGGUCCAUGAGUUCGAGCCCCGCGUCGGACUCUGGGCUGAUGGCUCAGAGCCUGGAGCCUGUUUCUGAUUCUGUGUCUCCCUCUCUCUCUGCUCCUCCCCCGUUCAUGCUCUCUCUCUGUCCCAAAAAAAUAAAUAAACGUUGAAAAAAAAAAAUUUUUGAAAAAAAAUAAAAGCUCCUCGGGCAAUUCUAAUGUGCCCCUAAGUUGAGAACCACUACUUUAGGGAAUGGUGUCCCAGAUCCUGGGUACAGCCUUGCCCUCACCAGGCGUGUGACCUCAGAUACUUCCAUGGCUGUACCUUAGCUCGUUUAUCUCUCAAAAGGCACCGGGAGGCCAGACAUUGUCACUUAUCUCUAGAGCAUCUUCCAGCUCCAACAAGCUUGGGAGCACCAGCUGGUCACGAACCCUAAAACUUACUCCUAAGUUCCUGCCUAGUGCUGGUAACUGGGGAGUCAUGCCCCAAAAGGGUGGAGUCCAGAGCAACCAAGAAGCACUGGGAAUGAAAGGGCUGACUGACUGCUGAAAAUUGACAGCCCCCAGGAACUGAUGUGAUCUGUUCAGCCUACGGAAAUGACCAUCCAGAGAGCCCCCCAUCUGGUAUCACCUGGAAUGAUAUACCAAUGGGAAGAAUUUAGUUUUAUUUCCCUAAAACUGUUGACAGGCCACUUAGGAAAGGCUUCAAAAACAAAGUCUUGUCAUUGCUGUGGACGGCUUUGCCUUGCCACUCAAAGUGUGGUCCGUGGAUGGGCAAAGUCAAAAUUACCCAGAGCUUGCUAGAAAUGCAGUCUCAGGUUCCACCCUAGACCUACUGAAUCAAAAUCUAUGUUUUAACAAGAUCCUUGGGCGACUCAUAUGUACAUUAAAGCUUGAGAAGUGAUACUUGGAGCGUAUGGGAGACUUCUUAGAUUGGGGUCUGUUGUAGGCUGAACUAUGCUUCCCCUCCAGAAUUCAUAUGUGAAAGUCCUAACCCCCCAUAUCUCAGAAUGUGACUUCAUUUGAAGAUAGGGCCUUUAUAGAGGUAAUUAAGAGUAAAAUGAAGUUCUAAGGGCGGGCCCUAAUCCAAUGUAACUGGAGUCCUUAUAAGAAGAGGAAGAGACACCAGGGAUGCACAGGCACAGAGAAAAGGCCACGUGGGGACACGGCGAGAAGUCAGAUACCUACAAGCCAAGGAGAGAGGCUUUCAGGAGAAACCAAACCUGCUGGCACCUUGAUCUUGGACGUCCAGCCUCUAGCACUGUGAGAAAGAAGUUUCUGUUGUUUAAGUCCCUCAGUCUGGUAUCUUAUUACAGCAGCCCUAGAAAAUUAAUACAGGGCUACUGCUAGAAUCUAAACAUUGGGAGAUUUUGUUCACUGAUGUAUAUCCCCAGGAUCUAGCAAAUAAUAGGAAUUGGGCGAAAAUUUGUUGAAUAAACAUUAAAUAGGGGCACCUGGGCGGCUCAGUCAGUUGAGUGUCUGACUCUUGAUCUCAGCUCAGGUCUUGAUCUCAGGGUCUUGAGUUCAAGCCCCAAGAUGGGCUCUGCACUGGGUGUGGAACCUACUUAAGAUAAGGUGAGAUGAGAUGAGAUGAGAUGAGAUGAGAUGAGAUGAGAUGAGAUGAGAUGAGAUGAAAUGGAUUCCUACUCAGUUGACAUAAUUAAUCCAGGGACAUGUUCCCUAGAAUACAUCUUGAAGAGAGAAUGAUUAUAGGGUAUUCUGCUCAUCUUUUUAAAGAAAUGGCAUAAAAUGCCAAGGCAUAUCCUCUUUCUAAAUAAGACCUUCAAGAAAUCUGAAAAAUUGCACAAAAUCUCUGGUACUUCUUUUCUCUACACUAACCUCUGCAACACAUUUUGCUGUGUGACCAGUGUUGUUUUUGUUUUUGUUUUUUUUAAUCUCAAAAAGGGCUCUGAAGUCUCAAAAUUUUUCCAGCUUUAUUAAGGUAUCAUUCGCUAAAAAAAGGUUUGUGUAUUUAAAUGUACAAUACAAUGACUUCAAAUAUGUAUACCUUGUGAAAUGAUUAUCACAUUCAAGCCAAUUAACAUGUCCAGCACCUCACAUGGUUACCGCUUUUUGUGUGAUAAGAACACCUAAGAUCUACUCUUGUAUCAAAUUUCCAGUAUUGACUAUGGCAUUAUUAACUAUCAUCAUGAUGCUACACAUAAGUUCCACAGAACUUAUUCAUCUCAUAACUGAACAUUUGUACACUUUGACCAACAUCUCCCAUUUUCCCUACCUCCAGCCCCUGGAAACCAUCAUUCUACUCUUUGCUUCUGUGAGUUUGACUGUUAGAUUCCACAUACAAGUGACAGCACACAGUAUUUGUCUUUCUGUGUCUGGCUUUUUUCACUUGGUACAGUGUCCUCCAGGUUCAUCCCACGUUGUUACAAAUGUCAGGAUUUCCUUUUUUUUUUUUAAGAUUUUUAUUUUUUUUUUUUUAAGUAAUCUCUACACCCAGUGUGAGGGUCGAACCCACAACCCCAAGAUCAAGAGUCACCUGCUCUACUGACUGAACCAGCCAGGGGCCCCAGGAUUUCCUUUUUUAUGGCUGGAUAAUAUUCCAAUGUGUGUGUGUGUGUGUGUGUGUGUGUGUGUGUGUGUGUGUCUGUGUAUAUAUAUGCCACUCUUCUUUUUCCAUUCAACCAUCAACAGAUGUUUAGAUUAUUGUGAAUAAUUCUUCAAUAAACAUGGAGGGUGCAGAUAUCUCUUUGAGAUACUGAUUUUGCUUCCUUUGGCUAUAUACCCAGAAGUGAGGUUGGUAGUUUUAUUUUUAAUUUUUUGAGAAAUCUCCUGCUGUUUCCCACAGUGGCUGCACCAAUUUACAUUCCUGCCAGCAGUGCUCAAGUGUUUUCUUUUUCUCUAGAACUUCUCCAACACUUGUUAUUUCUUGACUUUUUGAUAAUAGCCAUCCUAGCAGGCGUGAAGUGAUAUCUCAUUACGGUUUUGAUUUGUAUUUCUCUGAUGAUUACUGAGGGUGAGCACUUUUUCAUGUACCUGGGGGCCGUUUGUAUGUCUUCUUUGAAAAAAUGUCUAUUCAGAUCCUUUGACCAUUUUUUUUAAAUUUUUUUUUCAACGCUUAUUUAUUUUUGGGACAGAGAGAGACAGAGCAUGAACGGGGGAGGGGCAGAGAGAGAGGGAGACACAGAAUCUGAAACAGGCUCCAGGCUCCGAGCCAUCAGCCCAGAGCCCGACGCGGGGCUCGAACUCCCGGACCGCGAGAUCGUGACCUGGCUGAAGUCGGACGCUUAACCGACUGCGCCACCCAGGCGCCCCUCCUUUGACCAUUUUUAAAUUGUAGUGUUCGCUUUUUAUGCUAUUGAGUUGUAUGAAUUCUGUAUAUAUUUUGGAUAUUAACCCCUAAUCAAAUAUAUGUGGUUCCGCCUAGAUCCCUAGGCGGGUAGUGCUGGUGACAACACCAAGGCCAAAUGGGACUGCAGCUAAGUCCACAGGGGAAUGGGGCUGUUUCUGGGUCUGUUGUAAGGACCACCGUCUACGAACCUGCCACCAGGGUGUGGGCCUGCUUUCUCAAAAUGGCCCUCCUCAGUCUUGGAGCUCCACCAGGGUUUUGCAACCUCCUACCUAGAUCCCAAAGCUGCCACAAAGGCACUUUUGUCCCUGGAUGGCUGCCAAAUUUUUGUUGCCAUGUGGGAAUAUGUGGGGAGGUGGGGAUCUCCUAUUCUGCUAUCUUGCUGAUAUUACCCCUCAUUUCUCAAAAUGAUUUUUACAGCUGUGGGUAAUGCCUGCCCAGGGAGUAAGGUAAGCCUUAGAAUUCUUUGCUCACCAAACAUCAGGUUAUCUGAAAUUACAGAGAUAGAAAACAUGCUCAAUACAUGGGCUUAUACCUGAAGUCCACCCAGCUUAAGUGUUCUCAUGGUGAAAGGGCUGUAAAAGGAAGGAAGUGACCCCCAAACCCAAGUGUGACAAACUUGUUAAAUAAAUCACAUCUCAUUCUUACAAUGGAAUACUACGCAGCUGUGAAAAAUUUGAGGCAGCUCCCCACAGUUGACUUGUGAACAGCACAGGUUUGAGCUCUGCGGAUGCCCUUAAACGUGGAUUGUUUUCAACGCAUGCAGGCCGGUACUGUAAAUGCAUUGCCUCUUCCUUACCAUUUUGUAACAUCUUCUUUUCUCUUGCUCACUUUACUGUAAGACGGCAGCUUAUAAUACACACAACAUACACUAUGUGUUAAUCUACGGUUUAUGUUAUCGGUAAGGCUCCUGGUCAUCAGUAGGCUGUCAGUAGUUAAGUUUUGGGGGAGUCAAAAGUUAUACGUGAAUUUUUGACUGCGUGGGGGUCGGUGCCCCUAACCCCUGUGUUGUUCAAGGAUCAACUGUACAGCUUAGAAGUGACAACUUAGUAGGCAUAACAAGAAGAAAAACAGUAAGCCUUUUUGUGUGUCAAAAGGGGAUACACAAACAUAUAUGCUUGUGUAUACACGAGUGGUUGCCUCUGAAGAGAGUCUAGGGUUCUAAGAUAGAAGGAAGAGUUACUUUUCAUUAGAGACCCUUGUGAUCUGUUGUCAUACGUUACUCUGCAGUUGUAUUACAUUUUUAAUUUAAAAUUGACUUAUGUGAAAAAAGGAGUGCCUGGGUGGCUCAGCCGGUUAAGUGACUUCGGCUCAGGUCACGCAUAAUCUCCUGGUUCGUGGGUUCGAGCCUUGCGUCGGGCUCUGUGCUGCCAGCUCAGAGCCUGGAACCUGCUUCAGAUUCUGUGUCUCCCUCUCUCUCUGACCCUCCCCUGCUCAUGUGCUCUCUCUCUCUCUCUCUCCCUCUCUCUCUCUCUCCCUCUCUCUCAAAAAUAAAUAAACAUUAAAAUUUUUUUAAUUUACUUAUGUGAAAAUAAAUAAAAAAUUGAAAAGUGAUUCCAGAGCUUAGAGCAGGCACAGUUCCCACGCUAUCCCUGGAACAGAAAGGGGAAAAAAAAAGAUCAUUUCUUUACCACCAGUGUAGCCUCAGGGGGCACCUUCCCUGCCUUAUAAUUACCCGACCCCGGAGGCCAUGGUUAGUGCACAAUGACACCUGGCCUCUGGGUCCUGUUAACCAGCAAUUUGCUUCUGGCACAGUCUUGCAUUCAGUCAGUCCUCUGACCAUUUUUAAAUGUCUGCAGAAGUUGAGGGCUCCACAAUUGGAAUCAUUCAAAAGAAAGCUAAAAUUACCUCUUCAUCCAUCCGGUAGCUCUCCCAUCCCCCAUCCCUAGCUUGAGAAACUAUUAUUUUUUUGUUCAUAUUUCCUCCCUUCAUGAAAUCAGUACGUUUAAGCCCUUCCUUUUCCACAGAGUCGUAAGAAAUCCGCGUGAGGGUCCAUAGGCCGGAUCCUUGGCAGCCACAACCCCCUAGGACGCAGGGCCCAAAAGUUGGGAACGCGCAACAAGUGACAAACCUCCAGAUGCCCAAAAUAGCAGCUGUCAGCGAGCCCGCUGUCAAUGCUCUGCACUUGGUUCCUCACACUGGUGAUUCUCAAACCUGAGCGUGCUUCGGGCUCACCCAGAGAGCUUGUUAAAACACAGAUGACUACGCCCGGGCUCAGAGUUUGUGAUUCAGUGGGUCUGGGGCAGAGCCCAAGAAUUCUUAUUUCUACCAAGUUCCUAGGUGAGGCUGCUGGCUUUGGUCUGGGGACCACACUGAGAAUCUGGGGAUUCACGGAAUUGGCCUAAGGUGCUAACCUUGACUAGAAGUUUUACUCACUCUUUAAAAUGUGUAUAUUCUUACCAUCUUUAUCAUAAAUAUAGAGCAUAUUCAUUAGAGGGAGUUUGAUUUAAAAAUGAAAAGUAGGGGCGCCUGGGUGGCUCAGUCGGUUGAGCGUCCGACUUCGGCUCAGGUCAUGAUCUCGCAGUUCUUGAGUUCGAGCUCCGCGCCGGGCUCUGUGCUGACAGCUCAGAGACUGGAGCCUGCUUCAGAUUCUGUGUCUCCCUCUCUCUCUGCCCCUUCCCCGCUCAUGCUCUGUUGCUCUCUGUCUCUCAAAAAUGAAUAAACAUUAAAAAAAAUGUUUUUUAAAUGGAAAGUAGAAAGAAAAAUAGGUCACGCAUAGAGCCGACAUCCAGACAUAACCACUCCUGACAUUUUUUUCGGAUCUACAAUUUCUAAUAAACCUGGUUAUCCAGUUCCCCAGGCCACCGCAGACCAGAAGCUGUUAUCCGGAAAUCAGGGGACAUAGGGGGCACCUGAAAAUGUGCCCAAAGAUGGCCUUGCUAAGUGGCUGCUGAGAGCCAGGCAGGGGCAGGAAAACGUGAGUGGACACAGAACUACACCACCACGUGAUUGAACACGUGAACAUGUUCUUCACCUUGACCCCCAUGAUAUGCACGGGGCAUUCUGGGACCUCUGCGGAGCGGCAUCUCUUUCAAUCUAUUUCAGCUGGCAAGCAUGGGCAGAAAAGAAGGAGGACUUUCUGAAGGAAGGGACUGGAGCCCCAGCUGUACCCUACAAUUAGGGAAAGCUGGAACUGAGCACGCAAAGAGAGGGGCGAAAGGUAUUCCGGGUCUGGGAACAGGAGGGGCAAGGCCCAGAGGCUCCGGUGUGCAGGAGCCCAAGCAGAGCUUCGACAGAGAGGUAGGGAAGGUCAGAGAAAAAGCGUGUCACCAGGGGUGUCGUAUGCUCUUUUCCCAAGCUUGGCCUUUAUCCUGCAGGUAAUUGGAAGCCAUCGAAAGAUUCUCAAGCAAAAGCAUGACAUGAGCAGAUGCAUAUUUUAAAUAGACCAUCAGUGAAUGUGCAGAGUAGAGAUGUGACUUUUCCAGUAGCCCAGGCGGAGCUGGUAGUGAGCUCAGGAAAUGGGGCAGAGAUAGUAGAGGUAGAGAUGAAGGAAGGGAACGCUCGGGUGACAAAACCAGCAGAGCUUGGGGACUGACUGGGGCGGGCGAAUCGGAGAUGGAGCCGCGGAGGCUGGUUCUCGGAGGGGCUGUGUGGUUGGGGCUCGCUCCGAGGGGAAGAUGUGUUCGGGCUGAGUCAUGGUGAGUAGAAGUUCGAGAAGAUAUAUACGCCCCUGGAUGAAAUCAUUUCCCAUAUUUCCUAUUAUAGACAACAGCCCAUGGAGAUCACACUUCAGAAUAAUUUCAUUGUUUUGAAAUGAAGAAACUUCAUUUCUUCCAAAACGAAAGAUUUGGGCACCCGAGAGCAUUGGCUUCAAGUGUCCAGAAGUUGUGGGAGGUGAAUUUAUUUCCUCCUCCCCCGAGAAGUCAGAUAAGUGAGGCGUUGCGAUGAUGUGCCUGUGCCUUCACACGAAGUGAACGACGGCAGUCAGGCAGCUCGUCCGUCGCUCGUUCGUAAGAGUCCUCAGGGCUUAGAAGUUGUGUGUUUAUUUUAUGCAUCUGAACCUCUACAAAACUGUUUUGGAGAAGCUUUGGCCUUAGCUCAGCUUUUCAGUGACUUGCUCGGGGGGCAGAGGUGAGUGUAGUCAUCUUCUUAGAACACAAGUGGAUUUCCUAGAAAAAGAGCGGGAGGGAACACCAUGAACAGAAUUGCCUCAUGCUCUUGGGACAAUCUAUUCACCACCCCCAGGUCACUUGAGAAAAAGAAACCAAAAUUCAUGUGCAGACAAUGCAGAAAAUGAAGACAGAGGGAAGGGCAGAAUUAUCAGAGCCUCCGAGCGUGUUGGCAGGUUGGGGCCACUUCAACGUUUGCCACAAACCGUGGUGCAAAAGAAAAUGGGCCUUACAGAGCUCUGUUUGCAAUAUUAUGGGCUGUAGAAGGUCUAAAUGAGUUGGCUAGCCGCGCUUUUUUUACAUUCGGUGACCUUCAGUGAAGUGUUCGCAAAGUCAGUCUACCUGCUAGAAUUCCUUUCAAGGGGGCCUCACCCCCGGAUGCACAUCGGAAUCACCUGGGAGCCUCAAUAAGGUCAGACGCCUGGGCGCCACGCCAAGAGAAUCUGAUGUUAUUGAUCUGGGGUGCAGCCCGGGCGGCAAGAUUUUCUAAAUCUCCCCAGACGAUCGUAACGUGCGUUGAGAAGCAGUGCGUUCAAGUCACAGUGCAGGCGGUUUUGUGUUUUUUCCUUUUCCACAGCAGACACAUCUUAAUGCCCGCUUGGCAGAAAGCUUGUAAUUGAAUCUAUAAGAUGUGGAAACGUUGGAGCUGGGACAAAAGUAAAAUCAGAGAAAAAGAAAAACCCCCAGUUUUGCUCACAGGUUCGCGGUGACGCCAAGCUCACUAGCCAAACAGACAGUGGGCCGCUGGCUACCAGUACGAACCCCAGAGUCAACAGGACAAGAUGUACACGAAGCGCCAAGCACGUGUAAACUCUCUGCUUGUGCUUUUCUUUCGUUAGUUGUGCCGAAAUGGAACUGGAUUUCAAAAAAUAAGAUUACUUGUAACUGUCACUAGGAUAGAUGGAGAAUUUACUGAGCGCUAGGCGCUAUUCUAAGUCCUUUACAUUUGCAAACUCACUUAAUCCCCACACAGUCCCAUAUCACAGAUGAGGGUGUGGAGGUACAGGUCGGUAAAUUGUCCAAAGCCACAACCAAGAAAUGGAAGAACUGAGAUUCAUACCCGGUACCCUUGAGCCUGCACUUUUAACCCCCACAAGAUGCAGCCUCGCCCACAGAGCAGAGACCCUAGGAGAGGAGAGUGGGGAGGGAGAUAACUCAAUGCAUUCACAUUGGGGGUUCGGGCAGUCACUGGGUGGGCAUAGAGGGAAUACACAGAUGAGCCAGAUGUACAGAGUCUGAGCCAGAGUUCACAGGUUUGUAAGAAAGGGUAAGGCAAAGACACAACGGGCACCGCCAAAAAGCAGGGCAAGCAAAGUGUCAUAAGAGAAAUACAAAUCAACGCGAACACGGAAUCACAAGGAGGAGCGAUUUCUUUUUAAAUCAGUAAAGGCUCCCUGGAGGAGGCGGCGUUACAGAGUAAUGCCUCUGACUGCAGCCUAGGUCAGAAGUAGGAAAGCAGCCAGAGAGGAGGUAGGAAGAUAGGCUGGGGCCUUGUUUUGGGGGGCAUAGUUAAAUCCCGGAGUGGAGGCUUCUCCCCUCACUGCACUAGAACCCAGCAUGCUGUUGCACAGACACUCAACUGAGCUCUGGAGGGCGAAUUUCCAGGUGGGCAAGUCAGCUGGCUGGUCUCCCGGUCCUGAAUCUUUCCUCUCCCUUGUACCUUUGUCACACUGAUACUUAUCGCUGCCCCUUACCCGACCCCACCCGUGCCCCGACCCUUCUCCCCCUUUAAAACCCUGGCUAAGCAAGGAGAAAAGCCCCUUUCUUGGUUUCUUUUGGCAAGUUGGGGCAUGCUGUUACUUUCAAGACCUUUGAUAAUUAAGGAAGAGUAAAGGGAAAAGAGCUAUGUUUAAAUAAUGUAUUAGUACGGCCACAGUCAAAUUUCCAACCGGGUUUCUGAACCCAUAUCCUAGUAGAAGGAAGCAUAUGGGUUCUAGAAUCUCAUUAUCCUCAGAUGAUAGCCCCCCUGUAGAUCCAUCUCUAGCUUCUUUCUCUUAUGGCUUCCUCUGAGUUACAACCAGCAACUGGCUUUUCCCUCCCUUCCUUCCUUCCUUCCUUCCUUCCUUCCUUCCUUCCUUCCUUCCUUCCUUCCUUCCUCUACCUACCCACCCAUUCAUCCAGCAUAAAUUUAUUGAACACUUAACAUAUAGCAGCCACUACGCUAAAAAUUAAGUGGUCAAGGGGCACCUGGCUGGCUCAGUCGGUAGAGCACGUGACUCUUGAUCUUGGGGUUGUGAGUGUGAGCCCCAUGUUGGGUGUAAACAGUACUUGAAAGUGGAAUCUUUAAAAAAAAAAAUAAGUGGUCAAUAUCUUCCUGUGCCCCUCACCACCAGGAAUAAGUCUGAUUCUACCCCAGUAUGUUAGGUUGGAUGAUCGUUCUUGGUUCUUCACUCCUUUCUCUGCCAGUAACCUUACUGUGCCUCCCGGGAGAGUAGAAAAAUGAUACUUCCCUGCCCCCACUGACUUUGGGCCUGGUUGUGUGACUUGCUCUGGCUAAUGAAAUGUUAGCAUAUGUGACAUAAGUAAAGGCUUCCAAUGUGCUAGACAUUUGGCUUGUGUGCUUGUACUUCUGUUACCCCUCAAGACAAGAUUAUGCCUGGGUAGCUGCUGCUCCCAUAACGAGGAGACACGGGAGUAGAUGUGACUUCGUCUACAAUCCAGAGCCAAGCCCAGCAGAACCCUAGACAACCCACAGAUGUCGGAGCCAGAAAGGAUACAUGUUUUCAUGGUGAAGCGUUGAAAAUCGGGGAUGGCUUGUUAUACAGCAUUUUUCAGCAAUAGUUUACUAAUAGACCAGAUAAGGACUAGACCAAAAAUCAAAAGGACUCCUCCAUGUACCCCACACCAUUUUUUCAACUACUAAAAUUCUAAUAUUUUUAGUGUGCAUGUCCCAAUCCCGGCGUCCUCAGAGUUGUAGUUUCGUCUGUAAACGAGGGAUAACAUGCAAGGAUUAAAUGGGUAUUAUAGAUAAAGUGCCUAGUACAGGGUCUGGCACACAGUAGGUACUCAACACAUAGUAGCAGUUACUGAGAUGAUUUAAGAAGAUAAUUCUGCACCAGCAUCCACGAUAGUGGGGGAAAGGGAAGCUAAAAGUAACACACGUACUGAGAGCUUACUGUGUGCCAUACACUACACUGUUUUGAGUAAUUUCUGUUUAUUCCGGUAAAUCUUACAACAACCCUCCAAGGCAGGUAUUAUCAUCCCUUUGUAUAUGUGAGGAAAGUGAAGCACAGAAAGAUUAAGUAACUUUUUUGACGCCGCACAGCUAGGAAGCUGCAGGCGAAGAAUUUGAACACAGGCAGUCUGGCUCCGGAGCCUUUGCUCUUUUUGUUUUGAAUUGAAGUAUAAUUGACAAACGACAUCACAUUAGUUUCAGGUGUACAACAUAGUGAUUUGAUACUUGUAUAUAUUCUGAAAUGACCAGCACGAUAAGUCUAGUUAACAUCCACCGCUAUAAUAGUGACCAUUUUUUUCUUGUUAUGAUGACUCUUAGCCAUUUUCUUUUUGUUUUUAAGUUUUUUUGAUCUUUAUUUAUUUUUGAGAGAGAGAGAGAGAGAGAGAGAGCACAAGCAAGGGAGGGGCCGAGAGAGAGGGAGACACAGAACCCGAAGCAGGCUCCAGGCUCCGAGCUGUCAGCACACAGCCCGAUGCAGGGCUUGAACUCACCAACCGUGAGACCAUGACCUGAGCCCAAGUCGGACGCUUAACCGACUGAGCCACCCAGGCGCCCCUCUCUUAGCAAUUUUCAAAUUCGCAAUAUAGUGUUGUUAACUAGACUCGCCACGCUGUACGUUACAUCCCCAUGACUUCAUUAUUUGGGAACUGGAAGUGUGUACAUUUCGAUCCCCUUUGCCCAUUUUGCCUCCUCCCACACACAGAACCCUUGCUCUUAAUCUCCACGUGCACCACUUCUAAGCAGGGAGACCUUUUAGAAGGUAGAUGAGGAGUUCACACGAGCCAGCAGGCAGAGCUGGACCGAUCCAGUGCCCGAGAGCAUGCCAAGUAGGAAACGACCGCAAGGAACAGCGCAGGGAGUAGAGUCCAGCAAGCUGCCUUGGGAACCAGCGGCCAGUGGUGGGUGUUAGACAAAGAAGCGGAGCUCACACUGCUGUGUAUAAUUUUUGGAAAUCGUGAGAAGAUAAAUUCCCAAUCGGUUGUCUGCUUGGAGAAAAUAUGUCAUGUCCCAAGAGGUUAUCAUGAGCUAUUUAUGAAACCUGAGGCGUCUGAUCCGUGGAUGGAGAAUCAAUCUGAUUGUUCAACUACAAAAAGGCAGGUGAACUUCCGUGUGGACUUUUUCAACCCGGGGAUUCCACUUCUUCUGUAGUUAUACGAAGGCAGCCUUGUCAGAAGCGUCUUCUGCACCAGGCCUCGAGUCAGUGAAAAUUAGCAGCGUGCACCUCUGACUCCAAUAUUGAAGGUCUGCCUGAAAGUCGAUCACAACUCUUCACCCCUUCCAAAGAAUGACUCCCUCGCACAUCGGCCGCCAGGACCACGCAUCAGCGGCUCUUCUCUUUUCCUUUGGAAACCUUCCUAAACCUUCCUGACGUUAUGAACACAAAUUUAUCCUUCACAGUUGUUGUUACAUGCAAAAAACACGUUUUCAGUGUUCAAUUGAUGUACUUUUCCACCCGCAAAAAUUGUUUCGGAAUCUGCGCACCUCGUGAUUUCUUCCAUUGAAAUUAAUGGAAAUAUUUUUCAUUCGAUAACUUUUCACUUAGCAGUAGGGCUUUAUUUUUUUUUUAAUUUUAUUUUUUAUUUUUUAAGAUGGCCAUCCAAACUAGUUAGCAUAUAGUGCAACAGUGAUUUCAGGAGUAGAUUCCUUAGUGCCCCUUCCCCGUUUAGCCCAUCCCCCCUCCCACCACCCCUCCAGCAACCCUCAGUUUGUUCUCCAUAUUUAUGAGUCCCUUCAGUUUUGUCCCCCUCCCUGUUUUUAUAUUAUUUUUGUUUCCCUUCCCUUAUGUUCAUCUGUUUUGUCUCUUAAAGUCCUCAUAUGAGUGAAGUCAUGUGAUUUUUGUCUUUCUCUGACUGACUAAUUUCACGUAGCAUAAUACCCUCCAGUUCCAGCAGUAGGGCUUUUAGAAGAAAAUGGAGAAUGGUUUAUUUUGGUCAGGUGGUGGGAAUUCAGUACGUGUUUGAGGAAUGAACGGGUGCGUGCACCAGGGGAAGCCACAGGAGGAAGGAGGUUCGAGAUGGAGAAAGAGGGCUGGUGCCGCUCCCUGUGGCGAGAAUGCAGAAAUGGUGCAUUCUUUCCUUUCCACCGUCUCAUUUCAGUCAGAUGUUUUCUUCUCUGGUCCUUUGAAAUCUGGGAUUAUGAAGUCUAGAGAUCAAUAAUCUUGGAUAUUUAUAGCCUCCUUCUGAAAUGUUAAAAUCACUAAUCCCAGGGUGCCUGGGUGGCUCAGUCUGGUUGAGCGUCUGACUCGGGCUCAGGUCAUGAUCUCACAGUUUGCGGGUUUGAGCCCCGCAUCGGGCUUCGUGCUGACAGUGCCGAGCCUGCUUGGGAUCCUCUGUCCCUCUCUCUCUCUGCCCCUGCCCCUCCCCCACUUGUGCUCUUUGUCUCUCAGAAAAUAAAUAAACGUUAAAAAAAAUUAAAAUGACUAAUCCAUCUCCAAGUUCUUCUAGGCUACCCUCCCUCUUCAACCAGGCCAGUCCUCAAGACCAGAUUAUGUGCCUGGAGGCCUGUGUUCAAAUGUGGACGUUGGCUUGGAAAGGCAGGAAAUGAAUCCCCUCGAAGCCUUAUUAGUGUUGACAUUCCUCAGUGCCCUGGGGGGUGGGUUCUCCUCUGCCCCACUGUCCAGAGGUUGAAACUUAGCCUGGAGAAGUGUACGUGGCUGAAAAGAAGGCCCUGAGAAGGCCGGAGAGGCCACGUGGAGGCACCAGCCAUCUUGCAGCCUUGAGGGGACAAACGCACAGAUUAACGCCAACAUUCCGAGGAUGGCAGAACAAAGAGGACGAAAAAAAAGCUGUGAACCAACCUAAGAACUUCCUUCCUCUGGACUUGUCAGAUGAGGUAAUAAAUGUUCUUACUGUUUAAGCCCCUGCUACUCAAGGGGCUUGUUAGAAAUACAGAAUCUGCAGCCCGCUCUGGACCUACUAGCUCAGAAUCUGCAGCCCCCAGGGAUUCCUAGGCACACUGAAAUUUGAGAAGCGCUGGCUUAAACUCUUUGAUGUUUUUUCCAAAGAUUUUAUUUUUAAGUGAUCUCUACCCCCAACAUGGGGCUCGAACUCACAACCUCAAGAUCAAGAGUCUCAUGCUCCGCAGACUGAGACAGUCAGGCGCCCCUGGUUUAAGCUGUUUCUAAUUAGACUUUUCAGUCUUGGCAGCUAGGAAGCAAACUGAUAUCCUGUCUUACAAACUGAUAGCAAAGAUCUUGUUCUCAUAUCACCACUAAGAAAAGGAUGCGAGAAAAAGACAAAAGUGUUUCUACCUCUGCAAGGCUUUGGGACCUGUGAGUGAAGUUCCCUGGCUCUUUACAUGGCUAUAUUUCCAAAAUGGAGAGGAAACACCGUUUCACAUAGUGAAUGCAUUGUUUGGGCUGCAAAGGGUAGAGAAAACAGUACUUAAACUCACUAAAAGUGCAGGCUGUACGUAUACCUCUUGAGUGGACGUGACCAAAGAAAACUAAAAGGGGCAAGACAUCAAAAGAGAACAAAGCACUAAUAGACAAAAAAAAGUUCAAAACCCUUUACUUGGUUUAGAUCGGUAAGACAUCUCAGAUUUCCUCAUCAAUGUAGUUACUCAAGAGUCACUGUGGUACCCAUCCAGAUUGCAAACAUGUUAAUAACACAAAAUGAAAUAAUUCUAUGUUGUAAGAAAAAACAAGAUACUCUCAUAGCAUUGUUAUUCCUGAAAAGACUACUCGAGUUUCUUGAAGUUGCCCAAAUCAGGCGAUUUCAUAAGUCAUUGUGUGUUUACGCUAAGUUUAAGUAAUUGUUAGAAUAAAAGAGGCCACUAAGUACGAUUAAGCAAACCCAAUUUCAACAAACAAAUUCUGCAGCUUUUUUUGAAGAAACUUCGCUGUUCUGUUUUAAUUGUCUUCUUUUUUGUUUUAUUUUGAUUAUCUUUUGACAACAAGCUAUUGGGAAAUCAUUUAGGUGGUUGCUUAUUAUGAAAACAUUGUUAAGAUUAUUUCAUAGCCUGGGGAGCCUGGGUGGCUCAGUUAAGCAUCUGACUCUUGAUUUCAGCUCAUGUCAUGAUCUCAUGGUUCAUGAGAUCGAGCCGCGAGUAGGGAUCCGUGCUGACAGCACGCAGCCUGCUUGGGAUUCUGUCUGUCUGUCUGUCUGUCUCUCUCCCUCUCUCUCUGCCCCUCCCCCACUUGCUCUCUCUUUCAAAAUACAUAAAUAAACUUUAAAAAAGGUUAUUUCCACAGCCUGAAUUUCUGCCAUCUCCUUCAUUAUAUUUGAGAAGUAAACAGCUGAGCAAAACUUAUGGUGAGGAUUUAAAGGUUAAACCAACGUACUGGUUUGUGAUCAUUCUAAAAAAAUUACAGCUUCGUGUUCACAAAUGUCACUGGCAUUUUACGCUAUAAAGUCACUAUAUUUACAUGAUGGCAUGGCUGGGAGAAACAUGGAGAUACGCUGUUGGACAAUGUGCAUAACAGCAAUCAAGUAAUAUGAUACAAAUCCCAAAAGGACUCCCCUGCAAAAAAACCAAGCCUCUUCAAAUUCUUGCUUUGGUCACUUCAAAUACCUAUGGAGAAUGAUAGCCAAAGUGAAUCAGAAAUAACCCCUGAACUGGCUAUUCGCACAUUUCCCAUUAAAGAACUAAGAGGAACAACCUAAAAAAGUCACUUGGAAGUUCAUGGCUCUAUUUGUACAUUUGUCUCCAUGAUCUUUUCCACUCUGGCUGCCCACUGUGCUUUCCUCUUUAGCAUCUCCAGGCAUGGAAAUGUACCAGAGAAAGGAAAGGAAAAGAGUCGAGACACGUCUUUGAGUGACUUCCAGGGUUGACCAUAAAGUUUGCCUCGAGAGGUGGCAGGAGAUGGAUGGCAUUUUUGCAUGGCAUGUGGAGCUCUCGUACCUGUGACCUCCUGGACUCUGUUUCCAUGGGAACCGGCUCUAUUUCCCCUCGGGGUGCAUCUCUAACCUUCCGUAUUCGGACAAACAGGUGGCUGAAGAGUUUGAUGUGGGAUUAUCAGAUGCUCAUAUCAACUGUAUUCCUGCCGUGAGACCCUCUAGCCUGUGGGGAUGUGGGGAUACAGGUACAUAGGAUUUGUUCCCUAUCCUCAGAAACACUCUCUCUCUCUCUCUGCCCCUCCCCUCCCGUUUGUGUAAAAUAAAUAAUCAUUAAAAAAACAUGAACUACUUACAACUAGGGUAUGUCAGUAGCUCAGUCGGUAGAGCCUGUGACUCUUGAUCUUGGAGUUAUGACUUCGAGUCCUGAAUUGGGUGGAGAGAUUACUUUAAAAAAGAAAAAGUAAAGAAAAAAGUAAGAGACGCUAAAACUGUUUUUUAAAAAACCCCCACAGUCUAGUCGGGGAAUGGAAACUAAGUCACACUGAAGUUUUUGCUUUUGUUUGUUUUUUUUCUUCUAAAAUUCUAGAGCUUGGAGAAAGCUUUUGGAUCAUUGAGCUUAGCUGUCCCCUUCUACAGAAAAACUCUUUGGGCCUCAAUUUUUUUAAUUUUUUCUUAAAAAUUUAUUUAUUUAUUUUGAGAGAGAGAGAGAGAGAGAGAGACCUCGCAGAGGAGCAGGGGGAGGGGCAGAGAGAUGGAGAGAGGAGAGAGAAUUGCAAGCAGGCUCUGUACCCCAUACAGGGCUGGAUCUCAUGAACCUGGGAGAUCAUGACCUGAGCUGAUAUCAAGAGUCACACCCUUAACCGUCUGAGCCACCCACAUGCCCCUGGCCUCAAUUUUAUCAAGAAACUUACUGAAGUUCUCAUGGAUGGAAAUAGCGCCCUGGGUUUUUUGGUUCUUGGAGCAGCACUCCCUUUCUGUCCCUUGGCACCUCCCAGUGACUAAUCUCCUCCUCCUCCUCCUCCUCCUCUUCUUCCUCUUCCUUUUCUUCUUCCUCUUCUUUAAGAUUGUUUUAUUUUUAAGUAAUCUCAACACCCAGCGUGGGGCUCGUACUCACAACCCCCAGAUCAAGAGUCUCGCGCUUUACCAACAGAGUCACCCGGGCAUCCCAAAUAAUCUUCUUGAAAUACUUUUUCCACACAGCUUCCAGGAUGCCGAACUCUCUUGAAUUUCCUCCUACCUCACCAAAGGCUCUUUCUCAGUCACCUCUGCUGGUUCCUUUUCAGCUCCCCAAACUGUAGAUAUUGCCCCAGAUCUCUAUCCUCAUACUACUUCUCCAUUCACCCUCUCUCCCCUGGCGAUCUCAUCCAGUGCAUAGCUUUAAAGAUCAUCUGUGUGCUGGUGCUUCUCCCCUUUCUUUCUAGAUUUACAUAUCCAUCUGUGCCUACCUGGCAUCUCUAUUUGCCUGUGUAAGAAGCACCUUAAAUUUAACAAACUAACUAACCUUUGCUAAACUAACCCUCACUCUUCCCCUUCAAACCUGCUCUUUACGGGAUCUUCCCCAGUUCAAUAAAGGGCCCCUCCUUUCUGCUAAUUUUACAACCCAGAAGUGUGGGCAUCAUCCUUGACUCUUCCGUUUCUCUUAUAGCCCACGUCUGUAAGCUGCAUCAGCAGCUUCUAUGGAAUCUACCUUCAAAAUACAACCGAGGGGUGCCUGGGUGGCUCGGUUGAGCAUCCAACUCUUGAUUUUGGCUCAGGUCAAGAUCUGACCCCAGGGUCGUGGGAUCGAGCCCCGCAUCUGGCUCUGUGCUAAGCAUGGAACCUGCUUAAGAUUCUCUCCCUGCCCUCCCCCAUUUGUGCUCUCUCUUUCUCUCUCUCUCAAAUAAAAUAAAAUAAAAUAAAAUAAAAUAAAAUAAAUAAAAUAAAAUACAGCCAAGCUCUGACGACUCCUCCUCACCACCACUGCUGCCACCCUGAACCAAGCCACCAUCAAUGCUCAACUAGAUUAUUACCAUAGCUUUGUAACUGGUCUCACACUUCCCCCCUCUAUCUCCUUAACGCAGAAGCUGGAAGGAUCCUGUUCAAACGAAGCCGGAUCAUAUUUCUACUCUGGCCCCAAGACCUCCAGUGGUUCCCCUUCCCACUUAGAUUAAAAGGCAAAGUCCUCUGGGGCGCCUGGGCGGCUCAGUCGGUUAAGCAUCUGACUUCAGCUCAGGUCAUGAUCUCGUGGUCUAUGAGUUCUAGCUCCGCAUCCGGCUCUGUACUGACAGUUGGAGCCUGGAGCCUGCUUCGGAUUCUGUUUCUCUCUCUGUCUCUGCCCCUCCCCCACAUUAUUAAUAAUGCUAUUAAUAAAUAAACGUUAAAAAUUAAUUUAAAAUAGGCAACGUCCUCUCAGGGCCCACCAAAAGCCACCCACAGUCUACUUCCUUGCCCUCCUCCUCCCUUCACCACCUCUGUGCCUCCGUCUCAUGCUAGUCUCUCCGUACUCACCGUGUUUCAGCACGCUAACCUCCUUUCAUUCCUCAGAAAUGCCAGACAUAGUCUCACCUCAGGGCUUUUGCACUUGCUAUUUUUCCUGCCAGGAACGCCCUCCCCCAGAUAUCUGUACUGCUUGAUUCUCUCAGCCCCUCACGCUUUCUCUCCAUUGUCACCUCAGUGAGUUCUUCCCCACUUUCCAUCCUGGUGUUCUCCAUUCUCGUUACUCUCUUAGUUUUCUCCAUUGCAUUUCUCCCAUCUCAAUAGUCAUGUUUUCCAUAUUUGUUUAUGGUCUCAGUUGAGGUGUUGCCAAAUGGCUGUCAACAAGAAACCCCAGGAUACCAUGGCUUGAAGAAUAUAGAAGUGACUAGUCUGACCAGUGGGGUAUCUCUGCUCCAGUCACUCAGAGAUCUGAAGCUGGGUCACACCAUACCCAGGUUCCAGCUGGCAGAGAAGGCGAAGAGAACACGAAGGAAGCACAUCCAACAGAGGGGAGGCUGGAAAAUUGUGGUUCGGCCAAGCACCCAUUUUCCAAGGAAGAGGUGGAAAAUGAACUUUUGGUGCACAGCCAUCAGCAGGUAUUAUCUGUAUCCCUUCUUCCCGUUAGAGUAGAAGCUCCGUGAAGGUAGGGAUUUUUGUCGGUCUUACUCAUUUCCAUACUCUGAGCACCCAGAAAGGCUCCCUGCACCUGGAGAAAGUUUGGUGAAUAUUUGUUGAAUAAAUUGAGGAAAUGUGGGUGUAAAGACCUUCUCCUGGGGUUUACAACAACAAACAUAUCUCCCUUAGGACAACCUGACAUUGACUUUCUUGAUUUUAGCACGUGAGAGUCCAGUAGAAUUCUCCACACAGAGAAAUGGGGUCUAAUAUUUUUCACCAGCGGAGCAGUUGCAAGUUCUGCAUCCACUGGUGUCACACACAAGCAGCCCCAGAAGGGGUUCCCUGUAUAUUGAAAGACGAUCUUGGCUAUAGGAAGAAGAGUGUUUUUCCUAGUUCAGUAGGGGGUCCCAGAACUAUGUCUUACAGUGACUCAGAUAGCAGGGGUCAGAAGUUUUUGCACCAAUAAAGGACUUUAUUUGAAAUCUAUACCUGUUCCAUGUUUCAAACACAAUUUUGUAUUAGAAAUACAGCUCUCUGCCCGUAACUAUGGGGGAUAUUUGCCCUGCUAAUUAACCAAAAUUAAAAGCAUCCAAAGAGAUGGAGAGUGACCAAAGAAAGCCUCUGAUGGUGUAUGACCUUGAGCUCCUGUCUCUCAUACUCCUCGUCGGCCCCGGCAGACAGAAGCCUUCCUUAGCUCACUCACCUUCCCAGACAGAGCAUGUUCGCACAACAGUUUUUCUCCAAAUGUUCAAAAUAUAGUUUUUUAAAAAAUCUACUGAGUAACCCAAAGCUCCUUGCAACAACCUUAUAGGGCCAGUCGUAUUUUACCAAAAGUUUCCUAGUGCAAACAGAUGCCUGUGAUGUAAGGGUUGGCUCUGUCGGGCUCCAACAGUGGAGGGGAGGAAAUAACCAUGAAGCCCAGGAACAGAAACAAAGUUUCCUUCCUUCAGGAGAAAACAAGAUCCCAACACCAUUUUCAACUGAAACUAAGCAAUGGAACAAAACACGGGACUGCAAAUUUGGUCUCUGACCAGUCUGUAUCUAUCUAAGGUUCGUAUUAACAUCCUCGAUGGGGGCGGUUGCAAGCGAUCCACACCUCAAGCCCAAAGAAUUCAGCUCCAAAGGGUUCACCUGGCUAAAGUCAUUUAAAACAAAUUAUAGUGAGGUGUUUGGGGUUUUGUUUUGCUCUGCAUAUCUCAGAGUGCGAAGCCUGAAACUCCAAACCCUCCAUGUCAUUUCUAGAACUACAGCUAAGAUUGAGGCAUCACCCCAUCUCCUUUUUGGAGAGUAUGUUGCUGAAUCACAGCAUGUCGAUGAGCUCUGGUGUGGGAUCCUUCUUAGUAAGAAGAUCAAUUGCACAUUUGGUUUUGGAAAUUACUCUGAGAUACUUAUCUAUGGUUCUGAAGCCUUCUUUUUAGGUCUUUUGGAAAAUGAUAAGUGCUUCAAAACUCUUUAGAGAUACCGACAUUUUAAUUUGUAUGCUUCUCUUGUAGAAUAUUCUGGGGCACUGAAUAAAAAUAUUAGGAAAUAGAAUAAAUAGAGAUUCAAGACAGGGUUUUUUAAAGAAAGGGGAGAGGCGCCUGGGUGGCUCAGUCGGUUAAGCCUCCGACUUCAGCUCAGGCCGUGAUCUCACGGUUGGUGGGUUCGGGCCCCACGUCGGGCUCUGUGCUGACAGCUCGGAGCCUGGAGCCUGUUUUGGAUUCUGUCUCCCUCUCUCUCUGCCCCUCCCCACUUCGCACUCUGUCUCUCUGUCUCAAAAAUAAAUAAACGUUAAAAAAAGAAAGGGGAAAUUAAACACAUACACACACGUCAGAAGACCCAUUUUCUGUGGUUAAUGUUUAUUUCUAUCCACUUCCAAAUGAUUAUCUUUUGGCCUGUUCUUAUGUCGUGCUUGGUUAUCUAAUAUAAUUAUCUAUUAUUUUAAUCCAUUUUUUCAAAUGUUUAAAAAGACUCAUCAUAUUCUUCCAUGGGAAUACUGCUGUUACAUUUGUCUUCUAUUUCUGUUUGAAUUUCACAAAAGCCCUGGGUAACACUCCCCGAUUUGGGGGAGCUGGAGGCAGAGGGUGUUCUGUAGACCCGGAUGUAUGCAGAAGCAUUUUACAUUGGUUCCCUACUUGGUUAGAAAUUUGCUAAGACUAUUCGGAAGGGAAAAAAGUCUAACAGCUUCUAGUAAACAUAUUAUAUUUUUAUUUUUCCCCUGGAAACAUAAUUAGCAUUCUCCUUUCUUAGUUUCCUUUUCACACUUCAGUUUAGAUUUUGGGUGGUAAAGGCUGUAUGUUAGCCAUCAAUGGAAAGUCUAAGUCCCCAAUUUCCAACGAGCAUUUAAAAGUUGAACAAUAAAAAAUAAAAAAACCUCGGGGCGCCUGGUGGCUCAGUUGGUCGAGCGUCCGACUCUUGAUUUCAGCUCAGGUCAUGAUCUCAAGGUCGUGGGAUCCAGCCCUGCAUGAGGCUCCACACUGACCGCAUGGAGCCUGCUUGGGAUUCUCUCUCCCUCUCUCUCUGCCUCUUUCUCUCUCUCUCUCAAAAUAAAUAAAUAAACUUAAAAAAAUAAAAAAUUUAAAAAAGCAUCAAUCAUGAAAUGCCCAGAAUGGGCAGAUCUACAGAGACAAGAGAUUGGUGACUGCCUAGACCAUUGGAUGGGGGGCAGAGGGGGGUGGAGGGAAAUGGGAAGUGACCACUAACGGGUGCAUAGUUUCUUUUGGAGGGGGAUGAAAAAGUUCUAGAAUUAGAUUGUGGUGAAGCUUGCACAAUUCUGUGAAUAUACUAAAAAACAUUGAAAUGUAUACUUUACAUGGGUGAAUUGUAUGGUAUGUGAAUUCUAUCUCUAUAAAGCUGGGUUUUUUUCUACUUUUUUAAUGUUUAUUUUUGAGAGAGAGAGUGCAAGCAGGGGAGGGGCAGAGAGAGAGGGAGACACAGAAUCUAAAACAGGCUGCAAGCUUUCAGCACAGAGCCUGACAUGGGGCUUGAACAAAUGAAAACGUGAGAUCAUGACCUGAGCCGAAGUCGGACGCUUGACCGACUGAGCCACCCAGGUGCCCCUAUAAAGCUGUUUUAAAAAAAAAAAAAAAAAAAAAAAAAAAGAAAACCAUGAACAUGACAGGCUUAAAGCAAAGCUUCAGACAGUGCCCCCCCCCCCCACACACACACCUUUCCAGCCUCCCUCUCUUAUCAACCCCAGCCCUAGCCGGAAUAAAAAUCAUAAACCAUUCAAAAUAUUCCAGAGUAAGAUAAUUUAAAAAAAUUAUUUCCUUGAAUAGUGACUGGACAUUUGAUACGAAAUUAGUGCUAAACGUUUUUAAGAAGUGAUAAUGGCAGGGCGCCUGGGUGGCUCCGUAGGUUGAGCGCUCGACUUCGGCUCAGGUCACCAUCUUGUGGUUCGUGAGUUCAAGCCCCACAUCGGUCUCUGUGCUGACAGCUCGGAGCCUGGAGCCUGCUUCUGAUUCUGUGUCUCCCUCUCUCUCUGUUCCUUCCCACCUCAUGCUCUGUCUCUCUUUGUCUCUCAAAAAUAAGUAAAUAUUAAAAAAAGAAGUGAUAAUGGCAUCACGAUUGUACUUUUAAAAAAGAGUCCUUAUGUUCUGAGACACAUGUUGGAAUACUUGUGGAUGAAACAGUAUUAUAUUUGGGAUUUGCUUCAAAAACUUGAGGUGAAGAAGAAGUGGGUGGUUGUGGAGGAUGAAACAAGACUGGCCUGGGGUCCGUUGCUGAAGCAAGUGCAGUUCGUGAAGGGGGUCAUCGUACUCUCCGGUGUACUUGGUAAGUGGUUGAUGUUUUCCAUGAUAACAAGUUUGAACGGUUUUAGGAAACAGAUUUGCACAAACCCUCGGGACAAAAGUUAGGAUCCAUGGCCAAAGAUGCUAAAAGGGGGCACUUAGCAGAAACGAAACACGUGCCAAAAUUAUAGUCUAACAUUACAGUGAAAGAGCUAUUGCCAGGCAGUGUCCGCCCCUGUCACCCAUUUCAGAAGGGAGCUGACCCAAAUAGGAGUUGGCCCAGCUGAGGCUAAUUGGGAAUGGCAGGCGGACGCCGGGCGGGGGACGCUGGCCGGGCGGCCUCUUGGACUGCCCACGCUGUCGAUCCGAUCCGAGAGGAGUUCCCCAGCUGAGAGCAGGAAGGAGGGAUUUCAGAAAAGAACGGAAAAACAACCUUUUUUUUAGGCUGGAAAUAAUUCUGGGUUGUUUUUGUUUUUUUUUUUUUUCCUAAGAGGAAAGACAAGAAUUCAAAACUAAAUUCUUACCUAGCUCAACAACAUAAAAGUCCUCUCUCAUAACAUCUUUAUUCCUUAACUUCACAUUCACGCCGUUUGACUUUUCUAUAGUGUGACACACAUUGGAAUUUCGGCUCCCUGGCACGAGCCUGCUCGGGGAAUUUGUUCUCUGGGAAUUUGCUCUCAUCUCUGUUCAAGAGAAAAUUUAGACUACCAACCAGAAAAAGUAUAGGAGGAUUUGCUCUUUUUCUCAAAGCGGUUUGGUACAUUUUUAUACCUAAUUUGCAUCCAUAGCUAUCGUGUUGUAUUCGUAACUGCACUCUAGAUUGGGGUGUCUUUCGGUACAGAGUCAGUACAUAUUUUCGGCUCUGCCGACCCAACGGUCUCAGCUGCAGCCACACGACUCUGCCAUCGUAGCAGCGAUGGGCAAUAUGUGAGCAAAUGGGUGUGGCUGAUUUCCAAUAAAACUUCAUUUGUAGCCCCAGGUGGCAGGUUACAUUUGGCCUGCAGGCCAUUAUUUGCCACCCCUGAUAAACUUUAUCAGUAAAGGGCCUGUAUCGGUUUUCUAUUGCUGCCGUAACAAAUCGCCGCAAACUUAGCGACUUAAAACAACACAAAUAUGGUUCUGGGAAUUAGACCACGAAUAUCCAUUCACUAAGCACACUCUGGUUGCUCGUUCUCGGCAGUCGGCUCCUGUCGUCGGAUGGACGAGGGUACAUCGGAAGCCGGAGAAUAACAUGUCUGGUUUUACGAGCAAGGCAAGUAGCUCGCUGUGACGCCGAGCACCGUACAUGCCUCGGUGCGUAUCCGAGCCCGGGCGGAAGCAGCAUGGGUCACAAAGGGGAGCGCGGGCUCUGGAGGACAGGGAUUCACAUUCCAGCCCCGGCACGUAUGGGACCCUGAAUCAAUUACCCGCCUUCUUCAUGGCAUCGGUUUCCUCGAGCGUCAAAUGAGAAUUAUAAUUCCUACCUUGCGGGGCAUUGCACGUGUGAUACAAGAUAACGAAUGGGAAGUAACCAGCGCAACGCCUACCCUAUAAUGAAUGCUAUUUCUGCAGAACUACGGGAUUCUACUUUGAGUCAAACCAUGUCCCUUUGAACACAAGAGCCACGUGGAGAAAGCAUACUAGGGGCCUCGUUUCCCUGCAAGGCACAUUUUGGUUUUAACCCCCACUACAGCAUUAUAAUUGGGUUCUAGUUAUGAAGUCUAAAGCAACAUUCAGAGGGCCUUAAAAUGGUACUAUACAUAAGCACCUAGUUAAUAAAAACUUUCUGAGGCUGCUAACACCUCCAAAUAUUUAAAUAUUCUCAAAUUACUCGGCCACACCAUUCGCUGGGGACACUGCUGAGGCCCUUGCCGAGUACGGCACUUGUCAUGUGUUAAAAACAGAUGUCGGGUGCACCUGGGUGGCUCAGUCUGUUAAGCACCUGACUUCGGCCUAGGUCAUGAUCUCACGGUUCGCAAGUUUGAGCCCCGCAUCAGGCUCUGUGCUGACAGUUCAGAGCCUGGAGCCUGCUUCUGAUUCUGUGUCUCCUGCUCUCUCUACCCCUCCCCCGCUCAUGCUGUCUUUCUCUCUCUCAAAGAUAAAUAAACAUUAAGAAAAAAAUAGAUGUCAGAAACAUUCAAUAAAUGCCGCAGCUUUUAUAGUCUUAAGAAAUGGUGUCAAAUUGCUUUAGCCAAGGUAUGGGAUAAAGGUCGUUCAAACUUAAAAGCAGAAUUGUUUUUCUUAUUUUGAGAGUCGAUCAUCAGAUGUUUUCAAUAAGCGAAGUUUCAGCUAUUUGAUGCAUCAUCCAUGACCUCUGCCAGUAAGGUAUUUGUAAAAAUCUUGGCAUAAUUACUCUCUUAAUUGUUUGUGUUUUAGCAUUUUACAGAACCUGAAAAAGGGUCAGCUGCCCAAUGCCACCAAAAAAAAAAAAGACGAGUGGCAAAGCAGAGAGAGGAAUCCUAAAUCCCUAAACACACUCAUUGGUAGUGUUAAAUGAAAACAAAUCAUCCCCUCAUAGAAAACUUCCAUGAUCUCAGGAGAAAUAUUGUCAUAUUGCAUCUGAAGCAUUUUUCGGUGGUCUGUCUGGAUAUCAAAGUCUGAAGCCCUCCGAGAUGCUCCAGAAGCACACCUGGUUUGUGUUUAUCCAGAGGGACAUCCACAGUGAAGAGGGCAUUCUCGAAUGCAUCCUAAUUACGACAUUCCGAUGAUUCUCAUGACAGUUUAUAUAGCAAGGCAUUCUUUUCUUUGAAGAAAAUUAUUACGCCUACUGAUAGUUUUCUCCUUAAUCCCCAGGGCUUCCCGUGUUUUUUGAAUUCUCUAUUUCAGAGUAAAUCCUUAAAGUGAAGCUUACUCAUGUAUCCCACAAUUACCUGCAACUUCUUUUCCUUUCCUCCUUCAGAUCUUUUCCACAAUGUGAAUAUUUCCUGAGGCGGCUAGCCACAAUUCCUGGGCCAGCCAAACUAAGCGAAAGAUGACCGCUUUUUAGUGCAUGAAAAGUCUUUGAGAGCCGCUUCAAGAUCUCCGGUGAACUUGGAGACAGGCCGCUGCCUAAUCAUAUUUUUAAAAAUCGAAUUAUAAUAGCGAUGAGAUUAGGUAAGGGCUUUUAAGUGGAUAAAGUGGUUGUUGACUACUUCACCUAGCUAUUGAAAUCUGUAUCAAUGGGUUUGAUGAUUUGCUUAUAAAAAUAGAUUUAUAAAACAUAAUCAGAAGUUAUGUCUAAGGAGCUUAUGUAAUUCAACCAGAUUCCAAAAUGUAAGCCCUUGGAAGAACUGACCACAGGCAUAAGAGAAUGUCAUUUCAAUGCUAUGAAUAUUAAAGACUCUGUUCCUUUUUCACAUUUAUCACUAUUGUUUCAUAGCAAUAUCUUAUUCUUGUUUCUUUUAGCUGACACAUGUGUUUAGAAGUACGUAAUUGUCAAAAACAAAUUUUAAAUGAUACUACCCAUUGAUGGGAAGAACAUGGAAUGAGCCCCAGACUCACUGUGAUGAGAGUCUGUGAUGGGAGCCAGAACGUCCUUUCUGGUAUUUGGCAAUCGUGUAUCAAAAGCCUUACACCUAUGCCUCGCCUUUAAUCCAGAAAUUCCAUUUCUUGAAAUUUAUUCUAAUAACACCAUCAGUAAGGCGUGGGAAAAUGUACACUUUCGUACAAAGAGGUUCAUCGCACCACUGUUUACAAUAUCAAAAAACUAAAACAAUCCAUCCCCCACAUAGAGAAUCUAUUAAGUACAUUAUAACAUAUGUCCAUAUUAUGGGAUAUACCUAACCACUAAAAAUUACCCUUUUUUUUUUUUAAAGAUUUUAUCUUAUUUUUUAAGGAAUCUCUGCACUCAACGUGGGGCUCAGACACAACCCCGAGAUCAAGAAUUGCGUGCUCCACUGACUGAGUCAGCCAGGCACCCGUAAAAACUAUGUUUUAAAAGAUUUUGUCGAGGGGCGCCUGAGUGGCUCAGUCAGUUAAGCGUCCGACUUCGGCUCCGGUCAUGAUCUCACAGUUCGUGGGUUCGGGCCCUGCGUCGGGCUCUGUGCUGACGGCUCAGAGCCCGGAGCCUGCUUCUGUUUCUGUGUCUCCCUCUCUGCCCCUCCCUUGCUUGCACUCUGUCUCUCUCUCUCUCUCUCUCAAAAAUAAAUAGGCAUAAAAAAAUUUUUUUAAAAAUUUGUUGAAAAGCUUUAAGACAUAGUAUUACGUUAAAAAACAAAUUACAAAUAACAUGCACAGUGUGAUUCAAAUAUACAUGUGCCUUCCUAUGUAACGUCUGUGGGCGUGUUUAUGUGUAUGAAAGAGAAGCAAACGGAAGGGAAGGAUGGAUCCCUAAUGUACCAAAAAUAGUGAUAGAGGUUAUCGCGAGGUGUUUCUGUGCUUUCUGACCUCUCUGCAAAAAAGAUGUAUUACUUUUAAAAUUCAUAAUGCAUGUUGGUGUCUUGAGUUCAGGAAUAAGCUUCUGCAAGAAACAGUCUUUGUCUCCAGUCUGGUUUCUUUUGCUGGCCACUUAGUGCCUCAAGUGUUUACAGAGUGUCUGGUCCUAAGCACUUACACUUGCCAGAUGCCAGGUCCCUGACAGUGUUUGAAGAUGCUGGAGUAUUAGCAGCCGCCAAGGGAAGGACGAAGGGGACGAGGGAGGUAGGGGUGAGGACUGAGAGACAAGCAGCAGCUGUGAUGAACGGAGGGCUGGCGUCUUUUCCCUGGUCCCAGUCAUGCAUGGCCCAGAGGAUACAUGGAGGCAGGACAAGGGGAGAAAGGCCAGAGUGUGAGGCCAGACCUGGCCACUGUGUCGUGACAUGCACUGCCGGGUCACACCUAGUCCCGGGGACGGCCUUCCGGUGAUGUGGAGGAACGGAGGAAUCUGAGCGGCAGGCGUCUGGCUGAGAGACGGGCUCACUCUCAGGGCUGGAGUCAGCCAUGGGCCCAGAGGUGUGCUUGCACCCUAGAAUGACCGACACACAAGAUGAGGGUUCGGAAGCACGGCAUCCAGGCCCCACGACGGCAGGGAAUGGGGGAGUGAGUCUUAGGCACAAGCAGAGGCCCAGUUACCAGAACCAAGACCUAAAGUUGAGGUUUCAACUAGCAGCCAUGGGCGCCUGGCUGGCUCAGUCUGUAAGGCACGCAACUCUUGAUCUCGGGGUCAUGAGUUCCAGCCCCACGUGGGGCAUAGAGCUCACUAAAAACCAAACAAAACAAAACGACCUAGCAGCCUUGGUGACUUCAUGCCCAGUCCCAGAAAGCCAAGCUCCAUUUCCUCAAAUCUCUCCUGAAGACGUCAGGAUUGGCAGGGACGGUGAGCUGGUCUAAUAAAGAGGAAGGACAGCGGACCCUACUUGUGGGGGAAAUCGGGCAGGACUGGAGGCAGAGCACUGGAGCACUGGAGUCCGAGAAUUCUGUCAGAAUUGUGCCCGAAGCAGUCUAUAAUGAGUAAGGCAAGUUAAUGGACGCGGUCCAGGUGGCAAAAACAAGAGGCCCUUGUCAAUGUGAAUCUUAGCCAUUCCUGCCCGAAUCUCUUUAUAGUGUCCCUACUAAAGAUACAGACACACAUCAGGGUGUCUUGAUGAUGUCAACAGUGUUUCAAAAAUAAAAGAUCAGUCCAUAAACAUUUUAUGUUUGCUUUGCCAAAUCAAGGAGAAAUCUGCAUAGGUUGGAAAUCCUAGUGUCACUAUACAAAUGCCUCUAAUAAAAACUCGUAAGUAGAAUUUCUAACUCCAUAAAUUUCAACAAAAAUGUCAUGCUAUACAAAAGAUUGUAGCCAGUCUAUUAUUUUUAUAAAGAUCAUUUGUGCGGCGCCUGGGUGGCUCAGUCGGUUAAGCGUCCGAUCUUGGCUCAGGUCAUGAUCUCAUGGUUUGUGACUUUGAGCCUUGUGUGAUGCUCUGUGCUGACAGUGCAGAGCCUAUGUGGGAUUCUCUCUCUCUCCCUCGCUCUCUGCCCCUCCCCCACUCACACUCUCUAUUUAGAAAUAAAACUUUAAAAGAACGGUUUAAAAGUUUAAAAAAAAAGAGUAUUUGCUAUUUAAAUAAUUUUUUGGAAUAUAAAGUCGAAUUUUACAGUAUGUCUUGCCUUCAGAUUCAAAUGUCGGUAACGUUACAGAAGCAAAGAAACGCUUUUUGAUGAUAGCCCUCGUUUGAUUGGUUUUCCCAAGAGUACAAUUUCUACUCCAAUAAACCCUUAGUUCCAUGGCUUAGAGCCAGAGCAGUGAUUCUCAACCUUGGCCUCCCCCUAGAAUCACUUGAGAGCUUUGUGAGUCCCAGAAUGCAUGUAGCAAACAAAUGAAUCAGAAUCUCUAGACGUGGGACUCAGGCAUCAGGAGUUUGUAAAGCUCCUCGGGUGGUUUAGAUCUGUGGUCAGAGCUGAGAACUGCCGAGCUAGGCUGACCGUAUUAAUCUACUGUCCAAAGCAAGACACUUUUGAGAGCAAAAGCCCGUGCUAUUACUGAUUACCUGGAGGCCAGAGAAUAAACCAGUUAAGUUCUGAAGUCACUUUGGCGGUCAGCUAGUGUCACUCUAUCCCUCAAGAUUUAUAAAGGAGUGAAAAGAUAGGCUCAUAUGAAAGCUCCAUGCCCCUUGGGAAGUCUAAAGGUUUCUGGAAUUCUUUGAGAAUGAUUGUAAUUACUUCUAGUUCUAAUUUCUAAUUUAAGUUGAAUUAUCAUUUUCUACUCAGCUACUUGGAAUUUUUCCCUCAUGUCUACCUUGAGAGUGGCCCAAGCACAGUCCCCAGGCCUCCUCCUGGUUCCCUGCCCCACCCCCAAAAGGAAUCUUCUUAGGCACCUGACUGUGGUGAGAUCUACCUAGAAGAUAGCAUUUAAAUUUUAAUAUUAAGUUUCCUUGUUCCUGAAAAGUCCCUCGGCCAUUUCUGCUGCCCAGGGCUCUAGGCGCUGCCGAAUUUCCCAACAAUUUUUCUUUUUUUCUCCUCUAUGUUCUCACUACACUCCUGAAUUCUUGUUCCUUUCUUCUGUAGGCCAUCUCCUUAGUGCUUCCUUCCAACUUAUGACUUCAGGGCUUCCCUGUCUGCCCAAAUCAGCUUAUCAAGGCCUUUCUCAAACAAAGACAGUUCUUUCUUUUAGAAAAACUCAGGUACCGACUGAAAAGCAUGAUAUUUUUGUUCAUCCCACUGUACAUAGACUUAGAUAUUUUUUGUGUCGAAACCUGCUAGGAACCCACUGGAAUGACUAAAGUGAAAAUGACUGACAACGCUAAGUGUCGGUAAGGCUGUGGAACAAUUGGAACUCUCAUAAGCUGCUAUUGAGAGUAGAGAAUGAUGAAGCACUUUGGAAAACUGACGGUUUCCAUAAAGGUUAAUGCACAUCCAUCCUGUGACUCAACAAUUCCUCCACCAGAUAUUUAUUCAAGAGAAAUAAAAACAUAUGGUCCCAGAAAGCGUUGUACAAGAAUAAUCGUAGCAGCUUUCAUCAUAAUAGCCCAAAACUAGAAACAGCCCUGUGUCCAUCCACAGGAACAUGGACAAACAAACCGAGAUACAUCUAUAUUGUUAUACUACUCGGUGUCAUAACAUGGAUGAAACUUACAGACGUUAUCCUGAGCGAAACACCUGGACACAAGAGCACACAUGGUACAAUUCUAUUUCUAAGAAUUCCUGGAAUAGACAAAACUAAUCUAUGGUGAUAGACACAAGGAAGUGAAGUAAGAGAAACUUCCUCUCUCUUGGGCUGGGUAGUGGCUACAUGGGUGAACAUAAUAGACAAAAACCCUAAUCUAAGUAUGUACUUACAAACUAUGCAUUUUACUGUAUGUAAAUUAUAUCUCAAUUUCUUUUUAAUGAGAAAAAUAACCACUCUGGGGUGCCUGGGUGGUUCAGUCUUUUAAGCGCCUGGACUUCAGCUCAGGUCAUGAUCUCGUAGUUCGGGGGUUCAAGCCCCGCAUUGAGCUCUGUGCUGACAGCGUGGAGCCUGGAUCUUGCUUCAGAGCUGAUUCUGUGUCUCCCUCUCUCUCUCUGCCCCUCGCCUGAUCACGCUGUGUGUGUCUGUCUCUCUUUCGAUAAGUAAAUAAAUAACUAAACAUAAAAAACAGAACCACCCCAAAAUAUAAUCUGCCACGACACAUUGGGACCUUACAGUGAGUCUUUCACACCCACAGGGGAAAAGGUAGAAAUUAAUAUUUGGAUCCUACUGUGUACCAAGCUCUGUGUAAGAUACUUUACAUAGACAAACCAGACUUCCCCCUAAAAUACUAGGCAAUUCCAGGAACCAAAUGCACUUCUGUGACAUUUCUUAUCAGGCCCUUGAAAGAGCAAGCACUUCAAGCAUUUUAAUGGCAGAUGGAACUUUUAGAGAAUUUUCAUUUCUGGACAAACUAAUAGUUUUCCCAAUAAUUCAUCUCAAAAAUGUUAAUACCGACCCAAUUUACUACUAUAGUAAAGAAAGCAUUUCUACAUAAAUGCCUGGUGAAUUCUACUUGUCCCAACAAGAUUGAAGGGCUUAAACUGAGAUUGAAAUGCUAAAUUUACAUAUGACAACCGUAAGUGUUCCACAGACUCGAAAGCACACCAAACAAAAUAAUAAAUUUUCCUUUGAACCACAACAAAUCUUUUAAUAGAAUUUUAUUUCAAGGAUAUAACAAUCCAGGAAAAUUCCAGAUGUUCAUUUUAUAAAGCCAAAAGGAAGAAGAGAACAAGAAUAAUCUAUAAAACAGAAGUUGCUAUUUGGGGGAUGAAAAUGAAGUGUUCAGACAAAGAAAAAUGGAUUUAGGUUUUCUUAAGAGAUAAACAGAAGAUGAAAGGCUCUUGGUGAGUGGAAUCUGUUAUUGCUCUACUUGUUGACUAUGCAGACGUGACCCUUGGCCCCUUCAUUUAGUGCAAAAGACAUCCAUGAUUUCAAGGAAUUUACUUUUUACUGUCAUUCCAUAUUUAUACAACAUCUUUUGGAAAGAAAUUAAAAAUUCUUUACUCUCAACUGCCAGUACUUCUCCCCUAUCCAUAAAAGAAAGUCCAAACGUUAAGCCUGGUAUUUGAAAAUUUUUUUAAUGCAACCCAUUUAUCUAAGCUUUAUCUCCUACUGCUUUUCUACACUUGCGCUUUGGUCCGGCCAAGCCUAUUUACUUGACUCCAGAGUGACUUAACAAUUCUCACCUCCAAAUUCCGUUCAUGCUACUACCCUCGGUAGGAUGGUAAAGUGGAAAGUGCAUGAAUUAUGUUAAUUCUUACUCUCCGGUCAGUUAUUAAUUAGCCACGCGAUUCACUCAUUAGCCAUGUGAGCUUGGGCAGGUGUCUCAACCUUCCUUAACAUCCUUUUCUUAUCGGUAAAAUGAGAAUGCUAGUACCUACCUCUGUUUUGAUAUUUUAGUACUCUAUUUUGAAUUUUAUUUUUAUUUAUUUUAAUGUUUAUUUAUUUUUGAGAGAGAGAGAGAGAGAGAAACAGGGCGUGAGUGUGGGAGGGGCAGAGAGAGAGACACAGAAUCUGAAGCAGACUUCAGGCUCGGAGCUGUCAGCACAGACCCUGACGCGGGGCUCGAACCCACGAACAGUGAGAUCAUGACCUGAGCCGAAGUCGGAUGCUUAACCGACUGAGCCACCCAGGCGCCCCUGUAUUUUGAAUUUUAAAUGAGAUGGUUGACGCGCCUGCCACAUCAGACACAACAAAUACUACUUCGUUAUCAGGCUUCAUCCUCCCUUCUGCCUAGAAUAUACCACCAUCUUGAUGCCUUCCUAAAUCCUGUCCUUCCUUCGGUCCAAACCAACUUCCAUAUCUUGAAACCUUGUCAAACCACCCCAUUACCAUUUUAUUGGCCCUGAAUGCCAUACUGCCUCAUAUUGCUGAAAACUCCCCAAAUGUGAUGAAAGACACGAAUAUAAACAUCCAAGAAGCUCAGCAAACUCCAAGAAAGAGGAACUCAAAGAAACCCACACCAAGAUUCAUUGUAACCAAACUUUUGAAAGACAAAGACAAAGGCAGAAUUAUGAAAGCAGCAAGAGAGAAGCAAUUUGUCCCAUACAACAGAUUCUCCAUAACAGUUAGCAGAUUUCUCAUCGGAAACUUUGGAGGCCAGGAGGCAGUAGGUUGAUGUAUUCAAAAUGCUAAAAGAAAAAAAAAAACCAUCAAUCAGGAAUCCUGUAUCCGGCAAAACCAUCCUUCAAAAGUGAAGAAGAAAUUAAGACAUUACUAGGUAAACAACAGCUGAGGGAGUUUGUUAUCACUAGACCUGCCCUGCAAGAAACACUCAACACUCAAGGGAAUCCUGCAGGGUGAAAUGAAAGCACACUGGACAGUAACCUGAAGCUGCACGAAGAAAUGAAAUUCUCAAGAAGGGUAAAUACGUGGGCAAUUAUAAAAGCUAGUGUCACUGUAACAAUGGUUUAUAACUCCACUUUUUGUUUUCUACAUGACUUAAGAGACUAACGCAUUUUUUUUUGAUGAAUCUAAAAACUAAUAUUAUUGUAACCUUGGUUUGUAACUCCACCUUUUGUUCUCUACAUAAUUUAAGAAACUAAUCCAUUAAGAAAAUUAGUAGCUUAUGUUUUAGGGCACACAAUGUCUAAAGAUGUAAUUUUGUGACAUCAACAACCAGGAGAGUUGGGGACAGAGCUGUAAAGGCACAGAGUUUUUGUAUGUUAUUGGAGUUAAGGUGGUGUCAAUUCAAAUCAGUGUUAUAACUUCAGGAUGUUAAACAUUAUCCCCAUAGUAACUAUAACAAAUAGCUAUAGAAUAUACACAAAAGGAAAUUAGUAACGAAUUUAAGCAUUUCACUGUAAAAAAAAAAAAAAAGAUCAACUAAAUACGAAAGAAGACAGUAAUACAGGAAAUGAAGGAUGAAAAAGCUAUAAGUCACGUAGAAAACAAAUAGCAAAAUGACAGAAGUCCCUCCUUAUCAGUAAUUAAUUUAAAUGUAAAUGGUUUAAACUUGCCAAUAAAAAGAGAUUAUGUGAAGGGAGCAAAGAAGGAGGCUUAGGUAAGACAUUCCCCCUCACCCAAAAUGCACCCUCCAGACUACUCUGCAGGCACAGGUACCCACAUUCGAAGUAUGACACCCCAAUUCCUCGGCCUUUUUCUAAACUCAGAAGCAGUGACAGCCGGGGAAGAAGCACAUUCCCCGCACCUUCCCCUCAUCUAAGAGGCUGCAAGGGAAAAACUGCAGUCAGUCAGAGCUUGACCCACAUGCCAGCCUCCCCUCUCCACCCUCAAAGCUGUUGAAAUGACAGGAAAAAAUACACACACACACAGUUUUACAAAUGAUUAAUACAUGUCAGUGCUAGAAAAUAGGAAUCUUUGAAAGACAGGGCAAAUGAGAUUGACUAGAAAGUGGGAAGCAAGAAUAAAUUAGAGAUUUCAGAAACAAAAUGUAGGUUUGUUAAAUUUUUCUGCCCUGCAGCUCCUAGCUAUUCAUAAGAAGUUUGGAUAGAAGAAAUAAAGGGCCCUAAGCCCUAUGUGUCAAGCAAUGGGCACCUUAUAGUUAAAAAAUCACAGACACCAGCUCUUUAAAGAGGAAGAGAAAGAGAAAGAUUAGGAUAGAACUGUUACCAAAGUUUUGGACUUGGAAGGGAUUUUGGCAAUUCUGAAAGAAUGAGGCAAGUCUGACCAAUUUGCUAGCCCAGCACAAAAGAAGAUGUUACCUAUAUAGUGCUGGAGUGAUUUUUUAGCAAAUCACUCCUUCCUAGGGGUGAAAAACCACCAUGACAUUUCAUAUAGUCCAAACAAAGACUUCGAUUGUUAGACGAAUGCCAAAACUAUACUGGAAGCCUUGAGAGAACCACCUGACUUUUUCGUACAGUUUCCAGCCCCUAGGCUUUUCAAGUCUUAGCAGGAAAUACUAGAAGCAAUUUCUCCUGGUGUUUUGAAGUUUACCUACCUAAAUCACAGAGUGAUUCUGGUGAUUAAAAGAGAGAGAGAGAGAGAGAGAGAGAGUUUGAAUGUGAUCCUAUAAAACAAAUUAGUGUAUAAGGAACUGAUUUGAAAUAAUCUAGUAAAUUCAUUAUCUGCUCAUGAUAUUUGGCAUGAUUACAAUAAAAUUGCAUUAAAGUACAGGAUGUCUAAGAGAAAUAUGGAACGGUCAGGAUUCAGAAUUAUCUGAUUUCCUAAUGAAGAACAAUAGGGCAUUUAGUCGGUUGAGAAACAACAGUUCCUUUGAAUUACAAAUGAACUCGAUAUUAGCUUAUUGUGGUUUUGGUGUAUUUAAUAUUUCAUCUGAGUAGGAAGUCUACCAGGCUUGAGACGGGAAAUCUGAAUUCUAAUUUCAGAUCUGUUGCUACAUACCUCUUAGCUCUGGACAAAUCAGUUCCUCUCUCUGAGCCUCAGUUUCCUCAUUUGUAGUAUGAAGGGAUUGGACUUAAACCUUCUCAAAGGUUUCUUCAGCUCUCAAAUUCUGUGGCUCUGGUUCUUUUCUCUCCUCCAGGGCCCUUGUCGAUUCUCACCCCUCCUUCCUCUACCCCAGGCUCCUAGGCUACCUGCUGCCCCCACCUGCCCCACUGCUCACGGUUGUUCACCGCGACAUUCACCCAUUCUAGACGGCAGCACCUGGCCCAGGCUUCUUCCGCUGGGACCCAAAACAAAACUUACUCUCGUGUGUCCCAGGGCCGUACUACUCGUGGCCUUGAGUGAAAUGAGGCUGAAGAGUUGAGCUACUGUGGCCAGGUCAGGAUGGGGGCNNNNNNNNNNNNNNNNNNNNNNNNNNNNNNNNNNNNNNNNNNNNNNNNNNNNNNNNNNNNNNNNNNNNNNNNNNNNNNNNNNNNNNNNNNNNNNNNNNNNNNNNNNNNNNNNNNNNNNNNNNNNNNNNNNNNNNNNNNNNNNNNNNNNNNNNNNNNNNNNNNNNNNNNNNNNNNNNNNNNNNNNNNNNNNNNNNNNNNNNNNNNNNNNNNNNNNNNNNNNNNNNNNNNNNNNNNNNNNNNNNNNNNNNNNNNNNNNNNNNNNNNNNNNNNNNNNNNNNNNNNNNNNNNNNNNNNNNNNNNNNNNNNNNNNNNNNNNNNNNNNNNNNNNNNNNNNNNNNNNNNNNNNNNNNNNNNNNNNNNNNNNNNNNNNNNNNNNNNNNNNNNNNNNNNNNNNNNNNNNNNNNNNNNNNNNNNNNNNNNNNNNNNNNNNNNNNNNNNNNNNNNNNNNNNNNNNNNNNNNNNNNNNNNNNNNNNNNNNNNNNGUCUCACCCCAAAUCCGUGUGUGUUGGUCUGAUCCCCUCUCUCAGCUUGUGACCCUGACACAAGGUUGCAAAGUGCGUGCGUGAUAUUCGUAAGCUCUCCUCAACCCCAAAUCUUCUUCCUCCAAAAACCUGUUACCCUGAGCGUCUCUCUCCUGGCUGCCUUGACACGGAAGUGGCUCUUGAAAACCUAAAUGUCCGUGUGCAUUUGUGAGCCUGCGUGUGUUCACCCCACAGCCCAGGGGAUUGCAUCUUUUCUCCUAACACAGUGAGGUGAGAAAUGUCUCCAGCACGUAGCCUAAAACUUGAUUUUUCAUUUUAACUGAAACAAUGAGCUCUCACCUAUCAAUAUCUUGGCCACGUGUGGUUGUGCUAAGGCAGAAAUACCGAGUCUGAGAAAAACCACGGUCAAGGAAAUUCUGUGUCGUCUCCCUUGGUGCCCCACCUCCCAACCCCCACCCUCAUGUCUAGACAUUCCCCCAGGCCUUGCGGUUACCACCCUUUCUUUUCCACAUUUCAUUAAUAAUUGUACAAGUCAAACAAUAGCUAAUCUGGCAAUUAUGCGCAAGUUAAAACAUUGGAACACGUUACCCGGCAUCGCCUGCCAAAUCACACUAAAAUUUGGAUCGAUGAAGGUGCCGAAAGAUUUUUCAAAAGUUUGUCCUGCCUUUCGGGCAGACUUCUAAAAUGCAGCAGAGUGAGUGGUUCUAAAACCAAAUCAACAACAACAGCAGGAAACCUGUCUCCUAGCGUCUCUGUUUUUCACAGUGACGCCACAGUUUGAAACUCAGUGUUUGGGGGGGGCGGGGAAGAGAAAAGGGGCGUGAGGCGGAGAGUACCCACACCCUGAGCUAGCUGCGUCAGGGUGAAAGAAUGAGCACCGCACCCCAGGCGGUCGCAUUUCUGGGGUCACUUAAUCAUGCUCUGUACACCUGUGCUAUGAGGGCAGCACAGCUGCAAGACAAACGCUCUUCGGCUCCGGGGCCAACAUGCCUGUUCCCCUCUAGAUUUAGCUACUUCCAACUGUCCAAGAUCAGCCGCAGAAUUUUUGAGGAGUGAAGUAAAGCAGAAAGCAAGACUGGGUCGGCAGUGUGCUCUUCCAGAAUCAGUCUCGGGGCCAAAGCUUCUCUUCCACGCUUCUCCAAGCUGCGCUCGGGCUUCCAAAUGCCCACAGGACUUCAGUUCCCUUCAGAGGCUCUGCGCACUGGGCAACCUGCAUAGACGAGGGUCUCCAGCGGCCUCCAGAAUCACCUUCAGAACUCAAGUUCAGCCCCUAAAAACAGCAUCAGCUCUGCCCACACCUCCUCCUCCUGGGUUUCCUCGCUACUCGUACUCCCAGUGGGUAUUACUAAGAGGUGAGAACACGAACGCUUGCAGGAAGCGGAACAUCAAUCAUUCCUUCAUUACUGAUUAAAAGAAAAAGAAAGGAAGUCAACUGGAGGACUGCUUUAGGCUUGAAGUCUGGUUCUCAUGAAAGGUCAGUGAGGGGACCUCCGUAGUCCAUCUCAAAGGCGCCUUCAGACCUGAAAUGCUUUAAUUCCUUGCCUGCACACCUGGCUGGGAUUUGGAUCUGGACUGGGAACAGGAUACCAAGGUCAUGCUGAGCCCCACGUGCAGGCAGUGGAGGCUCGCUGCUGAACUUCCUGGGUUCAAAGGACAUACUUGGUAGCCGGGAUGGUUUUGAAAGCGCCCUUAAUGAUCUCAAACCUACCUUGAAAGUCUGCAAAGGACCCAUCUAUCCCUUCUCUCUAGGGCACUUAGAAGAGGACCUGGGGUCGGCUGGAGCCUCUGGAAGCAGAGCCCCGUUCCCACAGGAAUUGACUUCAAUCCUUACACUUCUCUCUCACAUCCAAUACGUCGCCUGUUCACUCAGUGACUAUCUCUCUCUGCAAAGGAAAAGCGUCACGUUAGUUGGUAAAGAUACAAGGAUGAAGAAAAUAUGACCUGUGUCCCUAAAGAUCUCAAAGUCUAGACGGAAACAACCACUCCAAAGUGUGAGGAGUCUCUCAUGCAGGCAGGAAGAAAAGGUGGAAGCAGAGAAGGAAAACUAUUGACCUGACUUGGAAGCUGGAAGGACAUCACAUCAGAUCCUUCUCUUCCUCAAGCUUCUACGUAUCCCCUGGGAUGAGCUCACCUGUUACCUCCUCCUUAUCUUCCCCUCCCUAUCCCUUUCUGAAGCUCCCUCAGCUCUACACAGAGUAAAUCCAACCAUGGUCCCACAGCACACUUCCCUCAUUGAAUACCUGUCAAGUUCUUUGAGUCUGAGGAAAUGCCUACAAAGGCAGGUAAAGCGGGAGUCUGGCCCACCAGAUGCCUGAUGUGUGCAGGCAAAGGAGCCCUCUGAGACAGGACUCUAUCUUGGGCACAAAAGGGUUGAGCCAGUGGGAAACCUUGGUAAUCAGGCAGGAGAGGCACUCCAAGAGCCAGAGGAUAAGAAGCAAUUCUGAGCACAGCAUGAUGUCUGUUACUCAGAUUUUCUUACCUCUAAAGUCCCAGUGAAAACACAGCUUCUCGAGCUGGAGAGCUAUAAAUGGAAGCCAAAAGAGAUGUUUCGGUGAGAAGCUUUUUUAAAGGACUCAGAGAUCAGCUGCAUGCUUUGGAAGCCUUCUAACGUGCGGAAGUACAGAGGGGAGACAGGCAUUCUCCCCUUCGUUGCUGCAGACCACGGCUCCGUACACAGGAGGUCUGAAGAGCCUGGUCAAGCAGCGGUGGCACUCAGCAAAGACUUCAGUGCCUAAAGUAGAAUGAUAAGCACUCCAUGGCACAAGACAGCUCUGUAGGGGUAGUAGCGAUUGCCAAAUUGUGGCGCCUGAUGCAUUAGUGGGUCGUGGCCAGCAGUUGUUUUUUUUUUUUUUUUUUGAUAGACUAGAAUAGUAUAAAAAGCAUCAGAGUUUCUCAUAAGUAGUAAGAAGACAUAUAUGUGUACGUGAGUGUGUGUACAUGGGAGUGAGUAUAUGUGUAUAUAUACUGGGUCAUUGUGUAAAAUAUAUCUCUUCCUGUGGGCCAUGGUCUAAAUCACAAAGAGAUUGCCAGUGGAGCAGAAGUAGUAGCUGAUGUAAGUAGUAGUUGUCUUGUAGUUAAGUUCAUAAAGAUUCCCGGAUGUAAUCAAGUAGGGAUUGCAAGGGCUAGCUGCACCGUCCAUUACAGUAGCCACUAGCACGUGUGGCUAUUUAAAUGCAUUAAAAUUAACUAACAGUAAAAAUUGUGUUCCUUUUUAAUACCAGCCACAUUUCAAGUGUUCAAUAGACCCAUGUGGCUAAUGGCUACUGUAUUGGCCAGUGCAGAUGUAAAUUAUUUCCAAUGUCUCAGAAAGCUCUAGUGGAUAUCACUGGCCUUGAUCUAAAUCUGGUGGACCAAAAUUGUCAAGGAUGGGCAUGGACACCAUACAUUUUUAAAGGUCUACAGUGGGGCGCCUGGGUGGCGCAGUCGGUUAAGCGUCCGACUUCAGCCAGGUCACGAUCUCGCGGUCCGUGAGUUCGAGCCCCGCGUCGGGCUCUGGGCUGAUGGCUCAGAGCCUGGAGCCUGUUUCCGAUUCUGUGUCUCCCUCUCUCUCUGCCCCUCCCCCGUUCAUGCUCUGUCUCUCUCUGUCCCCAAAAUAAAUAAACGUUGAAAAAAAAAUUUUUUUAAAAAAUAAAGGUCUACAGUAAUUGUGAAGUGCAGUCGAGAUUGAUUUCAUUAUUGAUCCCAAACAGCAGAAAAUAUAGAUAUGGAGCUUGAGAAAGAGGGUGAACUGGAAAUUCAGACCUGGAAGCCAGUCGACAUUGUAAACUGUAGUUGAAGCAAAAGAAGUGGAUGAGCUAGCUGACUCAUAGAGAUUGGGGAGCGAAAGAAGAGGACCAAGUACAAAACCCUAAGAUCGAAAGAAGCAAAAUCAAUGAAAAGGAGCCCAANNNNNNNNNNNNNNNNNNNNNNNNNNNNNNNNNNNNNNNNNNNNNNNNNNNNNNNNNNNNNNNNNNNNNNNNNNNNNNNNNNNNNNNNNNNNNNNNNNNNNNNNNNNNNNNNNNNNNNNNNNNNNNNNNNNNNNNNNNNNNNNNNNNNNNNNNNNNNNNNNNNNNNNNNNNNNNNNNNNNNNNNNNNNNNNNNNNNNNNNNNNNNNNNNNNNNNNNNNNNNNNNNNNNNNNNNNNNNNNNNNNNNNNNNNNNNNNNNNNNNNNNNNNNNNNNNNNNNNNNNNNNNNNNNNNNNNNNNNNNNNNNNNNNNNNNNNNNNNNNNNNNNNNNNNNNNNNNNNNNNNNNNNNNNNNNNNNNNNNNNNNNNNNNNNNNNNNNNNNNNNNNNNNNNNNNNNNNNNNNNNNNNNNNNNNNNNNNNNNNNNNNNNNNNNNNNNNNNNNNNNNNNNNNNNNNNNNNNNNNNNNNNNNNNNNNNNNNNNNNNNNNNNNNNNNNNGUCCCAAAAAUAAAAAAAAAAAAAAUUAUUUUAGAGACAGAAAGCACGAGCAGGGGAGAGGGGAAGAGAGAAGAGAGAGAGAGAAUAUUAAGCAGGCUCCAUGGAGCCUGAUGCAGGGCUCGAUCCCUUGACCCUGGGAUUGUGACCUGAGCUGAAAUCAAGAGUGAGACGUCAACCGAAUGAGCCACCCAGGCACCCCUAUUUUAUAUUUUUAUUUUUUUUUUACUUAAGCCUCACGCCCAGUGCAGGGCCCAACACGGGGCUUCAACUCACGACCUGGAGAUCAAGACCGGGGCUGAGAUCAAGAGUCGGACACUUCACCAACGGAGUCACCCAGUAAGUGUGUUUUUAGAUGCAAGCAGCAGAAUAUCCUAGCUCACAUCAGCUUAAACAAUAAGAAAACUAAUUAUGUCAUGUAACAGGAAGUUCAGAACUAGCAUGGGCUCCAGGCACACUACAUCAGAGCUCCAACUUCAUUUCUUUGUAACUUGUCCAGAUUAGUGUUGGCUUCCUCCUCAGGCUGGAGGAAAAAUGGCUGCAGAAGUUCUUAAAGCAAUCAUUCAUUGUCAAAAAUAAUAGAACCACUACGAUUGGCUCAGACUAGUCAUAUUUGGGUUUGAAUGAAUGUUGAGGUGUCAAUCACUGGGGCCGUGACAAAAGAGAAGCAAGAGAGAUGGGUGUCAGAGAAGCCAAAGAAGAAAGUAGGGUGACCAACAAGAGUCAAAAUGCUACUUUGAGAUCAGAGUGUAUACCUCGCACAUAGUAGAAUUGAAUUGUUUUCAGUAACGUAUUGCUUGGUGGUUGAUCAUGAUGAACUCGCCAAAUCCAUUUGGAGCCAUGUAUAUAUAAGAGCUCAAAAUUCUAGCAGGUCACUCAAAGGAAAGAUCAAGAGACAAAGAGGAUUAUAGUAAAAGAGGACAAGGAAAGAAGAAGGGAAGGUCAAGAGCAAGGAGAAUCAAAAGGUGUUUUGAGUUGCCAUUUACAACAUGGAAGGCAUGCCCUCACCACAUCCAGCCAAGACAAAAAAGUUAAAUCAACCAGAGAACACAUAUUCCCAAGAUCUGGAAUUAAGAGCAAGUGUAACUUGUGACUUAUGGUAAAUUUAAAGAACUUCAGUGUCUUGUUUUACUCAGUGUUGUCAAGGCAAUAUCAUAGCCUUAAGAACUUUGGCAAAGCGCUCCUUGGCCAAUGGAGAAACCAUCUCUCAGAGGCCUCAGUUGGCCACUGCCCACUAUGUAGAUCAGCUCCUUGAUGCUAUUCUCAGAAUAAAUUUUCCAACAGAUGCUAAGGCAAUGAAAACACACCGAGAAUUGUAAGAUGAUUUAUUUUCCAUCUGUUUUCACCUGUACUCAAUUGAGGAUACCAGCUCAUAGCCCAAGCAAUAUAUAACAGAGGCCAGGGGCUACUCCACCCAUAUUUUAUAAAGUGCCUAUGGUGCCACUUUUAGCACUGCAGCUGUAAAUAACAAGACCCUCGAGUCACAGGGAGUGAUCUCAUCUCUUACAUACAUCCAGAGCUUACAGAGGCCAAUAUGUCCUUAUGGAUCAUUGCGUUACUGGUGUCGCUGAGCUCACCGAAGCUCAUGUGGCCCAGCUUAAUUUCCUCGGGGCUCCUCUGUACACUCUCCCCUCCCUUCUCCAUCUGGGAAUUGUGUACGCUGUUUCCCAGGGACCACAGUAUGAGAACCAUGGCCUAGGAAAUUUGGUAGUGGGGGAGCCACAUCACCUCCACUGACAUAAUCAGGUAGUUUUAUUUUUGUGUUACGCAGGGGGAGACUUAACAGGAAGACAUACUAGAGACAUAAAUGGAACACUCUCCUUAAAAUCUGUCAACAGCUUGCCAUGGCCUUUGAAAUAAAGAUCAAUUUCCUAAUGUGGCUUAUGAAGCCCUCGGGGUCUGCCAGCCUCUCCAGCACCCACCAUGCUGCCCCCCCCCCCCCCCCCACUUCUCACUGCCCUUUGGCCCCUGGUUCCUUGUCAGAGGAGGCCCAGGCCCCUCUGUCUGGAAUCCUCUCUACCUCACACCCAGUCUUCAUCCAGCGUAUUCUUGAUAAUCCUCAAGAGCUCAACUCAAACAUCACUUCUUCAAAGAAGCCCCCCUCCCUUCCCAGAUUAGAUUGGGACCCUCCAGUGACCUUUUCCUACUAUCUGGAUUUUUCUCCUAGGGCAUUUAUUCAGUUGUGUAAUUUGUAAUUUAAUGUAUGUCUUUGAAGUACACUCUGACUACUGUCAGUAUGACAACCAUGCUUGUCUUGUUCACUGUCCUCAGCCCCCAGCCCAGUGCCUGGCACAUAGUAACUCAGUAAACAUCUUGCUGAGCAAUUGACUGCCAGAGUGAAUUGCCAUUCCUUGUGUCCAUUAGCGCUAAGGUGGGGUGAUUCUAAAUUCUGAUCUGUUAAACAACCAAAAUAGCACAAAAGUUUUUUCUUAUGCUAGUUAAAUCCCAUGCUAUGUCUUUCCCCUUUGUUCAAAUCUUUUUUAAUGACAGUUUUACUGAAAUAUAAUUCACAUUCCAUACAAUUUACCCAUUGAAAGCCUACAAUUCAAUGGUUUUUAGUAUAUUCACAGUUGAACAACUAUCACCACAGUCAAUUUUAGAACAUUUUCACCAUCGCCCCCAAAAGGAAACCCUGUACCCAUUAUUUAAAUGUGUAUUUAUUUUUUAUUUUUAUUUUUAUUUAUUUAUUUUUUUUAAAUCUUUUUAACGUUUAUUUGUUUUUUUUUUCAAAUUUUUUUUUUCAACGUUUUUAUUUAUUUUUGGGACAGAGAGAGACAGAGCAUGAAUUGGGGAGGGGCAGAGAGAGAGGGAGACACAGAAUCGGAAACAGGCUCCAGGCUCCGAGCCAUCAGCCCAGAGCCCGACGCGGGGCUCGAACUCACGGACCGCGAGAUCGUGACCUGGCUGAAGUCGGACGCUUAACCGACUGCGCCACCCAGGCGCCCCAAAUGUGUAUUUAUUUUUGAGACAAAGAGAGAGAGACAGAGACAGAGACAGAGAGAGAAUCCCAAGCAGGCACUACACCAUCAGCACAGACACAAACCACGAGAUCAUGACCUGAGCUGAAAUCAAGAGUUGGACGCUUAACCAACUGAGCCAUCCGGGCGUCCCUGCUCAUUUUUUAAUUGGGUUGUUUUUAUUGUUGAGUUGUAAGCGUUCUUUAUAUAUGGUAAAUGCAAAUCUCUUAUCAGAUACAUGACGUACAAAAAUUUUCUUCCAUUUUGUGGGUUGUCUUUUCACUGUCUUGCUGCUAUUCUUUGAAACAUAAAAUGUUGAUGGGACCAAAAUUAUCUGCUUUUUCUUUUGUUGCAUGUAGCUUCACGUGAUGGAAGGGGUGAGCUGGCUCUCUGGGGCUGCUCUUAGAAGACACUGAUCUCGUUCAUGAGAGUUCUGUCUUCAUGAACAAACUGUCUCCCGACGGCCUCACCUCCUAACACCAUCAUCUUGGGCGUUAGGCUUUCAACGUAUGAAUAUUGGGGGCACACAAACAUUCAGGCAAGAACACUGGUCAUCCUCUUCAGUCCCCUUAGGUAUGGAUCAAUUCCUCAGCAUUUGUCUUUUAUGACACUGACAUCUUAAAAGAAUACAGACCUUUUUCUCUUUUUAAUAGAAUGCUUCUUAGAUUCCAGUUUUACACUCCCAGCCAGAAUUCCAUAUAAAUGUUGUGUCCUUCUCAGGGUAUCACACCCAUCUGAUGUCUAUCUGCCCCUCAUUUGUGAUGUUAAUUCUGAUCCCCUAGUUGAGGUGUUACCAAAUUCUAUUUAGUUACUAAUAUUCUAAAAUUGGACAUUUGUCUCUACCUCUGUUCUAACUGUAUACCCCAAACCUUUUCUGUCAAUAAUGUGAUAUUUCACCUGGUGUCCAUUCUUCUUGCUGUUUCCAAUCAAUUCAUUCAACCCAUAAUUGUAUUGUGCUGGUCUUCAACUUGUUUUCUUAACUCUGACUUCGCCCUUUUUAGCCCCAUCUGCUGUUUUAGCAUUUCAUCUUGGUUUUUUAUCUUAUUUUUACUUUCUCAUUCUCCAUGUUGGCAGCUGACUGGACGUUUUUGUUUUCCCUGACAUGUGUGAGCGAAAUCUUGACCCCAUUCUAACCUGCCUAAAACUCAUUUGUCUUCCUCUAAGAGCUCCAAUUUGGGUCCUAAAUGAAGUGUUUUAUAUACUUUUCUCUACACUGAUGAUAUGGCCAGAGGGGCAGAGAUAGAGUUCAACUGGGGUUGUGUGCCCCCUUUGUUGGUGGACACGAGCUCUCUUUAAAGAAUGUCUUCUGUGUUCUGCACUAGGAAUUCAGACCUCAUACUUGGAGACAAAUCCUCUUCUUAAUAUGUUAGGCUUGGAAUUAUGCCCUCAAUUCCGUAUGAAUCCCUAGUAAAUGGCAUACACUGAGGAUGUUUUCUUCUGUCCCUGAUGAAAUACUCAGUUCUUUUCCUUGAUUUUUUCCCUAGGGUUUCUGAUUCUCCUCAUCAAUUCACUUCUCUCUAAAUUGAGAGUGAGUGGUGAGAAUAUGGCUUUUUGUCAACUGGCUUUUUUUUCUCCCCCCAGUACCAUAUCAGGUGAUGGUCAGUGGAACAUGGGGGUGAGGUUAAGAGCAGUAGUGUGGUGGUAAAUGUUUAAAGACUGGCUCUCAAAAAUAAAAAUCCCUAAUGUAGAGUGUAUGCCAGUUUCCACAGCAUAAGUAUUCCCCCCGUAGCCAAUUUCAAGCCACCAAUGUGACAUGACUAAGUGUGGAAUUGGAACACACAUCGCUAUAUAGCGUAGCACGUUGUUAAACAGUAUUUCCACCUUGCGGAUACACAGAUAACCUCAAAGGCAUAAAUAAGAGUAAAAUGAAGUGCAAUAAUUAGAAAGCGGUGUUUUUGAGCAUUUACUAUCUUUGUUUUAAGUAAAAUUUGUUUAAUUGUAAGUGUAAUUUUUAAGAACUGCUCUAUUUAAUCCCUGGCUUGAAAAAUCCCUGAAAACUGGACUAUCAGCAGGCUCUCCUGAGCCAGUGGGAACCUGCUCCAGCACACCAGUGAGCCAGAAUAAGCGCCCGAAUUAUCCAGUCCUUCCUCCGGCCACCGUUUCUUAUUUUCGCAAGGUCAUGCCACUUUUCUUCCAUGGUGGCUGUUGGUCACUUUUUGCUAUUUUUAAAAACCCCUUUUUGCUCAUAUUAAAGGAAAGAGAUUCUGUGAUUGGCUUCAUCCUGUCACCUUUACCUCAAGAUCUUACUCUUUCUCGCGUGCUCUGCAAGUUUCUCUGGGUCAUUUGAGGUUUUACGUACUAUUCCGAACCAAAAAGAUAGUAUCCCCUGAGACGGUAAUCACGAGUCUUCCUCUAAGUCUAAGCGCCAUGAGCUGGAGUUGGGGGAAUAGUAAGUGAGCUCUGUCUUCGGGCAAGUUAACCAAGGAUCAGUUGCAGAACUAUGCAAUUUCAAACAGACAAUAUUCGAGGAUAAUAACGGAUAUAAUUCACCUUGAAGAAAGGAAGAAUGAUGUUCCAACACAUGGAAAGUAGUCGGCCUCUUACAUAUUUCUUUGAAAGGUAACUUUGAAGGAUCAGGUUUGGUGAGAGGUGCCUCCAUAGACCCAAGAGCGUAAGUGAGUUCUCAAACACGUACAAUGUAUUUCCUGUGUGUGUGAGUGUGUGUAUGUGCAUAAUUUUUUAAACUCUGUUUUGAGAAAUUAAGGGUGUUUCCAAAGUAUUCCUUAUUAAACGAUUCCUUGCUGAAACAAAUCAUAGAUUGUAGUCAAUAUUUCCAAUAAUACAGUUGUUCUCAGCUCUGGCUGGACAUUAAAAUCACCUGGGGAGCUUUUAAAAAACACCAGUGCCAGAACCCUACUCCAAAAAUUUCUAAUUCAAUUAGUCUAGGGUGGGGCCAUGCCAUUAAUAUUUUUGAAAAGCUCCCCAGGUGAUUCCCCUAGGCAGCCAGAGUUGAGAAUCCUUGUCAUAAUGUAACAUUUAGGAUUUUAUUAAUAGUCCAGGAAAUCUACUAAAGUAAAUAUACUAACCCCCUAAGAUGCAUGACAAUGAAUAGGAAAAUUUGUAAAGUUCUUGAAGAUGUUUAAAGAAAAACAAGAUAAUAAUUGUAUGUUGUUAAAGUCUUUUUUUGGCUGGGACUCCAAAUGUUUUAUACUUUUUUUUUUAUUUAUUUUUUUUCAACGUUUAUUUAUUUUUGGGACAGAGAGAGACAGAGCAUGAAGGGGGGAGGGGCAGAGAGAGAGGGAGACGCAGAAUCGGAAACAGGCUCCAGGCUCCGAGCCAUCAGCCCAGAGCCCGACGCGGGGCUCGAACUCACGGACCGCGAGAUCGUGACCUGGCUGAAGUCGGACGCUUAACCGACUGCGCCACCCAGGCGCCCCUGUUUUAUACUUUUAAAAAAGCAACUGUGCAGUGCCUAACGGAGCAAAAGCUAAUUAAAUGUAACAAUGCCUUGAAGCUGAAGACUAAAAAAACAGUAUGUUUUCAGUUUUUCUUUAGGAAGUUCAGGAUUGUCUGUGAUCAGGGUAUCCACACGUCCGGUGCCCGCCACNNNCCCCGCCACAAUAAAAUCCCGCUGAUGGGUUCCAGUUAACAUGGGAGCCAAAAUGUAGCCUUUCUGAGAAACCUAUUUUUCAGGAGCACAAAUUAAAAUCAUAAAUAAGAUUGUAAGGGGAGAUCUCUAAAAUGUUUAAGCAAAUAAAGUUCCCCCAAGGGACUGAUUUCAGGGGAAUUCAUUAGGCUUAUUAGAUGACAUAAUUAUCUAAUCACUGAAACAGGGUCCCUGGAGAUCUCUUCUACUUUGUAGCUUAGAUUUAAUCAUUGCAUUUAAGAUAAUGCAGAUCUUGGCACAGCGGAGUGGUCGCCAGAGAUGCCCGACCGUCUGUUCUGAGGGGCGGCUAGCAGCGCGGUGGAGCGAGCCAGGGACGGCUUACUUACACCUGAGACGGACUGCGGAACCGCACGUGCCCGAGGUGCAAGUCCAAGUCAAAUGUCGAAGGAGAGCCUCCCUGAGCAACCAAGAGUGUCAGCUGUACCCAAGGCGGUCUCGGCAGCAGCAAGUACCUGUGGUGGAUUUCCAGGCCGAACUGGGACCGCGAUUCUUCGCUGGGACACCAAGCAGUGGUGAAAGCAGCACUGGAACAUCCAGCUUAGCCGAUUGCCAGGGGAAGAAGCAGCCUCGGUCUCCUGUUGGAAGCUUCUGCCCCAAGCUUGCACUGUGUGUAGGAGAGCCGCCGUCACACCUUUAUGUGUAGCCUUCCCCCAGGUCUUAAGGAUCCUGAAACCUUACCGCGGACGGUGGAUUGGGUGCAACAGCAGCNCCGCGACUGUGGGAAAGAGCAGCAAGAUGCCACGGCACACGGACUAUAGACCCACGCGUAUCCUGCGAGAUGAUCGAACAUUCAUUGGCACCUCUAAGGCUUUUGACAAACGUAGGAACGUGAUCCUCCGGAAUUAUGAUGAAUCCAGCAAGAUCAGGCCAAAGAAUGCGAAGCGGCCAGANNNNNNNNNNNNNNNNNNNNNNNNNNNNNNNNNNNNNNNNNNNNNNNNNNNNNNNNNNNNNNNNNNNNNNNNNNNNNNNNNNNNNNNNNNNNNNNNNNNNNNNNNNNNNNNNNNNNNNNNNNNNNNNNNNNNNNNNNNNNNNNNNNNNNNNNNNNNNNNNNNNNNNNNNNNNNNNNNNNNNNNNNNNNNNNNNNNNNNNNNNNNNNNNNNNNNNNNNNNNNNNNNNNNNNNNNNNNNNNNNNNNNNNNNNNNNNNNNNNNNNNNNNNNNNNNNNNNNNNNNNNNNNNNNNNNNNNNNNNNNNNNNNNNNNNNNNNNNNNNNNNNNNNNNNNNNNNNNNNNNNNNNNNNNNNNNNNNNNNNNNNNNNNNNNNNNNNNNNNNNNNNNNNNNNNNNNNNNNNNNNNNNNNNNNNNNNNNNNNNNNNNNNNNNNNNNNNNNNNNNNNNNNNAGGAAUGAGACCCCCUCCGCCAGGUAUUAGAGGUCCCCCUCCCCCAGGAGUGUGUCCACCAGAACACAAUACUGUCAAUCCUUCUCAAGUCACUCCUUUCUCUGCGAUGUGUCCUGUGAAACUACAUACAGUGUUUGUGAGCUUUUGUGCCCUCUUUGCUGCAUUAAUAAUAUUAGCGAAUAAAUGCACAGAGCAAUUCAACAAAAAAAUAAAAUAAAAUAAUAUACAUCUUUUUUCUCUAUUGAUCAGGACUUUUUUGGUUGUAAAUAACAAAUCCAACUGAACUAAAGUUAAGGAGAAAAGGAAUCUAUCGGUCAAAUAGCCAAAAAGUCCAGAGACGGACUUCAGGCAAGGCUUGAUUCAGGGGCUCAAACAAUGUCAUUGGAAAUUGGGUCUUACUCUUUCCAUCUGUCUUCUGGUUUCCCUCUAAGUAGAUUCCGUUCUCAGGUUACUAUUUCCUCUUGGUAGCAAGAUCGUUGCCAGUGGCUCUAGGCUUUCAUACACCUGUUCAGCAACCCCAAAGAUCAUCCCUCUGUCCCAAGAACUCCAACAAAAAUUGUGGAAUUCGGGCACCUGGUUGGCUCAGUCGGUGGAGCGAGAGACUCUUGCUCUCCGGGUUGUGAGUUCGAGCCCCACAUGGGGUAUCGAGAUUACUUAAAAACAAAAUCUUAAAAACAAAACCAAAUAAAAUUGUGGAAUUGCAUCUUAUUGGCUUAGAUCAGCCUGACUUUGGUCACGUGCCUUUCCUUGAACUAAUCUCCAUAUUCAAUGGGACACAUUACUCCGAUCGCCCAGGCUUGUGUUACAUGUGCAUUCCUGGAACUGGGGUGGGGUCAACUGUACCUGAGUUACAUGCCUGAAGUCGGGGUAGAGGGUGGCUCCCCAAAGAGAGUCAGAGUGUUGUUGGAAGAUUUGGGGAUGACCACUGAGCAAAGAAAAACAGGUUCACUACAAUUCAGAAAAACUAUUUCAAAUUAAACUUCCCCACCUCUCUUUCCUCCAAUUUCCCAUUUAGCUAUAACCAACGAGGUUUUAUGGUGUCUUAGAAAUUAUCUUCUUUUUUGCGGUGCCUGGGUGGCUCAGUCGGUUAAGCUUCCAACUCCUGACUUCGACUCAGGUCAUGAUCUCACGGUUUGUGAGUUCCAGCCCCACAUCGGGCUCCGUGCUGACAGUGCGGAGUCUGCUUCAGAUUCUCUCUCUUUCUGCCCCUCCCCUGCUCUUGCUCUCUCUCUUUCUCAAAAUAAAUAAAUAAAUUUUUAAAAAUUGUCUUGUUUUCCAAAAUUCAAACAUAUCAUCUUAUAGGCUUUUGCUAUGGUGAAUAAACAUCUUCUGAUAGGAGCUGGGUGCUUAAGUAAUAAAUGCUAUAGGGGUUUUGCUAUACCAAGCCAUUACUAAUCUUCAGUGUAUUCAUUUUUUUGCCUCAACCUGAGGCAAAACCUUUAUUCGGUAUGAGAAAUGCAAGUUUUUAAAAAAUAGAAUAUCAUGGCUGAAGACACUGCUCUCCAAACACUCUUUCACCACAGAGACAAAAAAAAAAACAACAAAAAACCUUAUGUCCAAGUUAUCUUUGAACCCAAAGCAGAUGUCUCGAGGUUCUGUUCAAAUGUGAAAGAGGAACCCUCUGGAAUGAAUGGAGAUAUGAAUAUAUACUCCCUCGGAAGCACCAUCAGCUUCCACUGUUCUGAGGUGGACUGUUAGAAGUGAGUUAGUGACCAGGAUUGAAAAAGUUCAUGGUUUGUAUUUUGUUAGUACUGGUCGUCAUGGCAACCAACGGGUUCUACAUAAAGCCUGAAGCCAGCGGACUUGUAAUGGAAUACAUUCCUCUGAGUGAGUCAAAGCCUUGUUGAAAAGGAAGCAAUCACGCUGCUGUGGAAAUAAAUUAUGAACUGCUCAGGGUUGAAAUAAGCAACUUUUUUGGAAUCCCAUUUCCCCCUCCUCCCACAUACUUUUGAUGAUAAGUAACUUGGCAAUGCUUCAUUUCUGAUGGGACUGCCUAUCAUAUCUUUGAGAAGAGGCCUGGUAAUAUGUGGCUUGCCUACCUCACAAGGUUUCAGUGAGCAUCAGAUGAGAAAGUGUGUGUGAAAGUGCAAUGGGCUACACUAAUAUGGCCAGUGCUGUGGAUUAAGAGUUCUUAACAUUCAGAAAUGGAAGUUGCAGAUAUUAUUUUAAUCCACCCUGAGCCAUUAGAGAUUACUUCCUAUGACACACAUACUAAUAUUUUGUUCAGUCUGAAAACCCAAGUGAUGAAACUUCCGCUGUUCCCCUGGGGCAUCCUACUCCACCACAGAGCCAGAACGUUUAUGCUAGUAGAAUAUAGUGUUUAAUAGCUCGGAUUUUGGAGUCAGGCAGACAUGGAUUCAAAUCCCGGCUCUACUGCUUUGUAGUUAAGGAAACUUGGGCACAUCACUUAAAGUCUUUGCAUCUCAGAAUCUCAUCUACAAAAGGGGGGUAAUGGUACCUACUCUAUAGAGCUGUGAGAAAGAUUUCAUACAAUAAUGUUAAUAGAAGCACCUAACAAUGUCUCGUGCGGAGUAAGGGGCAAAUGAGUGUUAGGUGUUAUUGUCAUUAGUAUUGUUCCGGUUGGGGCAUGACCAUCUUUGCUUUCUUGCUAAUCCUUGUUGGAAUUGUUUCUACCACCUUAAAUUCUUUUUUCUUCUUGAUUUACUCUGGUGCUUUCAAAUACUAAGUCAAUACUUUCUGCUCUUUUGAUCCCCACCUUUUGUGAUCAUCUCGUUGAUUAGGAUAAGCCACUGAUUGGUUUACCUUCAAAAAGUGGAUUCGAUAACAAAGAUUGUCAGCACUUUUAGUUACUUAUUGUUCAGUAUUAUUAUUGGCUUUGCUGGAGUGUGUUGACCCCAACUCACCACCAUAUUUUCACGGGCCCUCUUGACUUGGAAAUGAGAAUGUUCUUAAAGUAUCGGUGGAAUAGCCUGCUUCUGGCACGCUGCACAGUAGGGAGCCAGCCACGACAGCCGCACGCUCCCCCGUACCCUCACCUGGCAGGGAGCUGGCCUUGGAUGAUCCACAAAGUCAAGUUGCACAACUUUGGCCGGGAGCUUCAUCCGCUACGUAUCCAUCACUUGGACAACCUUGUUAAAUUCCUGCAGCUUGGGCCUAUCUGAGCUCUUCAUCAUUUUAGUAUUGUCAGCCUAAGCAGACCAAUUUCUGCUUCUAGGAACAUUCCUUUGGAGAAGAGCAGAAAUUUCAACAAACUCUCAAGUGCUCUUCAAACUCCUGGAUCGGCGAGGCCCUUGAGCCCAUUCUUGUAAUAGACUCAGAAGAAUGGUAUUUGGAGCUGCAAGUUUGCAUAGGGUCAGUUUUUCCAAGAAAUGUAGUCCUUCUUUGGAUAGUUCAUUUGGAGGGGUUGGCAUUUCCUUCUACCUGGCCUCAUGUGUUUUCCCCAUCUUCUUGGAGACUGACCUUAAAAUAGUUGCUCUAUCUUCAUCCUUCCAGCACUUUCGUCUCUGCUCUUCCAGCAUCUUCAUUAAUUUUAACACCAGGCUGAUUUUUCUUUGCCACGAAAGGCUUUUAGCUUCUUUGAUAGCUCUUUGAUUCCUCCUGAGCCUGCUUCUCCAGCACAGGGUAAAGUUUAACAAAAGGGUUUUUGGAUUGUUUUUUUUUUUUUAAACCAGCAGGCCAUGUCCCUCAGUGACAAACAUUAUUUAAGUAAGACACUCUUGGCCUCUUCUUUGACCAGCAAACCUCAAUGGUUGGUAAUUGUCAAUGCCCAGAACAGAUUUUUUCCUCCUUACUCGAAGAUACCUUGAGGACCUCAUGUUCAGGCCAGAACUAUUUUGGGUGGAAGGGAGACAGGACAUUUGAUACCUUUGUGUCUGGUAAAAUCUUUCCCACAGAGCCCUGGAUUCUCAUCUCUUCUUUACGGUGGCUAAUGGUUAAGAUGCUAAUUCCACUAUCUUCGCCUUGGGUACUCUGAACCUCAGGCCACUUCCUUUCGGGCUGGGCAUCUCUUUAGUUAGAACCACAAUCUGAAGGGGAAAUGCUUUUGAUUAGCGAGGCAAUUAAAAAUAAAAUUCUGUGUCUUCCGAAACGAUUUUCUUCCAUCUGACCAAUUAGCCUGGUUUCUAUUUUGGAAAACAUCGAUUACACACCGAAAAAAUGCAAUAAACUUGCCAUUUUCAAAACUCCACAAACUCCAAGCAAAUGAUAUUUAAUGAGUGAUUUAUAGUGAUAUCAGUACAGUAGGGGCACCUAACUUUAAAAACAGUGGCUUUUAAAUUGCAAAGCUAUGAAGAUUAUUGAACACCAACUUCCUUGCUAAUAGAGCUGUAAUUUUAAGGCAGAGAAGGUUCUCUCGGCCUCAGCACUCUGGACAUUUGGGGCUAGAUCAUUCUCCCUUGUGGAAGCUGUCUUGUGCACUGUGGGAUGUCGAGCAGCAUCUCUGGUCUCUACCCAUUAGAUGCCAGUAGAAUCCUCACUCCAGGGGUGAUCGCCAGAACUGUCUCCAGACAAAUUCCAAGUGUCCCCUGGGGGUCACAAUUGCCCCUGGGUGAGAACCUCUGAUGUAGAAGACAUGGUGAAGCAGUUUUUCCCUUGUUUGCUUUUCUGGACUAUGAAAGUGGGAGAGGCCAAUGAAAAAUAAGAACACAGUAGGUCUUAGAAUGUACUAUUUUCACUCUAUUAUCAAAUCCUCAACUUUUCUCAACUGAGAUUUUUAGAAAAACAAUUAAAUUUCCAAACCUAGCUCGGAUAUACAAACAUUGGUCCCCGGCGUGUCUCACCUCUCUGCUAACGGGUCAACAAGAACAGGACUUUUCACGAGGUGUUCCAAGAGUUUGCAGGGCCCCUCUCUGGCCUAGUUCACGGAGAGCCAGGGUAAAACUACUCAUUAGCAAAGUGACUAAUGCAUAGGCCUAUUAGUUGAAAUAGUCAGCGAGGGGAAAAGGAGAGUAAUGUUUCCUGUGUGCCGUUUCCUCUUUUAAAGCAGAAUAUGCUGUAGACUAAUGAGUGGCCACAUCCAAGUUGCUCUUACAAAUUGGUAAGUUUCGUCUUUGCCGUCCAGUACUUGCUUCCAGACUAGUCGGGAUUUUCAAAGACCCUGAUGUGAAAAGAAAAUGGUGAUAUCCCAGGCAUUCUCUGCUUUAAUAACUGCUCCUCUCUUGGCCUCAGCCUCUCCUUUCCUUCCACCCCCCUCCUUCUUCCACCUUCCCUGCUUCCUGCUACUUUGAAGAGGGCCUGGGAAGAGUGGCCCCUGAAGGCAGGGAAGUGAAUGGGAAUUAGAAUCAUCUGCGGGCACCUGGGCGACUCAGCUGGUUGAGGAUCCUUCCAGGUCCCCAUCUCACAGUUCUUGAGUCGGGCUCUCUGCUGACAGCGCAGAGCCUGAAGCCUGCGUCAGAUUCUGUGUCUCCCUCGCUGUCUGCCCCUCCCCCCUCGCGCUCUGUCUCUUUCUCAAAAAUAAAUUUAAAAACACAUUCAAAACAUUUAAAAUCACCUGGAGAGCUUUUCACCCCGCACAGUUAUGAAGGCCAGCCAACUAUCCCAUCCACUCCCUACCCAGCGCCCACCAACAGCGUACUGGCUGGAAACAAAAGCCACACACAAUUAGGAGGCAUUGAAGAGAUUAAGGAAGGGAUGCUUUGCAGAGAUGCGGUCAGGGUUUAGGGAAAUCCCUGGGAGGGUGCAGUACAGCAGAGUAACAGCAGGGAGCUGGUACCCCCCUCUGCUGGAAGGGCAAAGAAGAGCGCGGUAGCUGGAACUCAGACGGCAGCGGUGGGAGCGGUCAUCUUGUGGGAGCUGUUUCUGGCGCCACACAAGCCAGCAAGCCAGGCUGACCCGGCAAGGGGAGUAAUAUUUGACUUAAUACCGGAGUCGCAUGUGGAACCAGUUUCCGGGCAGAGGCAGUGGCAAGUGCAAAGGCCCAGAGGUGAGAAUCGCCACUUUGUUCUUAAGAGGAUUUUUUGUAAGUAGACUUUGGCAUCUAUCGGGGUCUGCACUGUCUCACCUCUCAUUGAACUUGAAACAGUAUUUGGGGGCUAUUUUGAAACACUGAACACUGUGUAGUUCUUUAGGAGGUGUCUCCUCAGACACCUCAUCCUAUCCCCUGAAGCCCCCAGCUUCUGUGGCUGGGAGACACGGAAGUUCACCCUAAAAACAGCUCUGAAGCGUAAACCGCUACUUCUCAAACUUCAGCAGGUUUGGGGUUCUGGUUCAGCAGGUCUGGGAUGCAGCCCGAGAGUCUGCAUUUCUAUCAGAUUGCCAGAAAGGCCAGUGCUGCCUGGCCAUACUUUGGAGAGCGAGGACCUCAAGAACUCGGAACAGGGCAGUGUGGGAAACAGAAACCACCCACCAGAAGUUAGAAGACCUGGGUCCAAUCUAAACUAUGACCUUAACCAGUCACAUGACUUCAGGCAAGCCGCUUAGCCAUUUCUUCAUCUAUAAAAAUGGAGGUGUUAGGCAAGGCUCCUCCUGCUGUCCCUUACGUGUCUGCAGAUGAUGACUAGGCCUUUCAGACCAAAUGCUGUGACAUUUGCAGUCACUCUAAGUUUGGGAGUUCUGACAUCAGCCCUACGGCCAUUUUAUUUCUUCUGUGCUAUUGUGAGGACACAGAAAACAGUAAUGUCUGAGCCCAGAGGUGGAAUCCCUCAGACUCGGACAAUAGAAGUUGGGAGAGGGAGUCAUCACACACUUCAGUCAAUGGAGGAUUUUCUCUCAAAAUUAGUAGAGGAGAUACCUAGCAAUCACUACUUUAAGCUGAUUAGAAUUGUCGUUAAAUGGAAGUAAGCUAAAUAUCAACCAACAAGUGACUGGUGAAAUUAAACAUUCUAGGCAACCAUUAAAAAUGAUUAUGUUUGGACAAUUUUACUGAUAUGGGAAGUUGACAUGAUGUAUCAUAGAGUGAAAAAAAAAUGGGAGGUUACGUUACAGCGUGUGUACAGCAAAGAGUACAUGAGCUUAGGUAUUCACCAAGAAAUGUCUAAUUUUCUUUAAAUGGAAACAAUCUAAACAACUAAAUGCAAUGCCUGAUCCUAAAGUAGAUCCUUAUGAGAGGUGAAAAAUGCUGUAAAAGACACUAUUGGGUCAACUGACAAAAUUGAAACUCAAAUGGUAAAUUAAAUUAAAAUAUUGUAUCAACAUUAAAUUUCCUGAUGUUGAUAACUGUACUGUGAUUACUUAAGAAGAUCCUUUUUCUACAAAUAAUCCAGUGAAGGAAUGGGCAAAAGGCAUGGAUAGACACUUCUCCAAAGAAGACAUCCAGAUGGCCAACCGACACAUGGAAAACUGCUCAACAUCACUCAUCAUCAGGGAAAUACAAGUCAAAACCACAGUGAGAUACCACCUUACACCUGUCAGAAUGGCUAACAUGAACAACUCAGGCAACAACAGAUGUUGGCAAGGAUGCGGAGAAAGAGGAUCUCUUUUGCAUCGUUGGUGGGAAUGCAAGCUGGUGCAGCCACUCUGGAAAACAGCAUGGAGGUUCCUCAAAAAACUAAAAAUAGAACUACCCUACGACCCAGGAAUUGCACUACUAGGCAUUUAUCCAAGGGAUACAGGUGUGCUGUUUCGAAGGGACACAGGCACCCCCAUGUUUAUAGCAGCACCAUCCACAAUAGCCAAAGUAUGGAAAGAUCCCAAAUGUCCAUCGAUGGAUGAAUGGAUAAAGAAGAUGUGGUAUAUAUAUACAACAGAGCAUUACUCGGCAAUCAAAAAGAAUGAAAUCUUGCCAUUUGCAACUACGUGGAUGGAACUGGAGGGUAUUAUGCUAAGUGAAAUUAGUCAGAGAAAGACAAAAAUCAUAUGACUUCACUCAUAUGAGGACUUUAAGAGACAAAACAGAUGAACAUAAGGGAAGGGAAACAAAAAUAAUAUAAAAACAGGGAGGGGGACACAACAGAAGAGACUCAUAAAUACGGAGAACAAACUGAGGGCUGCUGGAGGGGUUGUGGGAGGGGGGGAUGGGCUAAAUGGGUAAGGGGCACUAAGGAAUCUACUCCUGAAAUCAUUGUUGCACUAUAUGCUAAUUUGGAUGUAAAUUAAAGAAAAUAAAAAACAAAACAAGUUAAUAAAAAUAAUUUUUUAAAUAAAUCCAAAUAUUAAAUAUUCAAAAAAAAAAGAAGAUCCUUUUUCUUAGGAAAUGUGCACUGAACUUUUUCCUAAGCAUAAAAUUAUUUCCAAAUAAAGAAAGUUUCUUAAAAAGAAUAUUUAGGAAGCUCACAGAACCUGGGGGUGGGGAUAGGGUGUGACACAGAGAGUCAGGCUCAAACACAAGGCAGCCAGGAACAUUCCCCGAACCAUCACUGGUCUGCUCCAGCCAAGAGUAGAUUACUUCUCGGGGCACCUGGGUUGGUUAAGUGACUGACUUUAGCUUGAGUCGUGAUCUCACAGUUUGUGAGUUCGAGCCCCACAUUGGUCUCUGCCCUGGCAGCACGGAGCCUGCUGUGAUUCUCUCUCUCUCUCUCUCUCUCUGCCCCUUCCCCACUUGCUCUCUCUCAAAAAUAAAUAAACAUUUUUUUUUAAGUUUAAAGAGUGACUACUUCUCAAACAGACACUGCAGCUCUCACAGAUGAUAGCGGGGACCAGAUGCCUGAAACUCAUUCACUGCUGCCUCUAAAGAAAAGAGAGCUUCCUACUUCCCUCAGCAGAAAACAGUUCCUCAUAGCACUUGUUCCCAUGCAUAACUGGCUUUCAAAUCCAUGUCUUCCCAAGGUGCAUCUGAUCAGUGGGAAAUAGCUGCAGGGGUUUCUGGGAAAGCAAAUUUAUGAUUUCAAUCUUUAAAAAGUCAGCAUCCGUGUACGAAGUGCUCCAAACAUAAGAUGGGUGUUCAAAAGAUGUCAGGUGGCCACAGAUGGGACAAAUGCUACCACCAUCACACUCACAAAAAGUUACCCCUAAUGAUGACUUCUGUGGAGUCACCCCAGCUUGGGUCUGGGAAGCCUUCCUUGCGCACUUCUAGUCACUUCCUUGUGAAAGCAGCUGCCUAACGUUGGCCCUGAUACAGCAGACAUGACCUAGUUACUGUGCACUUCAAAUAUGUCAGACAUGCAAACAGAACCCAAUGAGACAUCACUAUAUACCCACCAAAACGGCUAACGUGUAAAAGGAAGACUGACACACCAAGUGACAGUUAAGAUGUGCAAACCUAGGACUCUCACUCAUCGUCAGUGGGAGCGUAAACAGGUACAAGCACUUUGGAAAAGCUGAAUAUAUGUACACUCUAUGACUGAGCAAUUCCGCUCCUGGUAUCUAACCGACAACAAUGAGCCCUUAUGUCGAUCAGAAGACGUGCACAAAAGUAUUCAUGACAUCAUUAUUCAUAAUAGCUCCAAACUAGAAACGACACAAGUGUCCAUCAACAGUAAAAUGAGUAAAUAAAUAUCGCAAUACGUACAAUAUGGAAUACUACACAACAAUCGAGAAAAUAAUGAACUAGCCUUACACACAGUAUUAUGGAUGAAUUUCGCCAACAGUGCUGAAAAAGACACCAGAUACAAAAAAGCACAUCCUGUAUGAUUCCAUUUACAUGAAGCUCAAGAGCAAAGAAACAAAUCUAUGACAACAUGUCAGAAUAGCAGUUUCUGUUAGUGUGAAAUUGAGGGGUACCAAGAAGGGGCAUGAGGGUGCCUUUUAGGAUAAUGAAAAUGUUCUGUAUCCUGAUCUGUGUGCAGGUGUCACAGGUGUUUACCCAUACAAUUCAAACUAUGCCCUAAGAUACACACUUUACUGUGUGAAACUUAUACCUCAAUUUUUGGGAGAAAGAAUAAAGACUAUGGAAAUAGGAUCACAGAUUCUUAGAGCAUUAAGGGAACUUUUCUAGAAGGAAGGAAGGAAGGGAGGAAGGAAAGAGGAAGGAAGGAAGGAAGGAAGGAAGGAAGGAAGGAAGGAAGGAAGGAAGGAAAGAACUGUCAUCAGAGGAAUACGAAGUCUCCUAAAGUUCUGAAAUGACUGGUGGCAUGCUAUGAUUUCCGCCAGGUUUAGCUGUUGACAGCAUUUUCCUGACUCCGCCUCACACUUUCCCAUGUCUUCAGAAAGUAACUUUUUGCAAUUAAGCACUAAGAAACUAGCUGAAAAUGUGUGUAUGGAGCAGUUCUACAUAACUGCACAGUGCUUUGCCAUUCACAGAGAAUAGGGUACCUCAUUUGACCCUUGCAACAACCCUGGGAAGUGGGCAGGGUGAAUGUUCAUUUUCAUUACCAUUGCAUUUCAAAGAGGCUAAAUGGUCAUAUGGAGUCACUGCUUCUGACUUUCAAUCUAAUGCUUUUCUAGUGGUGUUUGUAAGUGCUGAUUUCUAUACGACAACUAAAUACAGCAAAUAAUUCUGGAUUGGAUCCUGGAAAGGAAAAAAAUGCUAUAAAGGACGUUAUUGAGAAAAUUGGUGAAAUUUGAACACAGACCACAUGUAGAGGAUAAUAGUGUAUCCACCAUUUCUAAAUUUCUUGACUUUGAUCAUUAUACUGUAGUUUCAUAAAAGUGUCCUGGUUCACAAGAAAUGCAUGCAGGAAGUAUGCAGAGUGAAAGGUCACCAUGCCCAUAACUGACUCUCAAAUAGUUCUUUAAAAAUUAGAGAGAAAGAGGGGGCGCCUGGGUGGCUCAAUCGGUUAAGCGGCCGACUUCAGCUCAGGUUACAAUCUCGCGGUCCGGGAGUUCGAGCCCCGCGUCGGGCUCUGGGCUGAUGGCUCAGAGCCUGGAGCCUGCUUCCGAUUCUGUGUCUCCCUCUCUCUCUGCCCCUCCCCCGUUCAUGCUCUGUCUCUCUCUGUCUCAAAAAUAAAUACAACGUUAAAAAAAUUUUUUUAAAAAUUAGAGAGAAAGAGAGGGGAAGCAAAUGUGGCAAAAUGUCAAUAACAUGUGAAUCUCGGUGAGUGGCGUUCAAGUAUUUGUUGUAUUGUUCUUGCAACUUCCAUGGAGGGAUUAAAUUUUUCUCAAAAAAAUCUAAAACAUUCAAGAAAAAACUACUUUCGGAUAAAAUCAAGUUAUGCCUUCUGUUGUGCAUAUCACAUGAAACCAUAGUCAUCUUGGGCACUGUAGAAGAAAAAUGACAGCACUAUAAUUUCUAACAGAUUUAUUAAUUGCUUCAUUUCAUCAUCACACAGGCAAAACAUCCUUUCUCUUAUUUAGUUAACAUAAUCUAUGAACUUAAUAGAAAGACUUGCUCUGCAGGGAACAGUUGUAGCUUUUAUAGAAUACUUUAGAAUGUUCUUUUUAAAUGUUUAUUUCUUUAUUUUGAGGGGAGGAGGGGCAGAGAGAGAAGGAGAGAGAGAACUCCAAGCAGACUCCGUGCUAUUGACGUGAAACCUGACACAAGGUUCAAUCCCAUGCCCGCGAGAUCACAACCUGAGCUGAUAUCAAGAGUCGGAUGCUCAGCUGACUGAGCUACCCAGGCACCCCUAGACUACCUUAGAAUGUUCUAUUAUGAAGCCCUGAGAGAGGGAAAGAAUCUGCAGCCUCAUGGUCCCUGCUGCUUUGUUGAUGCCUCAUGAAGAUGGCAAGACUUUGCAAGGCAGAGACUUGUGGCAUACUCAGGGAUACUGGGUCCCUGGGGCAGGGGCUCCAGCUUUGCCUGAGUCCUAUCACCCAAGUGUAUCUUGGAGGCAGCAGAACUGCUGGACUGAAAAGGGAACCAGGACCCUGUCCAUUAUGAGGAAAAUGGGCGAUGACGUAAACAACUGCAGAGCGCUGGCCUAGAAAAGACUCAAUAAUUGAGUUCAAAUUUCCCUCCACCUCAUGGGUGUCCCAAAUGGAACUUAAGUUAAAAUAAAUAAUAAGAUAAUGUUUCUAUAUUUGAAUGUUUGGACUGAGAUUCAUUCCUAUUACGUUAAGUAACAUGUAUUGAAAUGUAUGAUAUGCUGGCCAUGUUAUAAUGGUUGUUUUAUUUCGUUCUCACAACAACUCUACGACUUAGGUAAAAUAGUCCCCAUUUUACAAAUGGGGAAACCGAAGCUUAGAGGGGUUAUUAACUACUUGCCUGAAGUCACGCGGCAGGUAACUGGUGGAGAUAGGUGAACUCGGACAGGCUGACUCCAGAGUCUCGGUGCUUAGCCCUUCCACCAUGCUUACAGGUGGCUACCCACCUAUCCAUAAGGCCAGUCCUCCCCCUAGCAAUACCCGCUACAGACUAGGGCCUGUGAUCUAUUAAGGGAAGAUGCUACUCUGCGGUGUAACAGAAAUGUAAGAAAUCUAUCCCAGCUCAACAGAACACAAGAAAAUCAUUAAUUCCAUCCCUUUCAAUAGGCAGCCAAAUUUUCCACACUGCGGAUGACUAAAAGAUGGAGCUGAUUGUGCCCAGGAGGGUGUGACAGUACUGGUACUGCCAAACGUCCUGGCUGGUGAUGCCCUCCUCCCCUGCAAAGAGUGGGGCUCUUCCAAACGACAUUGGUGUUCUCC